AGGAGAAAACUAGGAAAGCUAGGGUUUCCCGGAGGGGCAGAAAUGGCAACUCCAAGAAGCAAAGAGUUGAAGAUAGAUGAUAAGAAUGUGGCGGCCCGGAUUGUCUGACUUCUUGAAGCUACGGCCUCCUCUGACUUACCCGUCUCCGAAGCCAUCCGUUUCUCAUCCCAUGGCUCUGCUGGAUCCCUCGGCUUUCUCAGGCACAACAGCCAGCCCAUAUAUGCACCGCAUGGCCCAAAGGAAGCCCAACCGUGCUCUUCCUGAUAUUGCUUCUCUACAGGUGUAAAAGACUCUUUCUCACAAUUUUUCUAAUAUGUGCAUACAAUCGGAAUAAUUAAUAACAUGUAUUUGUCCAUGAUUUUUGUAGUACUUUGACUUCCAGAUAAGACUGGUACAUGCAAGAUAAUAUUAUUUUUCAUUGCUACAUGCUAUAAUAUAAUAGAGAUAAUAAGAAUUUUAUGUCGGCUGCAAGGAGAAGAAUUAGGGUUUGAGGAAGAGUGGACGGCGCCAUCACCAGGAAUCGCUCAUUCCCCUCGUCUCCUUCCGCCAUCUUGGCGCUCGAGGUGAGGAGAACCUCGGGUCCUCCUAGAAGCAUCUAAGAGCACUACACGAUGGACCAAACAUGGGGGCAAUUAACUGCCGGGAAAAAUCCACUUGAAGUGGCAAUGAAACUGCGGGGAAAAGUCAACUGCCGGCAAAUCUCUUUGGAGGCACCUCAACUGCCGGGAAGAGUAGAGAAAGCAAGGGAGACGAACUGCCGGCAAAGCUCGAAAUCUUUAUUGGCAGAGAAACUGCCGGCACAAACUAUAAGAGGCAGUUUAUCUGCAGGCACAACUAAGAUGACAGGUGGGAGCAACUCAAUUUGCGUAUCUUCUGAUACUAUAUACACGCCCACACCACACCAAAGCCCUAUCUCUCUCUCUCACGCGAUUCCCCUUCAGCCACCGUAGGGUUUCAGCCAGCAGAUGCCCUAGCGCCGCCGCUGCCGCCGCCCGAAGCUUCGCCACCUAGCCGCCCUAGCUCUGUCCAAAUCGUCGCCGGCCGUAGCCCAAGGCCAGCCUGAAGCUCCGCCCUCGCCGCCGCUGACCCGAAGCUCCGCCUUCGUCGCCGACACCGCCACGACUCCGUAGCUCCAUGGCCGACAUGAACGCCCCCGAUCCGCCGCCAACGCCCCCGAUCCGCCGUCACCACAACUAUAGGAACUGGGAACGCUUUCAGGCACUCGCCUUUUCCACCUGCCCAAUGAUCCUAAGCAGUCCAAAUGUCCGAUAAGUGUUUCCCUUUUCCACUCGCCCAAUAAAUCCGUGAACUCUGGUAUGAUGGUGGUUUGCUUGCUGAUCGACCAACUUCGACUUGAAGGUGAGUACGUGUGAAUUACGUUUACCGAUUCAGAUUCGAUUUCAGACUUAGGGGAAAUUGCAGUAGGAGUAGGACGGUGAUGGUGGGUGGAUUGAUGUUCCUUCCGGAUACGGAUUGCAGAGUCUAUAAGAGGAGGCAAGAGAGGGCGGAAGGAAUCACCGGUGUUUACAAGAGAAGGGAGGAAUCAGAUAAUAUAAUAACCUAAAGGCGUGCAGGGGCUUUUGCAGUUGACGGUUUAGAAAAAAAAAGAUAUGCCAAAGCAUUCACCGGAUGGUGCUGCCGCCCGUCGUGCUACCAAGCGUUCGCGUGGUAGGCGGUUCCUCUACCUUGUGACGGAUGACUGGGAACUUGGAUACAGCAUCCGCAAGGUAGAUCUGGAGGAGGAAUACGAUGAUGACGCGUACACCGAUGAAGCAGGCACCUUCUCAUGUAACAGCUCCGAGCGGCGCCUGCCACCGGUGGUCUUCCGCCUGGAGGCUCCGCACAUAGGGGCCAAUCACUUUGCAGCGGCCUUUGGCACCAAGAUCAUGGCCUUGCACCACACGCCCAGGCGCUACAUCCCUGUAUUCAACGUCCGCACUCGAUGCUUGAGCUUUGGCCCUCGGAUGCGAAGGAAUCCGAGUGCCCCCAUCUAUGUGCCCAUUAGCGACAAACUUUUCAGUCUGGAUUCCGGCACCUUUCAGAUGCUCCACCCUCCUCCACCGCCAAUUAACCCUAACUGCAGCAUUAGUGUUCCAAAGUGGCCGUCAUGGCGCCGCCUCCCAACGCCACCCUUUAAGCAUGAGCGUGUCACCUCCCACGCCGUGCAUCCUGACGGACGAACAAUCUUCAUUAGCAUAAGCCACAAAACCGGUGCCACCUUUGCCUUCGACACCGCAGCGAGCUCCCCCAAGUGGGCGCGCACCGGCAAUUGGCAGCUGCCAUUCAAAGGCCGUGCACACUAUGACUGUGAGCUGGAUGCGUGGGUUGGACUAACCAAAGAUCCAGACACCCUUGGCCACCUCUGCUCUUGUGACAUCCCGUCUACCGAUGACAGUGUCGGUAGGCAGGCCCUAGCAUGGAAGCUCAGCAAGGAUAAACUUUUCUGCAAGAACCCAGAAGAGCACCAUGUGGGCACUACAACAAAACAUGCCCGUAGAGACGUCCAAUUAGCAGACUAAAGACGUGAUAUUUCAUCUCUAUUGAGUUAUAGAGUCGCUUUCACAAAGCGUCCUUGAAGCAUCUCCUCAGGGACCGUGUCAAGUUAUGUAGAGACGCUAGCUAAGCGUGUCUAUAAGAUAUAAGACGCUUUGUAGAGAUGUUGAAACUCGCGUCUAUACAUGUAGGGACGUUUUAUUUGACACGUUUCACUCACGUUCGUACUAAUAGUUUGACACACUCAAUUUACGUUGCAACAAAUGUAGAGACGCUUUUACAAAUUUGGACUAGCCCAUCUCGUGAGCUAGUAUUGGGUUGGGUUUUUUUUUGAAAGGGUACUGGGUUGGGUUUUAGGCCCACCAUUCUGCCGGCUACAAAUUUGGCCUAGCCCAUCUCAUGAGCUAGUAUUGGGUUGGGUUUUUUUUGAAAAGGUACUGGGUUGGGUUUUAAAUCCACCAUUUUGGCAGCCCAACUUAAUUUAGAAUUCAUUGCACGGGCCAAGCCCAUUUUCCUGAAAAAUAUUUUUGUGUAGAAUAUUUUAAAUUACAAAUCUUCUAGGAAAACGUUAUUUUCUGUUUAAAUUUGGAAUUGUUAUUUUCUUAAUUUUGAUGACGCACAUUCGCAGAAUAAGUUGUACCAAGACAGGAGUAUAUGAUCUGCAUCUUCGUUUCAUGACCUUGUUCACACUCAGUUGUGCAAAGACAAAGUACAUAAUCUAAAUGUUCAUUUCAUAUAUGACCAUAUUCUCAUAACAAGACUAACGAAUACUAGAGCUUUGAAUUGACUGCAGCAACAAAUAUGUUACAAUAAAUGGAGUUCACAAAUCACAGCUGAAUUAAACAUCAGUGUAGAUAAGUUGCAAUACAUAGAGAAAAGAUCUUAUUUGCACAUAUGUUUUGGUUCUAAAUAAUUGUAUAUCUAUAAGCUUUGCUCUAACAUAAACUUAAUCUUUUUUGCUUAUCCCUCAUCCAAUAUGUCUCUUGGCCUCAACCAUCCUGCAAAGUAGGCAGAUAAAAUGAAUACUCCUUGAAAAUAUAAGCUCUCCUGAGAGUGUAGAAUGACAUGUUUAAUUUUCUGACGGAAUUAGAAUACCCUGUUGUUUGUCGGCUGGUUUGCAGUCGUUCUCUUAGCUCUUUUGACCUGUAAAUCACAACAUGUGUUCAUAAAUAACAGUGUUCCCAAUCAGACAUUUGUGAAUACUUUGUGAAUACCGAGUUGUUCCAGAAUGAAAAUACUUACAUGUGACCGAGGCCAAGCAAUAACAUAACCAAUAGCAUCUUGUAGCAUUUGACAAUUUUCAUAUGGCCUUGGCAAUCUUUCGUUUCCAGUUUUUGUGACAGCAAAAACCGAAACUGCAUAAUAUUCAUCUCCAAGCAUGUUUCGUCCAACGACGUAUGUUUUAUCUUUACUCACUAAAGAUCCUUUGGCAACCAUUUUAUUUUUGUUUCUUGGGUUUGCCGAAAACAAGAAGACUUCACUUUUACCCUAUCAUUCCAAGAAAUAAAACAUAGUCAUUCAUAAAGCAUAUUUAAUUUAAAAAAGUUACAGUAACACAUACUGACAUGGAUGAACUAUUAUGAUACUCAUCCAAUUGACUAAACAUUUAGAAGAGGACAUUUGAAUGCAUAAUAUUUUAUAUAUAGUAUCACUUGUACGAAAUAAUACAUACACAUCCCUUUUGAUCCAUAGUUUGCAUAUACCUGGUUAGCGACUUGCGUGUCUGGUGUAAUCAAUUUCGUAAAACUCUGAUUUGCCUUGUCACAUUUUUCAAUAUGCGCUUCCUACAAUUGAUUCAGUUUAGUUGUAAGAAAGCUUAUACAAAAAUUGAAUGGCUUGGUAGAUAAGUACAAAUUACUCCACACACCUUUUCCACCAUGUAUUCAUCUGAUAAAGUAAAAUUGGUGUGACCCACUUUGGUUUUUGUACAGUUGCUAGGAUGCAGUCCCUGCAACUUACGAUGAACAAUUGAUUUUAACAUUGGCAACAACUAAUAAAAAAGAAUGCAUCUAGUGUUGAGAGAUAAAAAAACAACACGGCAUCAAAAUACUACAAACAUCACCUGCACAGUGUUUGGUGGAGCAUGAGUAUCACGAUUUGAUUCUUCAACUUCAUGUUCUGAUUCAUGUGGGAUGUCACUGGCAGCAUCUCUUUCAUAGAGAGCAUCCUGAAAUGAGAACAUGGUCAAAGUACACUGAUACAGAACAAUUUAUAUUUGUAGAAAUAGAGAUGGGGUUCAAAUACUAACUUCAUCAUUUUCUGUAAUUACAGCUGCAUUUCUCCAAUCUUCACCAGGAUUUUUUUUUGAAAUAAAUGUACGCAUGAGAAUCAUCUCAUCUCUCAUGUCUUCCACAUUAUCUUCAACUGCCCGUAGUGCAAAUCGAACCUCUUUGUCUUGCUCAGGUUGCUGAACAAAAGUCAAUCCCCGAGAAACCUUUACCCCACUCCAAUACUUAUCAUUAUAGUAACCUCGAAAUUGUGACUCUUUUCCAUACACCCUUUUAAACACUUCUCUAUAAUCUUCCAAUGAAAGACUCCCAUUGUUAUCUGUUUUCCUUUUUGCUAAUUCCUCCUAUUGAAGUAAACAUAAACAUCUCAUUAAACAAUGUAGAUACUAUGAUUAAAAUUGAAGUGUUUAUUUCUGCCAUAUGUAGUAGUAUACCAUUAGUAUCUUUGUAUUCUCGUUAUUGUAAUUUCCAUUCUUCUUCUUGUGAGCUUCAUCCCAAAGGUCAAUCUUGGGAACCUUUGCUUUCCUAAUGAUUUCCUAUGAAAAAAAGCAGAGUGCAAUAUUUAUAAAGUUUCGUGUUAAAAGUAAAAAUAUUCAGUUUGCCAAGUAACACAACACAUGGAGAGGAUAAAAUAUCACCAUCUCUUUUAGGAGCCUAGCAUGACUUUUUCUCCCUGUCGUGUGUGAAUUCUUUUGAUUCCUUGCACAUUGGGAGUUCUUUUCACAUAAUUUCUAGAAAAAAUGGAUUCAGUCAAUAAUAAUGCAAGCAAACUAGCUAUGGAUUUUAGUUCAAGUAUGAGACAAUGGAUACAUCACCGUGUGUGAAUCCUGGCACCACAGUCCAAUAAGAGUGUCCCAUUGAUGUUUAUUAACACCUUUUGGAACAUCUGCCAUAAUUGCAUCUAAUGUCCUCUCGUGCCGGUUGUAAUAUUUUUUCUUCAAACGAGAUUUGUAGGCUCUCCAUCUUUUGCUAAUAGUCAUUAGGAUCCAAUCCCUUGUAAGCUGCUUUGUGUCAUAAACAAGUAACUUGGUUGUUAGCAUAUGAAAUGAACAUACUGAUUCAAGGAAUAGUGCUAUGAAAAUUGUACCUCCACAUCAUUGAUCAUGUUUUGAUGUUUUGACAGAAACAAUUCAUUAUCCCAUCUCGGAAUGUGCAGCGGUGCAAAUGUUGAGUUCUCUGCUAGACUGCCAAGGUGUUGACUAAGAAUGGUAGCUGACCGUUGAUUUGGAAUACCAUUUUCAUCAGUUUCCAUGAUUAUUUUUCCUCCCUUUAAGGCCGGAAAUUUUUUAACUCGAAAUUCCCCUAAAAUUUGACGCACCUCUCCAUUUGGCCCUGCAUAUAAGAAUAUCACACUGGUGCACAACUGGUGGAAAAUUACACUAAGAAUGUAUAUGAAACAUUAUUUUUUAGCAUACAAAUUAUCUUAAUUUGACCAGUAGACUCAGGAGGCCUCUGUCGUAACAUAUCGUCAAUCUCUGGAGGACCUUGUAAAUUUCUUUCACCAGAUUCCACAUUUUCUGCAUCCUCUAAUGGAAUAUUCAAGUUUCGUAGCCGUCUAGGUAGCCUCGCCAUAAUAUCUUCACUAAAGCAAUGCAAAGAACAGAUCUCAGUACGGCAACAAUCUAAUGAUAGAUAAUUAUGUGCAUAAGCAAAGAUCCUAUGAUCUGCAUUUGCUUAGAACUAUUUACAGUACUGCAAUCUCAAGUUCAGGAAUAAUAGUCAGCCCAUUACUUGUAACACAAGAUCCUACAGUAUAGUGCAUUAUCUAAUAUACAAUUAAACCAUGUGAGAUCAACAGGUUAGCACAGCUAUGACUACGGCAAUCAGAACAACAGAUUAAACAUGUGCAGCGAUCACACAAAUUUUAUCUAAAAAAUGCAUUGCGGUGCCAGAUCUCCAGAUGCAAUUGAUGGAUUAGUUAUUAUCUGUCCAGAUUGAAUUGGAAAGGGAAGGGAGGGAGAGAUGCUGUGCAUAAAAAGCAGAGAAUCACAGGGGAAUCGAAGGGAAGCGGAAAGGGAAGGGAUAGAGAUAUGUGCGCCUGGCGGCAAUCAGAAUCGCCUCCACGUCGCGUGACCUCUCCGCAGCGGCGCCGCUCCAGCUCGCCUCCAGUGUCCCGGCCGGCAGCGACGGGCAAGUCAAUAACUACAGGGGACAAGGGCCACAUAUAGAGGAGAUACCUGCAUCUGCGCCUGAAGGGAGGGAGGACCUGGGCCUGCGUCUGCGCCUGAAGGGAGGGAGGACCUGGGUCUGAGGCGGCACCGGCGCUGGAGCAGAUCGGGGAGGACGAAGAAGUUCCUUAUUUUUAGAUGGGACGAAGAAGUUGGAGGCGAAGGAUGGAGGCUCGGGACGGCGGCCAGGAAUUUAUAGGAGGGGUUUUCGUUCGUAAAAAAAUGCGGCAAUGCUUUUUAGGCGGCAAAUUUAGAAAAUUAAGAGCGGCAAGCUAAAAUAUUUUUUACCACCAUAAUAAAAGGUAUUUUAACUAUAUAUUUCGUAUUUCCUGGAUGAAUAUUGUACUUCCUCCGUUUCACAAAGAAUGGCGCACACGAUUUUCAAGGUCAAACUUUGACCAACGAUCAGACCAAUUAUAUGUAAAUUAUAUGUUACAAAAUUUAUAUCAUUGGAAAGAUUUUUGAAAUACGAAUCAACUGAUAUAAUUUUUGUAACACAUAAGCAUCAAAUCAUUAGUCUAACUAUUGGUCAAAAAAAAAUCUUGAAAUGAGUGCGUGCCAUUCUUUGUGAAAUGCAAGGAGUAUAUGAUAAGUAUCAUGCUAAAAACGAAUAAAAAAUUGAAUAGUAUUUGUUGGAGGGAGAAACUCCUCAUUGCUCUGAGCUGACAAAGUCGAUGAGUCAUGAUGCAGCAGGGUCUGGAGCCAAGGUGGCAUGGAGAGAUGCGGUGCGGCAUGGCACCACACAGAGGGCUCGCAUCCCGGGUGGCAAAGGAGUGGCAUGAUGGUGCGUCUCUUGGCGGUUUCACCCACAAGUCCUCCAAUGGCGGCACCCGCGACAAUUUGUGCCUAAGUGGUGCUCUCAAAGGUGUGACAUACUGACAUCCCCACAUAUUUGGCGUGUGUAAGACUUCCUCUUUAGGGGCAUGUUUUGGCGUUUCGGCACCAUUCCCACCCCUCAGUUCUCUCUUCGACUUCCACUGGUCCAUUUUCUUGGCGUUUCGGCACAAUUCCCACCCUUGGUUCUCUCUUCGACUUCCGCCGGUCGUUUUUUUUUAGUAAAAUACAUUGUAGGUCAUAAUUCUUUCGCAAAAAUGCCAAGUUAGUCCUAGAACUUUCAAAAUGCACAUUUGAGUCAUAAUAGUUUCAUAAGUUGUUCAUCUAAGGUCCUAAUAUUGUUUGCCCGUGGUGUGUCUCUCCUCUCUAAAUAUCUAGAUAUAUCAAUAUUUCUAAAUAUCUCUCCUCUCUAAAGGCGGGAGAAUCCUCUCUAAAUAUUUCAGUCAAUGAAGUAAGGCAUUACCCAAAGAUAUUGCAGCAAUUUUUAUUUAUGAAUUUAAAUCCUAGAAUUGUAAUUUGACAAUGAAAUAGGCUGGCUGGCAAGCGAACAAGAUAAAUCAUAGAGCAAAUAGGAUUCUGAACUGUAACUGUACAGACACAGGUAUCAAAGGGCACAAAAGGAUUUCAGGGGUUUGUUGUCCUGGACAGCUUAUUGCUACAGAAGGAUAAAAAGAAAGCAAAUUGUGUGGUUAAGCACUAUUGUCAGAACAUUGCUUGUCCAACUCUGCCUCCAGACAUGGUCUAAACUCUAAAGUCUAAAUAUACCCCACUCAUCCAAACAAGCAAUCAUAAAGAAGCAUUCCCAAGUCAAUUGCUGAACAGGCAUAGAAGUGCAGAUGUAUCAGCUAACAGAAACUAAAUUAAAAUCAAUACUCUAAACAUAUUUGCUUCCUUGAGCUGGUUUCUAACAUAAAUGGACUUAGCAUACAUGUCCGGCCUUACAAACCUGAAAGGACCUACGAAAAGAAACAUAAAUAAGAGCUGCCUAAAAUAUACUCAAAGCAUAAUGGUCUACUCUGCUUCAUCGGACGGCUGUUCUGCACCCAUGUCAAAAUAAUCACGAGGCCUGAAUUUCAUCACCGCAUUCCAAACAUCACUUUUUGGAUCUUCGACAUAAAAAACCUGUUCCACUUGGGACGAAAAUACAAAAGGAUCACGCUCUAACGUCUCUCCAGUAUGUAUUUUCCGCGAGAAGUUCACAAGAGUGAAACCAAAAUCAUCUUUUGUAAGGCCAGCUCGGUGAUGAACAUCAUACCAAUCACAUUUGAAGAGCACAACCCUGUAAUCUUUGUAUGACAAUUCCCAAAUGUCAGACAAUCUGCCAUAGUAGCAGACACCAUCUUCUGCAGUGUUCACUACACCACUAUUUUGCAUGACACGUCCUAUCUCGCGACUCAUAGUGUGAAACCUGAAACCAUUAAUGAUAUAUCCACUGUAGCACAUGCCACAUUUGCUUGGUUUUGCAGCCAAUGCUCUUAUCUUUUCCAUGAUUUCUGGUCCAUCAUCUUGUAAAACCUGUAUGUACAAAGAGUUACAAUUUAAUUUCCUAUGUAUGCAGUUCAUAGAAUUGGAACAUGCUAAACAGUACCUUUUGUUCCAGCCAGUCAGCGAAGUGUCUAUUAAUCAACUUCUCAAUGUCAUCAGGCAUCAAAUUAGAUAAGUGGCAUGGUUUCAUUUUCUCUUGUUCCACAAAUUCUCUGUAACAACGAAACAAAUUAUAUGAUUAUUUUUUGCCAACUUGUUAAGAAAAAUUAUAAUGUAUAUAGCAGCGAUAUAUACCCACCUACGAAACUGUUCAAGCUCAUCACAGUGUCGCAAGACAUAUCGAUGUGCUUGAAUUAAAAGCUGGUUAUCAAACUAGCCUACAGUGAUAGCUCUUCCGAUUGGUUCACCGGCACUAUCAAACAUAUACAUGUCCUUAAUCUUCUCUGAAGGCUCAGGAUUUCUAGAUGUUAUUGUGAAACGUGUGGUUCCUUCUAGAAAUCGUGAGCAAAAGGUCAAGCAUUCUUCAGCAAUAUAUCCUUCAGCAAUCGAACCUUCAGGAUACGCUCUAUUGCGCAUAAAUCCUUUCAGCCGAACAAAAUAUCUAAAAUAUAAUUAAGAAAUAGUGUUACUUAUACGCAUUGUGGAAGAUAACAAAUCAAAGCAAAGUUUACAUACCUCUCUAAAGGGUACAUCCACCGGUAAUUCACUGGACCACCAAGUUUUACUUCUUCAACCAAGUGCACCAUUAAAUGAACCAUGACAGUAAAGAAUGAUGGAAGAAAAUUUCUCUCCAUGUUACAAAGUGUCAUCACAAUACUCUCUUGCAGCUUGUCAAGCUCAGAAACAUCUAACACUUUAGAGCAUAGCUUCUUGAAGAAAUUAGCUAGGUCAAUAACUAUUGUCAUGACAUAUUUGCUGGGGUAACAAAAUCGAAAUGCAAUAGGAAGAAUGUCUUCUAGAAUUACAUGGCAGUCAUGGCUUUUGAGGCCAGUCAAAGUACAUUCUUUCAUGUUGACACACCUUGAAAUGUUUGAGGCAUAACCAUCAGGGGUCCUCAUAUUCUUAAUCACUGAACAAAGAAUCUCCUUCUUUUCUCUAGACAUAGUAAAAGGUGCAGGGGGCAAUACCGGUUUCCUAUUGUUUACUACAGGAUCAGGUUGAAGCUUAGGUCGAAUUCCAAGUUCUACCAAGUCAAGUCGUGCAUUAAGGUCAUCCUUUGUUUUAGAAUCAAUAUCCAAUAAGGUUCCAAUUAAAUUGUCACACACAUUUUUCUCUAUAUGCAUCACAUCCAGAUUGUGCCUUAACUUGUUGUGCUCCCAAUACGGCAGAUCAAAGAAUAUUGACUUCUUUUUGAACCAAUCCUCAGGCUUCUUUUCAGAUUUACCCGCGUGAUUACUCGAUUUGUUCUUCCCCGACUCUCUUUUACGCUUCUUCUCUCCACCAUUUUCUCUUUCUUUUUCACCAUUUCCUCCCCCUUUUUUCCCUUUCCCUUUCCCUUUCUUUGAUAUGGUGACCGGUUUCCCCAACACAAACACUUUGCCCUGCAAGAUGCUCAAGGCUGAGCUACCACUCAUAGUUGUAGGCACAAGUUCAGUCUCUUUGGUGCCAUCAAACUCCUGCUUCUUCCGACUCCGAAAUGGAUGUCCCUGUGGUAGCCAUCGGCGAUGACCCAUAUAACAAAACUUUUUACUCUUCUUUAGGCGAAAUGAUCUUGUAGAAACAGCACAAGACGGACAUGCAUAUUUACCACUGGUGCUCCAACCAUACAGGUAAGCUAGUGCAGGAAAAUCAUUCAAAGUCCACAAUAGUGCAGCUUUGAGAGAAAAUGUCUUUUGUGUACAAGAGUCAAAUGUUUCCACACCCUCCCACAGGAGUAAGAGCUCGUCGAUCAGCGGCUGUAGAUAUACAUCAAUGUCAUUUCUUGGUGAAUGUGGUCCAGGAAUGAUCAUCGACAAAAUUAAAGAUGUUUGUUUCAUGCAAAUCCAAGGUGGUAGGUUGUAUGGAAUAAGCAUCACUGGCCAAGUACUAUGCUGUGAGCUCAUGUUCCCGAAAGGGUUGAAUCCAUCCCUCGCAAGGCCAAGUCGGACAUUACGGGCAUCUGCAGCAAAUUCAUUAGGAUAUCUAGAAUCAAGAUCCUUCCAAGCCUCGCCAUCAGCAGGAUGUCGCAUGAAUCCAUCUUUUGUACGGCCCUCGUCAUGCCAACGCAUGUCUAUGGAUGUUUCUUUAGUUGCAAAGAGCCUUUGCAGCCUUGGUAUCAAAGGGAAAUAACGCAACACCUUGGCUGGUUUCUUCUUCUUUUUACAUUUACUUGGACACCCUUUCUUGUCAUCCAUAACCCAACGAGAGGUACCACAGACAUGACAAGACUCUUGGUUAGCUCUUUCACCUCGGUAAAGCAUGCAGUCAUUUGGGCAUGCAUGAAUUUUCUCAUAGUCCAGCCCUAAACCACGGAUUAUUUUUUUUGCUUCAUAAUAUUUCUUCGGUAGGUCUAUGUGAGGAAAUGCAAUAGAUAAUACUCCAAGUAGGUGUGUGAAUGACUUCUGAGACCACCCAUGUAAACAUUUCAUGUGAUAUAAAGUGACGAUGAAUGACAACCUCGAAAAUGCUUCACAUCCUGAAUAUAAAUCUGUGUUUGCUUCCUUCAAGAAGUCUGCAUAUGUAUCAGUUUUCCUUCCCAUAUCACCUUCUGCACUUGCAGUAUUUACAUCUUCAGGCAUGCUAGCUUCCACAUUGUCAAACUCAAACUGAACAUCACUUUGUUCACCAUCAGAUGUGCUUGACAUUGUUUCGAAGCUGUUAACUACAGAAAAUGCAGCAUUUAGGAGUCCAUGCAUGUCAUGCAUUCUUCCGCUACCGCCUCCAGCAACAGAAUUUGUUGGAACACCAGGAAUAUGCGAACUGAUGUUAUCUUCUACGCGCGCAAAUGCAAAUGAUGGCUCAUUAUAAUCCUCUCCAUGGCAAACCCAUUUAAUGUAACCCGGAAGAAUACCAUCACACCUCAGGUGGGUUUUAACUUCAUCAUAAUUUUGCGUUCUUCUAUUUCGACACUUCACGCAUGGACAGAAGAUUUUUUCAUCAUGUGGAACAUCACGAAAGGCAAAAGAUAGGAAUUGCUCAACACCAUCUUUAUAAGCAGCACUUGUUCUUGGUUUACUCAUCCAACCUCGAUCCAUCACUCUUUGAUAUGCUGCAGUAAUUAACACAAAAUAGAUCAGUUUGUAAUUAAUUGUCUGAUGUAUAUUUCUACCUACGGUACAUUCAUGCAGCUAUUGAUUAACAAGUUUUAAGUGGGGAGGUAUCUUAAUUCUUUUGAGAUUUAGCAUAAUAUAUCUUCCGUGUUGAGCUGUCCAUGGGUGUGAAUGAUCAGUAAUGAAUUCCAAAUUAUCACGCUACAAAUUUUUUGAACACAAUAUUCGAUGGUACAAUUACUAAGGAUUUUCUAAACAAACAACACAGAACAACAACGCAGCUAAGUUGGCGGCAUUUUCUGCACAAGUCAAAAGAACCUCGGUAAUCUACUCUAUAAUAUGUUCAAUGUGCUCUGUCACACGUGGCUCACAAGUAGGAGGUAACCAUUGCAGCUCAGCCAUGUCAACAAGAAACUCGUUUAUGAAUCAGGUAUUGGACACAAAAUUUAUAUAAAAAAAACACCAAAUUUGGGAGAGAGAGAGAGAGAGAGAGAGAGAGAGGGGCUACCAAUUGGGGAUUUCAGGCCGACAAUGGACUUGAAGAUUGAACAGCACCACAGUCAAAUUGAAGAUUGGACAAAUUUGGGGAGUCGGCCAGUCGGAGGAGACGGCGAGUGGGCGACGGGUGACUGCCGGACGGCGAUUCUGUGCUGCCGCGCUAAGCCGACGGCGAACGUGAAUCCCUGACGUAGCGGGCGGGGCCAACGGGAGCCAGGGAGCCGGACAAUGGAGGAGGUGUGUGGCUGGGUGGAGGCGAGGAGGCGGGCGGCGGGCAGCACUGCGGCAGAACCGUGCGGUGGCCGGCGGCGUUGCGUUGCGCUUCAGCUUUCUCCCCGAUUCAGUUUGCUCCCGCCGCCAUCCAGAUCAGAUCAGGCAAUUUGUCCCCGAUUCAGUUUUUUGAGGGAAUUUUUUUAUUUGAGGGAACGUCCCCGAUUCAGUUGGAGGUUGGGCGCCCGUUCAGCUUUGUCUCGAUCAAUCUAGUGCGCUCUUAUUGAGGGGCUGAGCUGGGCCGGGUGCUACCCGGGCUGUAGCAAAAUAGGAUAAAACAACAGGCAAAAAAAAAAGAAAUGAGGCCAGUCAAGAUUUGUUAGCCCAUUAGCACCACCAGGCCCAUGGAAGCACCACCCAGCCCAGGGAGCAGCAGGGCUGCUCGAAGCAAGCCUGAGCCACGCUAUCUUCUAUGAAAAGGAAUGUUUUGCUCAAACAAAAAUGAAAAAAAUAUAUCAGUUAAAACAUGAACACAAAAACACUUCUGUCAUGUUGGCUAUCAACCUUUCAGAUGUUUUUACCUUCUCGGUUGAGCGUUCAAAUUUGGAACACGCAAGUAUUUAACAGAUUUAAUUACUUUGAUUAGCAAAGAUUAAUAGUCAUUAUAGCGUCUCAAAUUUCAUCUCUAUCUUAAAUGUAAUUUUUUUUAUCAAUUACUUAGAAAAGAUUAAGAAUUAUCUUAUAUACCGUCUCAAAUUCAUCUCUACCUUGAACGUAAAUAUUUUUUUAAUCAAUUCCUAAGAAAAGAUUAAGAAUCAUCUUAUAUAGCGUCUCAAAUAUCGUCUCUAUGUUAAACGUAAAUGCAUUUUUUUAAUCAAUUCCUAAUUUACAAGAGAUUAUUGUGACGCUGUGUAAAGCGUUUCAAAAAGCGUCUUUACUUAGCGUUCAUCAUUUGGUGUUGAGACGAAAUACAUUGGCGUCUUAAAAAAAACGACUCUACAGGCAUGUUUUGUUGUAGUGGGGUGCUGCCCUUGUCUACCUGGGUGAAGGGUUUAGGAGCAAGUUCUGCCUCUUGCAGUGCCUCUCCAUUGACGACUGUGAGGACAGCAUGUACAAGGAGUACCUGCCUGAACGUGAGCGGUAUGUGCUUCGACUGACCACGUUUUCCCUCAAGUAUGACAAGAACGGAGACCUGCGAACCACAGCGCGACGUGGGGUUCGAUCCUUUGAAUUUCCCAAGCCACUGACGGAGUGCAGUGACUUCUUGAUGAAUCCCAUAGCCUUCUGGAUGUAAACCAAGAACUUCUGCAUGCAUAUGUCAGUGUGGUCCUUUAAAUAUUACUCGCUAUAUGUCAAUGUGACCCUUUGUUAAGUAUAGCAUUGAUAAUGCAUAUAUCCCUUGAUCCGAGCCUGACUUUUUCUGGUUGUAUUCGACAUGAAUGUACCUGACCACCUGAUGUAUACAAGAGCACCUGACUGAAGUGCCAGCCUAUUCUCAUAUACUCUCUUUUUUCUGGGAGCUCAAGUCUGUUAAAUUGUUAGGUUUUAUUUCAUGUUUAGUGCAAUCAUGCUGUGGCAUGGCUCAAGUUACGUUGUGUUUGCUGCUCAGUUUGACUGGACAAGUGAAGUUUUGUAAUUCUAUGAGUACUAGUAAGCUACACGUGUGUUGCUAUGGAAUAACAAAAUUAGGCAUUGUAAGAUUGAUUAAUAUAUCAUUUUGAUUACAAAUUAUACUCAAUUUUCCUUCAUUUUUGAAAUUGUUCCUCUCGCUGCUUUGAAGGGCAACGAGGCAGCUGGAUUCUGACUCCGAUCUGGCUAUCUCCCAAGUAAGAUGCCGAUGGAGAAUUGGAGAUAAAAGUCUAUGCUGUGGCUGCUCGGGAUGUCUGUAGCUAUGGACCUGACGAAUGCUCCUCGUGUCGUCAUGACUUCAGUUUGUCUUCCAUGUGAUUUGGUAGGAUAGAGCUACAUGUGAUUAUUUUCCAGAGCCAUGUGUUAAGAAGUGAAGUCCUGUCGGGGGAUGCCUGGUUGCUUUUCGACAACCUCUCUCUGUCCUGAAACAUGCUGCUCAUGCUUCGUCGUAGCUCUGCAGAAAUGUUAAAGGUUUCUUCACUUCAACGGCAUGUUAGCACUGCUGUUUUUUCUAUGAGAAAAGAGCCUAGUUUACCAGUGAUGAAAGUCCCCAAAUGCAUAAUGCAGGUAUUAAUACCUCAGUGAGUUAAAAAUUCUGAUGUGCACUUCCACCUUCUCUUGAUUUCAACCUUGUAGCACUCCAAACCUACAAAAAUAAAAGGAUUUCAGACAUGGUAUACUCGAUAAUAAAAUGACACCAUCGACAUCACCUGAACAAGCUUUGCCAAAAUCUACCUAAAGUACCUCGGAAACCCGUAAGUGCUCCUUUAAGCAUUCAUCGAAUCUUUCCCUUCUUUGCACCAGUAAAUUCAUAAUCAACACAGUCUAGACUACCAAGUUUUAUCACGCCAUUUGGUUAGCUCUCAUGCACUAAAUCCUCCCUUAAGCCUUUUAACCAGUAGUUUUGAUGCUCGGGUCAUUCUAAUUUCUUCUCCACUCGGAGCCAUAGUUUCUUAUUGUUUCUCCUGUUAUUACCUCGUUUCAUUAUCAUUUUUCAGUUCUGGUCAGUUUCACUGUAUCCAAUUCAACUUAUCGGUUCAAAUUGAUGCAGCUACACACCAAAUUCAUAAAAUGCAGCUCCUGUUCAUAGAAUUGCAGAGAUCUACAAAUUCAUGAGCGCAUUAGUUGUGUUGUUCAUAAAGGCCACAGUUAUCGCAGAGCAUAUGUGAAAGGGCAUUUCGAUCCCUAAUUGUUUUGAUGUUAAUGACAACAUGACUCGUGAACUAACCGUGUGCUCGAUUAUUCUUUCCCCCUCAUUGUCUUGGUAACUUAAAUUUUCUUCUCUCUGAUUUGAGAUGGAACUAUUUUGCACCGGCGAUUCUUAAUUGUAGAGUCCUUUGAAUCCUAAAAAGUCGAUUGCUGUUAACACCAAUUAAUUGAUAUACUAUGUUAGAACAUGAUAUGACUUAAAUCCUCAAAUUAGUAUGUCAAAUCAGGUGAUCCACUUAAACAGAAUGCUGGCAAUUGCUUCAAUUGAAAUCCUGAUUUUAUCUUACACCUGGUCUGCUAAAGAACUCCACAAGAUGCUGAUACCUACAUAUUUCCUCAAACAUUUAUUCACGUGCUAGAACUCUACAAUUCUGACCAUGCUCUGUAUCAUUUCUGUAUAAAUCUGUUAAGCUUGCUUCCUGAUUUCUACAAGAUGGCAUCUCAUCUUAGAAUAUACUCCCUUCGAUUCCAUAUGAAUUGGCACGGAUUUAGUACAACUUGCACUAAAUUCAUGCCAAUUAAUAUGGAACGGAGGGAGUACGUUCCUUGUAAACAAGAAAAUUUGAUAGGCAUUGAGACAAAGAACCCUAAAACCAAUUGAUGAUUAACUUAAACUGAAGCUCGUUACCUCACCAAUCGAAAUCCUUUUUUUUUUCUGAACCAAGCAUCAACCAACACAAUGACAAUCAAGCAGUAAAACUUCUUUCAUUAAAAUAUCACCCUUAAGAUAUCUACUUGAGCUGCCCCUAAAUAUUAGGUUCUACCUCGAUUUGGAGAUGUACGAAUCUGAUUGUUGGAGGUGAAUCGUAGAUCCUCCUCCUCUUAAUCUGGUGGUCCUCUAAUUAAUUCCCCCUGGCUCCUUUGCUGUCAGGAUCUGACACUUGUAACACCGAGUCGCGUAUUGUUCUUCUCUUUCCCCCUCAUCCGUUUCUCCCUGCUACGACAUCUGCCCACCUCUUUCCCUGGCUCCCGUCGAGGUGCUUGAUGGAGUGUGUACGGCAGCACGUCAGAGAUCGAGGAGGUGCUUGAUGGAGCGCUGUCAAUCCUCGCAAUCUUUCAGUGUUGGUCUUCGUCUCUCUUCAAUCCUCGCGAUACCACGGUGGCCGGGCGCCGGUCAGGGCGUAGAUGUCCUCCUCGAUCUCCUCCUUCUCCAGCACAAGCACGAAUGUGGGGCGCUUGCCAUUGUCCCGCGCCGGCGGAGGAGGAAGGGAGAGGGCGAGCAGCGGCGGCGGUUGUGAAGAGGAGGCGGCGCGGGGACCGGCCGGGCGAGAUGCGAGCAGCGGCGGCGGCUUGAUUGGAUCGGUCAGAGUUUUUUUUUUCCUUCCUUUUUUCCGGUUGAGGUAGUGGCAACUGGAACCGAAGGAGGAGGCCAGGACGGCGGAGCUCUCCUUAGGCGCCCGUCCUCGGCGGCGGGACUGCAUCCCAUGGCGGCGUCCGUGGGGACCGGCAGUGCUCCAUCCCAUGGCGACGGCGGCGUGGACUGGCACAUGGAGGGACGGGCGUGGGAGGGAUCGUGAGGGAGAGGAAGAGAUCGAGUGGGUUCUGGUGGAGAUGAGAGAUUUAGGGAGAGGAGAGACAGGUGGGCGGUGGCGGCAGCACGCGGGCCGCGGGGUAGGGAGGAGCGGCGGGCCGCAGCCGGCGGGGCGAGACGCGAGAGAACGAAAGAGAAGAAAAAUGAUUUGGGAGUUCGGGCGGUGGCCUAGAGAUGUAAUUUCUCUGAAGUUGGGACGAGGUACGAACCUACCAUGAACGAAACUGCAAAUUAAGGAAUAGUAAAGAGUAGUAUCCUGCCUGUGCAUCCAAGGCUUAUGCUAUAACAAAGUUAUCGCCACAUACUUGGUCCCUGGUCUAAGCUAAUUCAUAAAUUCUCGGCUGACAACGUUAGCUGGGCUACUAGAAUCUAGACUUGUAUUUCUAACCAUGGAGAGAACAACCACAUGAUGUGUAUGGUUGGACCCAACGGAUUAGCACAAAGAAAUCUACUCUAGUUUAUUUCUCUGUGCGGAGUGAGUGAUUGAGACAGCGAAAUAACUCUACGUACGAUGAGGAGCGUACGACGAUGUGUGGGAAUUGAAUCUGCUAAUCUUCAUGCUAUGGCUUACGUACUGUCUGAAUGUAACAAGUGCCGUAAUUGAAUCUGCUUAUCUUCUUGCUAUGGCUUACUGUCUCAAUGUAACAAGUGUCGUGUCAAUAUUAUCAUAGUCCAAGCAUCGCUGUUAAGACAGGCUUUGCGUGCCUUAUGUGAGUCGUCGUCACGCCUAGCUAGCUAGUGAUAGGGGGUGGCUACGAUGAUGCACUCUAGCUAAUUUAAGUAGGAUAUGUUUCAGACAAUAAAACGACAAUCUUGAUAAGCACAUGACUUUUAAAUUGCAGAUCGGUUGUUGGCAUUGCGCAUUGCUUGUUGCGUGCAUCUUUUCGUGGUAGAUUCCUGUGGACAGCGACCCGAACAAUAUAUUUUACCCUCAAUCAUUAAUUUGUAAGUGUUAGACGAUAGCUGUUGUAUAGUAUAGUAUUCUGUAACUGCUUCUUGGUAGUCUCCUCGCUUGGGCGCACGUCGUGCACGUCGCCGGCCCAUGUUGUACACGAUCGGCAUGCCCUCCGUGGCCCCCUGUUGUACCAUAUAUUCAUGAGAUCAAUGCAAGGUAGCGCUAUCGAAGUGCUUACAACCGAACUCCAGUUCUCUACAGUAAGGAACGAAAUAAGAAACAAAGAAGAUUAUGAGCUGGCACUGUAACAGAGUAUAAGAGACUAGGUCGGAACAAUUUUCUGCUUGCUCAGGGUAUGUACUUAUGGAAAAUCUGCAACUGCAAGAUGUAUUUGGUGGCCGACUGGCCGUACACUGUAGAAUAUCUAGCAACUAAUCAGCAGUUCUAAUGGUAGUGGAGGUCCUGGAGGAGUGCUGGACAGUGGAGAAUUGGCGGUGCAUGGUGAGGAGAAUGAAUGAAUGAAUGAGGUGAAAGUGGAACAACCCGAUGAAAUAGGAGGCGGAGAGGUGCUAGAGCCGGGAGCUAGCGGCCCCUCGGGAUCAGUCUGCACGGAGGCGCGUCGCCGCCAACCCAAUACUCCCUUCCUUCCAUCGCCGUCAUCAUCCGGCAAAGUCGACAUGGUCGAAACGAGGCGGGGGAGGAGGGUGUCUUUUUCAUGUGUUAGAAGACAUGAAGUCAGGAGCGGCGGCGGACAAAAAACACUGCUGGUAUAGAUCCAGACACCCAGCUUGGUGUUGGGCGGCAACGUGUUGUCUGACCCACCGUAAUACCACUUCCUCCUGGUCGCCGCCGCGGCUGGGCAUUUCUCCGACGAAGAAAGAUGACUCUCUGUGUCAUGCACGGUAAUGUAUUAAUUCUUCCGUUUAACGAAGGAUGUUUCAAAUUUGAUUAAAUUUGAAUGCAUCUAUAUACAUUAAAUUAUGUCUAGAUACAUUCAAAUUUGGACAAACUUGAGACUUUUUUUUUUGGACGGAGGGAGUAUAUAAUGUCGGCAAUGCUCUGAUCAAAGAGGCUGUCUCACCCAAAACGCGCCGAUGUGUAUGCAUGCCCACGAGUAACUUUGCAGAUAACCUCGGUGGUUGCUCGUGCCAUGUAUCUCCCUUCCCUUGCAGGAGGUGAGGCACAGGACUUCGAUCUGGUCCGAUCCAAGGUUGAUCUUAGUCGGGUCGGGACAUGUUCCAAAGGUUACCAUGAUAAAGUAGCUAGUGUCAGAUUAUACCUUGACAUUUUCAAGUGGAGUUAUAGGUCCCUGGUUGGCAGCGACAUGUGCACGUUGUCAAUUGGUUGAACGUUGUCUUUAUGCCCAUGACCUAGCCUUUAUUUGUUUUCCCUAGCAUCCAAAAUGAAAAUCCAUGACUAGGCUUAAUUCACCGAUUAGGCACGACAAUGUUGAUGUGUGCGCUUGAUCUCCCUUCUUGAAGGCUCCAUUUUGGAACAAUUGUUCGUAGGUCCUGCUUUGUCUUCAAUGGUUGCGACAUGUAUUUGGAUUUGUAAGUUGAUGUUUUGUUCGCGCUGACUGGUAUCUUCCUUAAUAGUAUAAUUUAGUUGUGUGCAUCCGAGGAUGUAGAUGUAGACAAUUGACAUCCCUUUUCGAAAAUAAAGUACCUCGAAUACAGUUAUGUUCUUCUUCACAUAUUCAAAAAAAUCAUAACCCCGAAUCUAAUAUAAUCUCCCCGUUCCAAACAUUUAAACCCCAUGAAUCUAACUAAUUUAUCAGAUUCAAAAGAAUCAUGCCCCUCAAUCAUAUUUAGUGUAUUUUUUUAUGGAUGAAUUAUUGUAUUCUUUACAUGUAUAUAUAACUAGGAGAUACGUAGGCCUUGCCCCGCCGCCCGCUAGGCUCUGUUUGUUUGGGCUGCGGCUAUGACAGAAGCGGCUGUGGACUAGCUGUGCUGCCAUAGCUGCUGUGCUGGGGAAGCGGCUGUGAUCAAGGUUGGCCGUUUGGCAACACAGUUGUGGAGUAGCUGCGAGCUAAGAAAAUACCUGAAAUGCCCCUAUAAUGAUAAAACCACUAUAACAUGUACACACCUACAUGCACACACAAAAAUUCCUUGCUUUCUCUCUUGUAUGGUCCUAACAAUAUCAGAAACAUUUAAUACUUCAUAUAGAUAAGUGUUUUUCAUAUUACUAAAAUAUGUAGCAGUCUAUCUUUGUCGGGAGAUAUACAAAGAGUUGACAAUUCUGUCACGCGUGGUGUUCAUGUUGCUCUCGUCGAGUGAAAUUGAAACAUCCUCGCCAAGCAAGGGUGUAGCUCGAUCACCUCCAGACAUGUAGUUUUCAUCUGCAUCACAUUUGUCAAACUCUUUAUCGCGUAGCUUGCUAUCUCUGAUAAAAUUGUGAAGCGCCAUGCAAGAAUUAAUAAUUAUCGGAAUUAUGUAGUAAAAUUAAGAUAGGAGUAUUAUGACCACCGUCAACAAAUUAACAACAACAUCAUCGCAUCAGUACAACUAUAGCUAGAAAUUAUCAACAAAUAUUAUCAAUCAAAGCACAACCAAGUAUCAAGCACCACACAAAAUUAGAGAAUUUUUUUUACCACAACAAGCCGGCUUGGUUCAGAGGAGACGAGAAUGACAUAAACGAAGGGGGGAUGCGGGGCGCCGGAUAGAGAUGCAGAUGGCGGGAGGGAGGUCGGCGGCAGAAGGCCAUGGCGGGGGCAGACGGGGCGCCGGAGAGAGAUGCAGAGGGCGGGAGGGAGGGCGGCGGCAGGAGGAUGCGAGGCGCGUGGGGGCAGGAGGGGCGUCGGGGAAGGAGUGCGGCGGCUGGAGGGCAAGCAGAGGCCGGGCCAGGAGGAACAGCCAACGGCAGCUGGAGGGCAGGCGGCGGUGUUAGACCCUGCUCCCAAUGGAGAUGGGUCGAUCAAGGGAGAGACAGAGAGAUAUUUCACGGGCGAGAGAUGAGAGAGAAAUAAUGGGCUGAUUUCAUUUUAGUGGUGGCAUAUGUCUGGUAAUUUCUAUCAACUUCCAGUGGACAACGGACGUGGGUUUUCAAGAAGCCCGAGAAGUACCUCGUACACGUGUUUCAGCCAAUAUAACUAAAAGUAGCUUUGAGCUUUGGUGAGAAAGCGGGUCCAAAUUCGUUGUUUGGUUGGGUUUCAGCUUUUUUUUUAUUGAAAGCUGCUCUGAAAGCCCAAACAAGAUUUGUGGGCCUAUUUUUCCUGUGAUUUUUGCCAAUAACAGGUAACCAUAAACAGAAAUUGUAACUUUACUGUCGGAGCACGGUCUCCGGCAUCGGGGAUGCCGAGCACCCCUUUUUUGGUUCGGUGGAGGGCAAGGUGAUCGAUCCAGCGAUCGCCGGCGUGGCGAUAGACAUGAAGUGUAGACACAAGAGUUUUUACCUAGGUUCGGGCCACCCGGAGGUGUAAUACCCUACGUCCUGCUUUGAGUUGUAUUCACAAGUUUGGGUGCGUACAGAUCACCCAGGGGUUUCUCGGGUUGGCUACUUAGGUGAAUGCUAUGCUAAUCUUUUCUCACUCGGGUUGGAACCCUUUGACCAGUGGUAUUGGUCCUCCUUUUAUAUACAAGGGGAUACCACAGGUGCCGGUGACACGUCGCCUAGACGCGUGUCACAGACACACAGAAUACACUUUUGUUCAUGCAUGCUGGAUGCCAUGCAGCGCCCUGUUCACUGUACACGGUAGAAAAAAUAGUUGUUAGGAUGAUCGCCCUAGCCUUGCUCAGCAAGACUAGACCUGCUGAUAAGACUCAUGUCGGUGCAUUAAAUGCACUGCGCCCGCCGUCUUGUCCUGUCUUCACUGUUUUGCGGGUCCCGUCUGCAUGCUCGAGCGCGGGUUGCUAGGGUGCACCCUCCUGGCUAGCGCACCUGCUAGUUGCCGGGAGGCGUUCCCUUGGCUUCCCGGGACCGGUGUUCCCAGGAGUCUCUUGUAUUCGGCCCUUAGCUUUAACUUCGCCAGAGGCUGUCUCCUUAAGGCAGGCUUCCCGGACUUGCCGCUUCCCGGGUGGCCUUCCUGGCGGGGCUUCGUCACUGGCGGCCCACGCGUUAUGUAUCAGUGGGACCCCGUGGGCCACUGGUACGACAUUUACAUUCAUCAUCUUUCUAGAAAUCAGAGAAAGGAAACAUAAUCCAUCUUGUUUAGUAAGUCAAGUAAAAAUGAGUUGAACAAAAUUCUAAAACAAAGGCGAAAGCUCCUUCAAUUCUUAUCCUAGCUCUAGCUCCUAGGAGCCAAUAAGGUGGAGACCGCCGCGAUGCUCGAGAAAGUGGAUGGAGGCAGAGGUCGGCGGCACUGCGGGUUUAGAAGACGAGCUGGGGGUGGGAGAGGGUGGUGGGUGCCAAGUAGAGGAGGGAGGUCCCCGCAACGGUCGGGAAAAGCGGCGCAAGAUCGCAAAUACAACGCCAAAAUAUUGAAGAGUGUCGUCGCUAACAAAAAACAACCUACAUAACAAAACAUAAUCAAUAAAGAUAAAGCACAACAAAACCCCAAACGAUCGGGGAAGACAAAACCACCUACGUGCAACACCGUAACGGACACACAACGAAACAACACUCAGAUUUACAUAUCCGGCCAUAAUAGUAAAAUGGCAAACGGAAUCACCGACUCCGAACCAUCAUAGUCAACAAAUGAAAUCUAGAUAACCAGAGGAGGAAGAAGUGCAAUACCUCAGCGGCUACAGCCACACAACCAAAGAGCACCCAAAUCCCUAAAUUCGGCGACAACAACACAUCAGCGUCGAAACCGUUGCUAACAAGCCACCGCCGCCAACAAGAACCUUUGCAAAAAUUUAUUACUAUCUACUCCCUCUGAUACUAAAUUCUUGGCUCAAAUUUGUCCAAAUAUGAAUGUAUCUAUUCUUAAAAGCGUCUAGAUACGUAUAAUAUUUCGACAACAAUUUAGCAUCGGAAAGAGUAUUAAAUUGCAGUUAGUGGUGAUGGCGGACGGCGGUAGGUCGUUGUUUUUUCAUCAAAAUUACGAACAUGCCACGUCAUCCGCCGUCACUACCAACAACCAUGGUCAACCAAACGCCGACCCAGGCUCAUCCCUAGGAAUGGCGACUCAUGGUGGGGCGCGGUUCUUCGCUCACACGACGGUCAGAUCAUCUUUCUGGAAGCCGAAAGUCGUGCCUGCUCGGGAAGGCAUUGCUGGCCUAUGCACAGAUACUGGUGCUUAUGUGCAUUUGGAAAGCGACUGUCAGGUGCUCAUUGACAGUGUCAAAUCGGCGGAGGCUAAUCGUUUGUCAGCUUGUUUCAGUCUUCGCGAUCUUGAUAGGCAGGUUAGAAUUAGCUGGAUUGCCCGGUCUGGGCAGUUUGCUAGAGAAAAAGCUUCGUCUGGUCUCUUAAUUGGUUCGAUCCUGGGCCUGUCCAGGGUCUCCUAAAAUGUAACUGUAAUUUGGUUAAUCAGCCAGCUAAUUGAGUGCUUUUUUCCCAUAAAAGAAAAGAUGCCUGCUUUGUUCGUCGUAACCGACUGGUUUGAUCCAUGAUUCGAUUCUGCAACAAUCCGAAUUGGCGAAGAAAAGGAUGAAACUACUCAUCGGUGGUGCCACUAGAAACAACAAAAUCACGAAGUUACCUAUCAUAAAGCUCGAUUCAAUUCUUACUCUGCUACUCCUUAGUCCCUCUCAGUUCAGUGAAUUUCUCACAAACCUGGAGUAGAUUCGAAGAUAUGUACUCAAGAAAUCUGGGAUAGAAGAGGAGGGAAAAGAAGAGAGGAGGAAGAGCUUACCUGCUGCCAGCUGCUAGGCCCUCUGUGCCGGUCGCCGGCCAGGUCCUCCGCACCGGCCGCUGAUCGCGGAUGCCUGGUGGAUCGUGAGAUCGUGAGAGGAAGAAGUCGAACGGACUAGCUUCUUCGUUUCGUAUUUUUUUCCCAAGGGCAAAUAUGUCAUUUCGUUUGCAGGUAGGAGUAUUCAUCCGCGGAAGCAAAUUGGAUUUUAUCAGAGGCAGGUGAACUUGGGGAUAUAUAUGACCAAAAAUCCCCACUCCUAGGGUUCCCCUGAACCGCUCGCACACACAUCUCCGCCUCCCCUUUCUUCUUCUAAGUUCUAAUCCCCCCUCGAACCUGCCAGCCGUCGCCAUUGCCGCGGUCUAAGACGAACUCCCCAAACCCGGUCAUAACGUCCUACGGCCUACGGGGCGCCAAACGCGCCCCGAAAUCGGCGAAGAACUUGAACGCGAUUUGAAGCAGGCACCAUAGGACCACACGCGCAAUUCCAUUCUUCCUUGUUCUCCUCUAAUUUUCUGCUGGUUUGACCACACGAUAAGAACAGAUCCACCAGUGUUCAGAUCUAUUGGACCAGUGUGCGUCUGUGGACGCGUGGAACAAACACUGACCUGAGGAUUGGAUCAUUGGGUUGCUUCGGAUUCGAUUCGUGCGAUCUGUUUUUUUGGUGCCCAGGACAUGAUCAAAUCUGUGGUGUAUUUUGGGCACAUCCCCAUUGGGGACGUGGAUGUGUGGCCAAAAGGCGAGACGAACUUGGCAGCGGCGGCGUGGGUGCGGGAGAUCCGGUUGGACCGCCUCUCCCCGCCCAGCGAGCGGUGCCCGCCGCUCGCCGUUCUGCACACUGUAUCCUCCCGCUGCCUUGUGAUGGAGUCGAGGCUGACAGUCACAGCGGACGAGCCCCCGCCGCCGCUUGUUGACAUGCACACCGCUUGCCUCAGAGACAACAAGGUAUAUGAAUUAUUCCCGACAAUCAGAAGACAAUUUGAAUAAAUGAAAAAUGCAAACGUUUUUAACUGACAAGUUCACUCGAGCAAAGGAAUAUUAAUUAGCACAUGAUGUACUUGGUGCAUUUUUUUCUGAAACAUUUACUGCAUUAAUGAUUACAACAAUUCAGACUGAACAAUUUAUUCUGUGGACAGGGAUUUUUGCAAGGAUGUGUAGUUGACUAAUGAUACAUUGAUACUAUUGGAACUUAUAUAUUAGAGUUCACUUUUCUAUGGACUAAGGACUUGGCUUUUACUUGAUUGAAUUAAUAGAAAUAUAAAACCUGGCCUGUCUAACAAUAAGGUUAUAGCCUUAAAGGAACAGUGUUUCAAAAUUGAAACAGGGCAACAUAUAUUUCAAUUCUUGAAUACGAAAGAUUGUCUGUGGAGACCUACUAGAGAUUAUGAAGGGUUUCUUUUCUUCGACACUUGUGGACUUUGGACUUGACAUUACUUGUUCUCAGAUGUUCAUCACCACAAUUCAGUGUGAACUCGGAACUCCACAUACUGAAAGUGAUAUGUGAGGAAUGAGCGAAGUGUUGCUUAAAGCCUUAAACUACUUUUGAGUUUGAACACAUUAAUGUGCAUGGUAUUCAUCUGCUACCAAGUUAAUGUGCUACUUGAUUCCACUGGACGCGAAUUCUUUGAGGAGCACAACUAUAUAAAGUAACCUGUUUUGCCCUUGUAGUUCGCCAUAUGGUGACAUUGCUGUGAAUAUUCUUGGGUUCUAUUUGUUUGUUUUACGAUUCAAUGUAGAUAGUUCUCAGCCAAUCCAUGCAAGAAAAUAUGGAACAAAAUAUGCUGUCCUUUGCCUUCCCUUUCUCCCUUUUUUGGUAGUGCUCUUUGUACAGGUAUGUGCUAAAUGCCUUGGGAAUUACCCUCCCUUAUACUUGGUUGCAUUUUACAUUUUCUAUCCUUAUUGUGCGUCCUUUCCUAAUGAAGCGUCCAUUCUGUUCCUUAUAUCAUUCUAAUUAUUUCUUUGUGCUUGCAGACAGCGGUUUUUCCACUUGGAGCAGAAGAGAUCCAUUUAGUAGCUAUGAAAGACAAGAGAAACUUGCCAAACCAUGUGUGUUUUUGGGCCUAUAAACUACCGUUAGGCUUGUAUAAUUCCUGCUUGAGCAUGUUGAAUCUUCGGUGCCUUGGUAUUGUGUUUGACCUUGAUGAAACACUAAUUGUCGCCAAUACCACUCGGUCUUUUGAAGACAGAAUUGACGCACUCCAGAGAAAGUUGAGUAAUGAGACUGAUCCGCAGCGCAUCAGUGGUAUGUUGGCAGAGAUUAAGAGGUACCAAGAUGACAGGUCUAUGCUAAAGCAGUAUAUAGAAAGUGAUCAAGUUAUUGAUGGUGGGAAAGUUUAUAAAGUACAGUCUGAGGUUGUCCCGCCUUUAGCUGAUAAUCCUCAACCUAUGAUACGUCCUAUCAUAAGGCUACAAGAGAAAAGUAUUAUAUUCACACGCAUAAAUCCAUCGGUACGUAGUUCAUUACUUUGUUCUUAAAGCUUGUGAUAGCCAAAAGCCUGCUGUCUCUCUGCAUUUAUAUCCACAGCCUGUUUGGUUACGGUGCUGUCUGUUGUUCAUGCAUUACACAGUUGCUUGCAGAGCUUGGAUCAUAUUAAAUAAAGUCCUGCCCAUAGUAUUCAUGGCAGGUUGCGUCCAUUAGAUGUUGUGGACAACCAAAAGCUGUUCUUGUUUUCUUGGGCGUGCUGACUUUUGCUUUGUUAAUACUUGGCACUUGCUUCUCUUUGGUCUUGAUUCAAACAUGUUUGCUUGUUGUUAGACUUUAGAGUUGAUUUUCCAUUCCUUUUUCUGUUAGAUAAGAGAUACCAGUGUUCUGGUACGGUUAAGGCCUGCAUGGGAUGAUCUUCGGAGCUACUUAAUUGCAAGAGGCCGCAAGCGUUUUGAGGUAUAUGUGUGCACAAUGGCUGAGAGGGACUACGCUUUGGAAAUGUGGAGGUUGCUCGAUCCUGAUUCUAGACUGAUAAACUCGGUUCAACUUCCUGACAGGCUUGUCUGUGUCAAAUCCGGUAUGUGUUAAAUCUUGCCUCCAAUCAUGACAAUAACGAAAUGAGUGUAGUUUUUUUUACAUACUGUUUGAAUCGUGAUGUCUAUCAUUUACCUCCUUAUUAUGUAUUUCCAUGUGCAUUCAUAUAAUAACUUGAUAUUUUCAUCCUUUUGAGGUUAAUGCUAAAUUUAUUCAUGUAGGUUCUAGAAAGUCUUUGCUCAAUGUAUUCCAUGAUGGAUCUUGCCACCCUGGAAUGGCCCUAGUGAUUGAUGACCGUCUGAAAGUUUGGGAUGAAAAGGACCAGGGUCGAGUUCACGUUGUUCCUGCCUUCUCUCCAUAUUACGCUCCCCAGGCAGAGGUAAUGUCUAUUUGUAGUUAUUCUACCAUCAAGUUAUCUUACCGUAUUGAUUACCGUGGUCACUUCGUCUUUAAUUUGUUACAGGAAAACUUCCCUAUUCCAGUUCUCUGUGUUGCUAGAAAUAUUGCGUGCAAUGUUAGGGGUGGCUUCUUCAAGUAAGAACAACAUCUUUGCUAUAUGCUACCACAUAAACUUGUUUUCCUGCUACUUGCACCAGAAAGCAACGUCGGAUGAUUUGUCCAUGCAGAAAAUUUAUGGUUCAGUUUGCAGGGAAUUUGAUGAGGGUCUCCUACCAUGGAUUAGUGAGGUUCAUUUUGAUGAUGAAUUAAAUCAUGUUCCUUCUGCUCCUGAUGUUGGUAAUUAUUUGGUUUCCGAGGUAAACUUUGUAAAGGCAGAUGCUUCAGAUUUACUACCUUGAAGUACCAACUUACACUGUUCUUUUGCCUUGUUAGGAUGAAAGUGCCUCAAUUUUGAGUGUAAACAAAGAUCCACUGGCUUUUGAUGGGAUGGCAGGUCCAGAGGUGGAGAGGAGACUGAAGGUUUGCACUUGUACUAUCUUGUUCUGAAUUCCUUGUUACAAAAAGAUGAAUUGUGAAACGAAUGAUAUCCAUUUGCUCUUAUGGUUGAGUACUAAGGUUCUAUGACGCUUUUAAAAAUAUUUUGUCCAUUUGCUCUUAUAGUUAAGGAAUACAUUUAUGAAUCAGAAGGAAAUAAUGGUUUAAUAUUUUUCAUGUGUAAAGUUUAUUAAAUUAGUAAGUUGAGUUAGGCCUGAAAAUAAAUAAACUAAAAUUCUUUCUUUAACAUAUCAACACCUUUUUUGCAUAACUUGACCUCUUGGUUCAUUUGUCAUUGAAUACAAUAAGGUAGUGUUUGGUUGAGAUCACGAACUGAAAUGUAAUGGAAUGGUUCCAAAAGUUGAGAUGAUUCCUGUGUUUGGUUCUUAGAACACAGAGAAGUGGAAUGGAACCAUAUGGUUCCUCAAAAGGGAAUAUUCCCUCAAUAUGCCUAACCAUCUCAUUCCUCAAAAAUGUAGGAAUGAGUUGGUUCCAAGUAGAACCAGUGAUCUAAGUGUUUGGUUCUUAGGAUAUAGAAAAGUAGAACCGUUCCAUUACAUUCCAUUCCUAUAAGAAUAGAACCGUUCCGUUCUGUUCCACCUCGCUCUAGAACCAAACACUACCUAAGAGUCUCAUUACCAACAGUAGCAUAAAAUUUAUUUGAAAAUGCGGUUGCAGGAGACAAUAUUGCAACAUCGGGUCAUUGUUUUAUUUGACCCAAUACAAAAAUAUGCUCCCCCUUCCAUAAAUAUAUGGCAUUUAGGACAUGGACGUAGUCUGCAACAUGCAUUUUUCUAUUUGUACGAUCUUAUCCACCUAAUUUACUGUUUAGUAUAUCUCUAUGCUCUAGGUCUGAUAACCCCUAAAUUAGCUGAAUACAAGAAUACAAGAGUUCCUUUUUAUUAAACUGAAUGAGCUUAUAUUAGCAUCGCUUCUUUUUUUUGUUGAAACAACUAACGCACAACGCUAAAACUAUGCAUAUGCCCUAUGGUGGUGAUUCAAUGGGUUGUCUUCAUGUAACACAAAUGUUGAUGUAAACAGCAGGCCAAUAUCCUCACAUUUCUUAGCAAUUACCAUUGUUUGUAAUGCAUAUCUAAACUACUUUUCAGGAAGCAGGCCACAGUGUUCAAACUGUGGGUCCAAUAACUACAAAUGUCGAUGUGAUGUCAGUAGCUUCUAACCAGCAAUUGGUUACACCUUCAUCUAUCCCGUUAGCACCAGUACUGGGGAUGGUGCCUUUGAAUAACGUUCAAGGUCCGCAGUAUCAAUCUGCUAUUGUGGAUCCGUUGCAAGGUUCUCCAGCUAGAGAAGAGGGUGAGGUCCCCGAGUCUGAGUUGGAUCCUGACACAAGGAGAAGGCUUCUCAUAUUACAGCAUGGCCAAGACACCAGAGAUCCUACACCACCCUUUCCUGCAGAACCUUCUGUAGAAGUACAGGUCUCAGUUCCUCCAGUGCAAUCUCAGGGAAAUUCGUUUUUCAUGGAGGAUUGGAUGGACCCAAGAAGCUUAGAUAGGACCUCGAUGGGUUUUCCUUUAGAAUCUGAUUCUGUACAUUAUGAUAAAAAGCAACCGCCGCAGCCAUCAUACUUCCAUGGUGGGGAUGAUCAUUUAUCUUCUGAUAGAUUUAACUAUCAGAACCAGAGAUAUACUUCUCAGGUGACUAAUGAUCUAUUUUGAUCAAAUUUAAUUUAUCUUUGUUCAUUAAUGAGGUGAUUCUAGAUGAUGUGGUGACAAAUGCUUGAUUUGCUCAGCUGCCUCACAGUGAGGAUUGCCGUAUGCUUCCGAACCAGGCACCUACAACCUAUAGGUCCUUUUCUGGUAUGUUUUUGCUUGCCGUUGAUAUUUCUUUUGUGCCUACUGAAUGUAGAAGCUUAAGAUAUUUAGAAUAUGCUAUUAUAUUAUUUAAUUUAUAAUAUCUUUAUUACUCUUAUAAAGAUCUGAGUUGGUUGGUCUGGUCACUCCAUAGACUAGCAGCAAAUUGCAGUAAUUGCCACCUAUUCUAUGUGGUAGAUAUACAUACCACAAUCUUUCAAUUAUAGUUGAUUUGACCUUGAGAUAAUUAUUAUUUAGCGCAAAAUUGGGGAAUAUAAGGGCGCAAGCCUUUAAACCUAGACAUUACAGUUCGGUUCAGUUUUGACAUAAAUGGCUAGACAUUAUGGCUUGGGCAUAAUCUGUACUCUGUUAAUAUGUCCGCAAGUUAGUCAUUACAGUUUGGUUCAGUUUUAGAAAUGAUAAUAUACUAAGUCCUUUGAGUUAUUUUGGCUGGGUUUUGUUAUACUCCCUCGGUCAUCCUUUAGGAGGCGUCUUAGAUUUUACACGGGUACCAAGGCAGUCUAAAGUGGCUAUAUUUUGGACGAAAUUACCCCUAGCUUGCAGCACUGUAUGCGAAUAGAAAAGAAGCAAGUGAUUGGCAGUGUGCAUGAUGGGAAGUGUGAACGCUGGCUGGGAAGCAAAGGGGCUCUCUCGGGAAGCCAAGGGACCGAUUAAUUUAGUCUGCAUGCAUGCGUAUGAUGGCAGAACGGAGAGAGAAAACAGGAGCAUUCUGGGCACCGUACAUCUGAAAAAGGUUAUACGCCUGCAAAAUCUGGACAACACCAUACAAAUAACACGCCCCCCUAAAAGUGGGCGGAGGGAGUACUGUCUUGUUAGUAUGCCUUAAGUUAAUGACUACAAUGGAUGGGCAUAAUCCUUUUUUUUAACCAAACAGACUUAAAUCCUUUUAAUUGCAUUGGAGGGAGUAGUAAAGUUGUACCAAGUCUGAGACACUUAUUAUGGAUCGAAGGGAGUAGUAAAGUUAUGUGGUACCUUUUUCUGAUAUGUUUUCUUAUAUUGAAUGAUUUUCUUAAUUUUACUUUAGCUGCAUAAGUAAAUUAAUUGCAUGCAUAUUUAGUGGUUGAACACCAUGGUACUAUUUCUGAACUCAUUGCAAGCGCAAGCGUCAAUUAGUUUAACAUAUCUAAGUGCAUUUGUCAUGUAUUGUUUUCCUUCUUUUGGUGUAUUCUCCUACUCUCCUGUGGUUAGACGAUGAUGUAAGAUGCUCUUUCCAUGCCAAUUAAUUGAAUAUUUGUGCACCUUUUCAUGCUCCAGUACCCCAGUGUAUGUAAACCCAUCAGUGUGUGACUGUUACCAGCUACGGCGGAGAAUAAUAAGAUUGCCCUCUGCCUCUUAGUAAUCCUGUAUACAUGGUCAUUUGAAUGCUAAUGUUUGGGAAUACCAUAGAGGUGAUAAAAAUAAGAACUGGAUAGAUGAUUGCGCCCUUUAGUGCUGUCCUUUGAAUGUGGUUUGUUACAUGUAAGAAAUUCUUGUUUGCUCUCAGUGGUGCUCCUGGGACUCCCCUACAGUUUUGCUAAUAAAUAAAUAAAUUGCAAUUUCAUGGAUGCCCCUCUUAAACUAUUUUAUUUGUCUUAGUCUAGAGUAUCUGAAACUGUAUUUUCAAUGUGAAGGAGAGGGCACAGCAACCCAGCGCCUUCAUUCAGGGCAGAGAAGCGGCCAAUUGGAAUCAGGACAUCAAUUUGUACAAUAUACAGAGACAUCUGGUGGUGUGCUGCAGGAGAUUGCGGCGAAGUGUGGAUUUAAGGUAGUUUUGUUGCAAGUAGCGACAAAUCAGAUAUACCUUAUCUUCAGUAUGUUUUAGUUUUACCGUAUCUGAUGUGUUUCAUCACUUGUUUCUAGGUGGAGUACCAGUCAACUUUAUGUGAUACUGCAGAGUUGCGAUUCUCCAUUGAGGUAUUACAACUCCUGCCGACUGAAAUGUCAACAAUGUUUUAAUAAACAAUCUUGUUAAUGAAAAAUGGUAUUUUCUUUUAUUGGAAAAUUCGAAAACUUGAUGUUGAUGUGGACGCCAGGAUAUAAUCUUGAUAACAAGAGUCACCAGAUAGCAACUAUUUGACAUACAUUUAAAUUUCAUGAACAAUUUAAGUAUGCUGCUGAAUGGAAAUUGUUCUAGUCCGCUUGCAGUUUUCACAAUUUCUCACAUUUUUCCAUCUUUAACUUCCGUGUGGCUCUUCCAGGUUUGGGUUCUUGGAGAAAAAGUAGGUGAAGGAAUGGGAAGAACUAGGAAAGAAGCACAACGGCAGGCUGCUGAUAUAUCUUUAAGAAAUUUGGCAGGUGGGUUUGUGUUGAGCUCCCUAGUUUCUUGAUUCCAGACGACAACUGGCAAAUAUGUAACCUGGACUUAUGGGUGGUUGAUUCUGGGUAUUAAUAGCAUAUGAAGCAAUCGGCUGUUCAAGAGGAUUUUUUUUAUAUUAGCUUACUUCAAAGAUAUCAUCAAAGUCUCUGAAUCUUUGGACAGCUUGUUGUUCUGAUUUCUGACGCUCUAAGCAUGUUUCAGCUAUUAGUUAUCUGAGGUCGCUGAAAUGUUCCUCCAUUUCUUUGUGUCUGUCCAUAAUUUCCUAAUUUCCACUUUGGUUGAUCUGAUCUACGGGCACAUAUUGUCAAUCCAAAUUAGGCAGAAAAUUAUAAAUACUGUAAUGAAUCAAUCUUCCCAUAAAGUGUAUAUAAUUGUCGCUUUCUUUCCUCGCAGUAUGUGUUAGAUUUUGACGGUGAAGUUUUCUUGCAGAUAAAUUUCUGUCAUUUGAUCCAGAUAAGAUGACAGUUCUUAAGGAUAACGGUUUUAGUAGCAAUCCAAACGUAUUCAGGUAUACAGGAAGUAACAGAGAUAACAUGUUAACACCUGCAAACACUUCAGAUGAUUCUAGAUAUAUGAAUGAAAGACUUGACAAUUCAAGCAAAUCUACUGGCUCUGUUGCUGCUCUCAAGGAGCUUGUAAGUUACCUGCUUUAAUUAUCAGUUAUGAACAAAGUGUAUCCUUAUAACUGAGAUAUAUGUUUCCAUGUGUUGCAGUGUACAGCAGAGGGGUAUAACUUAAUUUUCCACGCUCAGCCAUCUCUGUCAGAUAGUUCGACAGGUAAAGAAGUUCAUGCGCAGGUUAGUACUCCAUUUUGGCGAAUGCUCAUUGAAAUUAUCUCAUACAUGUAACAAUGUGCGCACUAUGAGUGUACUUAGUAAAAGCAAACUUCCGUUGACUUUAAAAGAUGGUACAAGAUGAUAUUCUGAUUGUGAUGUUUUGUAUUACGGUAAUGCCAGUAGAAUAGCAUUUGUUUUAUGUUGUUAUCAACUCGUCAUUGGUUAAGGGAUGCUCCGAUAAGAUUUUGAUCUGAUGGAUUCAAUAGAAAACAUCGUUUGAACUUACUUCCAUUUUUCAAGGAACUCGUGCUCUCGGUGUACUUUCUUUUUCUUUUGGUUUACUUGCAUUUGGCUUUUCAGGUCGAAAUAGGUGGGCAAAUCCUGGGACAAGGAGUUGGAGCAACAUGGGAGGAAGCCAAGCUGCAGGUUGUGUGAGCUGAUAAGAACAAUAUUUUUAUUCAUUUCUUCACUUCAUUCUUCUUGGAGUUUUGAAAUCUCUUUACAACCUUAAUUACCAUCCUUUCUGGAUGCAAUGUGGGGUUGGUUUCCUAAGGUGUCUAAGACAUUACUUUUAUGGUUUACUUUUGAUGCAAUGUACAUUUGUUUUGGAGAGCUUUUCUGGAUUACGUGCAGUUAAUUUUCAGUAUUUAUUCCUGAGCCUGUUCUCUUACAUAAAUGUCCUUUUGUAGGCUGCUGAUGGGGCUCUGGGAACUUUGAAAUACAUGCUCGGUCAACUUGGACAGAAACGGUCUGGAUCUCCAAGGUGAUUGUUAGCCAGUCUCUUGUUUGUUGUAGAUCUGUAAGAUCAUUAGCACUCGAGUAUUGGAAUAGACCCGGACAAAGUUCUUUUGGAAUGUGGUGUUUCAUGCUUUUGGAUGGGGGGCUAGGUUUUAUCUGAACAGGGGAUAUUUUCCCUAUUUUCAUUUUUCAUACAAGUAAAUAUAAUACCAGGUUAAAGCACAUCUAGCACACACUAAGGAGUCUGCCGUAAGAUAGAAGUAAGCAGCUUAUACGUGAGGCUCACUUGUUUGCUGUUUAAAGUUAGAUGAUUAACAAUGGCGUAGUAUGAAAUCUGGAUGCUUAGAUUGACGCCAUUUAGCCAUUAUAAAUGGCGCACUGCUGUAAACCCUUGACAGAAGUGUUGGAAGAAAAGUUUCCAUUGUCUAGAUUCUGGGCUAGCAGGAAUGAUGCUUGUUUGAUUACAGCUAGCCAAGAAGAGAUAAAUUCUAUGCCCUUUGAACAGAGAUAUGCUGUACUGCUAUAGCACCCUAGUCAGUUUUAGAGAAACUGUAAUCAACAACUAGCUGUGCACACAUCCCAUAUUGCAUUUGGUCCUCUUUAGUUUUUUUUAAUUCAUUAAUGUAGCUUAGGUUAUUGUUGUACACGAGCAAAAUUUUAUCACAAACUACGGCUAUUUGUGACCUGUGAAAAAAAAGAAAGAGAUACAUACAUAGCGCAGGAUACUAUUCAUUUGUUUUCUUUUUUGCACAGUUCACAAAUGGUCAUAAUUUUAUGAUGAAUUUUGUAAAUAUAACAUAACCUAUCUCCAUGAUUUAUUUUUUCAAAUUUUCUGAACAAUCAGAAGAGCCACUUGAAAUAUAGAGUGUGCGCGCAUUUAGUUGUCGAAAAUCCACAUUUGUUACCUUGUUCAGUUUUGUAGUUGAUGAUGAAGUUGGCUGAUUUUAGUUUAGUGUUGACCAUAAUAGUGAUUGCUCUUUCCGCAGAUCAUUUCCAUCCAAUUUUGGUAAGCGCUUCAAGCCAGAUUUCCAGCGGACGGUGCAAAGGGUUCCUUCUGGCAGAUAUGCUAGGAAUGAUGGCCGUGUUCCUUGAUUUUAUUGUGUCGGAAUCCUGGAGUUCUAAGGCCCCAUUUGUUUGGGCUUCAGCUUCAGCUUUUGGUGUUUCUAACAAUCUCAAAAGCACUUCUUCCGUUUACACAUGAUGCUGAGAAGCACCUCCGGACGUGCUUCUCAGCUAGAAGUACCAAAAGCACGUCCGGAGGUGCUUCUCAACUUCAUGUGUAAAUGGGAGAAGUGCUUUUGAGAUUGCUAGAAGCACCAAAAGCUGAAGCAGAAGCCGAAACAAACAGAGCCUACGCUGGACAGGAUCCGGAGUGGGUCGUGCAGGGUUGUUCAAAGGGAAUGAUUUUUGUAUCGGUUGUAGAGUGGGUACGGAGUGGGUUGUAAUAGAAUAGUUGUUUUUGUUGCCUGCGGGCCUGUAAGUGCGUCGCGGUAAUUUCUUCAAUAUAUAAUACACCUACUUGGGUGUAUUCUAAAAAAAAAAGCUGGACAGGAUCCAUCAGUAGUUCAUCGCAAUCUGUUGCCCCUCAAGAGCUUCCAUAUUAUGCUGUGUUUGGUUGAGGGAAUGAAAAGUGUAAUAUAAUGUAAUGGUUCUACUUUUGUGGGUGGUUCUUGUGUUUGGUUGAGGUAAUACAUCAAAAUGGAAUGGAACCAAGUGGUUACGUUCCUUCUCAGACCUGGCGGCUUCUCCUCUGAAGCCAUGGCGUCUGUCCCUGCUCCCACCCCCGUGACAGGUCUCAAUGACGACGGAUUCAUUCAUGUAUUUUUCCCCUAUAGACGCUCAAUUGAAACCCGCUGCAUAGCAAUAGAUGAGUAUGCACGUGUUUAGUUUAAAUUACCUGUAUAUUAUUUAUUUAGUUAGGAGGUGGAGUAGUUAGAGUUUUCAAUUUUGCUAUGUGGUCGAGUUUCUCUUGUAACUUGAAUAUUUGCCUCUGCCUCUGGUGCCGGCUUAAAAGAAUGUUCUAUCCAGAUUGAAACUAGAGUGUUCUGUUUUGCAUGGUAUUUAUAACGGAGUAGCGGACGUAGAAGUAACCAUUGGGUCCUGGAUGUUAACUUUUCUUACUCCUGUAUGAAGUGUUUCGGGUUAACGAAUCGUCGACGUAAGGAGUGCAAUGCUGAUGAUGAACCACAGAGGAUCUAGGUUUGCCGAUCUACUCAUCGAUCGUCCCAUCAUGGCAUCAUGCCAUUUGUUUGAGCAAACUACUACUCAUACUCCACCUACGUAGGUUUCACUCCUUACCGUGCGUACUGUCCAAAGCUGAAACUCCGUCGUGUGCUUGUCAUGCUAACCAUCUUCCUUUUUUUUCUUGAGAUCUUUUACGGUGCCUUCAAGUUGUUGUGAGGCGUCUAUUUUAUUUGAUCCGAAAGCCCACAUUAAUUUAUACUGAGGGUAAAAACAGGAGUAUCAAAACGGACUGGUACUUAGAUGAAGGGCAAAAUCGGUACGUAGUCCCAAAAAAUAUCGCGCACGACACGAAAAAAAAAACUCCUGCAGAAAAAUGCCGACCCAGGCCCAUCUGACCGAGCUCUCCCUCAUCGUCUCGGUCGCUCGAAACUCCGGAACGAGUCGUUCCUCAUCCGCUCACGCUGUGCCAAACGAGGAACGGAGUCGGCCGGCCUGUUUUGGAGCAGAGGAACCUGGGGGCGGAGCUGGUGCCGCCGGCCUGUUUUGGAGCAGGCCGGGCGAAGGUCGUAUGGUAGCAUGGAGCGAAGGGCUGGGGUUCCAGGCGGCGUGCACAGCGGCAAGCAUGACGAGAGAGAGCUCUAUGGUUGCAGCCUGACCAGGGAGAGGUCUACUACGGUGACAGUCUGAAGGGGUGGUGACGGCACAGGACGGAGCGGCGCUCCGUUUAUUUCACGAUGAUGCCGACGUCUGGAGAUCGAUCGAUGUAUCCCUGCUUUUUUUUGCUGAUCGGUAGUUUUUGGGUUUCAUGGGCCUCAUCCGGUCAGGCCUAAGGCCUAUGAAAAAAUAUUGGACGCGAAAAGUCUAAACUACCCAAAUCCAACAGCUAAACAAUCGACUGAUCUAUAAAAAAAAUUCAGAUGGCUCAGUUAUAGCAAAAAAAUUCAAACAAUUGUGACUGAGCUAGUAUUAUUUCUUUAUUUCUUGACCGGGAAAAAAAGGACCCACAGAGUGAGGGUGGGGAAACAAUACACACCGACACGGCGUGCUCUGUACCCUGGUUAUUUGGUGUGUAUUUUCCAAUCCCCGGACAGUUGCAUAACCAAAGCGUUGACAUGCACAUGCGUAUUUUCAAUUAUAUGAAACACGCUGGAUUGAUCAAGCAUCGUCCAUUGAUAAGAUAUCCCGGAAUCACGUGGAAGUCGAUCUCAUUAGUAAGUAAUAAUUCCCAAGUGCGGCGCUACUUGACUAUUUCUGGGCCAUAGUUUCAAAGUAAAAAUGAACUAAUGCUCGGCCAGCAUGUGCUCGUCCUCAUUUGAGCCAUCACUAAGCACAAGUUAAUUUCAUGCAAAGGGCACACCUGGGUCAAUCCUUUAUCGUAAACGGUAGUAGAGGACGCGCACACAUAUGCAUGCAUGUAUACGAGACUAACGACAGGCAGCCGAAGUAAAACAAAUCCUUCGUAGAACAGCAAAGCAAGUGUACUUAAUUUUAACCUAUCAGCAGCUGUUCGAUCAUGCGGAUGGCGCUCCCUCCCUUCCCAUGUUACAAAGACAGGGAAGCAAAAUUAACAAGAGUUUACUUGGCAACUACGGGGGCAGCUAGCCAUUGCACACGUAGCGCAAGGAACCAAGACCGCCAUGGCCACCCCUCCUGCUGCAACCCUCUUCUUUUCUCCGGCGAUGACGCCGGCCCCUCGGAAGCCAUUGCUCCUCCUCUCCCUCUCACUCCCCGUCCUGCUCCUGCUCUUCUCCCUCGUCUUCCUCCUGUCGCACACCACCUUCAGCCUCCUCCUCUGCCCCCUCCUCCCGCAGUCGCCUUCGAGGUCAGCAAAUGCCACGACCACCACUUCUCCUCCCAGUGCUGCUGCUACUAGCCUCGAUGCCUCCAUGGACAAGACCCUGCGAGCAUUCCAUUUAUCCUCAUCGCCGCCAUCGCCUCCUCCUCUGGUGGUCGUCAAGACGACGAACAGCAAGAAGGCGUCCACGAAGAAGCGGAACAAGAGCCUAGUGAAGCUCCUGCUGAGGCAGACGCCCCGGACGCGCCGGUUCGCGUCGCGCGCGGCCGAGCUCUUCGCUCCGCAGCCACCGGCGCGCCCGUGCGCGCGCCGGUUCUUCAUGACGUGGCUCUCCCCGCUGGAGCAGUUUGGCAGCCGGGAGCCCCUCGUCCUGGAGACCCUCUUCCGGUGGCACCCGGACGCCUGCGUCCUCAUCGCCUCGGACACCAUGGACUCCCCCGACGGCGCCACCAAGCUCAGCCCGUUCGCCGACCGCGGCUUCCGCGUGGCCGCGCUCUCCCCUGACCUGGCGCACCUCCUGGCCGGCACCCCCGCCGAGCCCUGGCUCGCCUCGGUGCGCCGCGGGGAAGUCAGCCCCGGCAGCGUGCCCCUGGGCCAGAACCUCUCCAACCUCCUCCGCCUGGCUCUUCUCUACAAGUACGGCGGCGUGUACCUCGACGCCGACGUCGUCGUGCUCAGGCCUUUCAUGGAGCUCGGCGCCCGGAACGCCAUCGGCGCGCAGGCCGUGGACGCGGCCACGGGGGAGUGGACGCGGCUCAACAACGCCGUCAUGGUGUUCGACCGCCCGGGCCACCCGCUGCUCCGCGAGUUCAUCGCCGAGUUCGCCGCCACGUUCGACGGCAGCAAAUGGGGCCACAACGGGCCGUACCUGGUGUCGAGGGUGGUGGCGAGGCUCCGGGGACGGAUGAUGCCGUGGCUCGGCGUCACGGUGCUGCCGCCCCGGGCGUUCUACCCCGUGGACUGGAACAGGAUCGGCGGGCUCUUCGUUUCGCCCAAGGACAGGAAGGGCGAGAAGUGGGUGAAAGCCAAGGUGGAUAGCAUCAAAGGCAAGAGCUUUGGCAUCCAUCUGUGGAACAGGGAGAGCAGGGGGAUGGAGGUGGAGGAGGGGAGCGUGAUCGGAAGAUUGAUUGCGGACAGCUGCUUGUUCUGCAAUUCCUCCAUGCAAGGGUACCUCAAGGGGAAAAGUGUGUCCUGAAUCAACAUGAUUUCAUACUCCGGUGCUUGAGAAGUGCCUCGGCCGUUCAAGAUGGGUGCAUGUGCAUCCAACGGUACCAGAGUACCAGAGUGCUCCUGGUACAGCUUCCCCAUCCCGAUCAAAGAAACGAAGGUACGAUAACUUUUUGGCGCCUGGCCGGAAACACUCACCUUGGGACCCUGAAUUGGGAGCCACCGUGAGAGGUUCCCUCCCUCUAUUUUUCUGGUUUUUCUUCCUUGUUUUGCACCUUCGGGUGUUGUAAUUAAACUCCUGCUAUAAUAUGAAAAGCCAGCAAUUGCUGGAUCUUUGAGAAAAAAAGAGAGGCUGUAUCGUUGAAGUUCCUCGACCAUUCAAGAUGGCUUCGUUUGGUUCGGAUUGAACCAAUUCAAUACGAACCAGGAGAACAUGGAAACCACACCACUUGCUCUAUAUCACUAGCAUAUUCCUUUUUCUUUUUGAAAAAAUGGUACACUUGUAAUGAGUUAUCAUCAAAUUAUAUAAUGAAUUCUUCAUCAACUAUAUUCUUUUUGUCGGUGGAAGAUACCACCAGAUACAACAUCAUUCAUGUGUCGUCCCUCCCAGGUCAUAUUUGGGAUAUCUUUACACUAAAAACAUGAACAAUUUCAUCUAUGUUACACCUAUGCCCUCUAAAGUGGUGUCGAGCUCUCUAAACCGGCAGUGGUUAAAGGCAGGUUGAUCAUUUUCGAACCGGAUGUUCAGAAUCCUGUUGGUGACAGAAGCAAGAUGCAGCCUGAUCAACAUUGGAACAUGGAAUCACAUGAAGUUUCUUGUUACUGAUUAUGUCAGCCUAGAGAAUCAGACUUCUUCCCAUCCUGUAUUAAGUGUUGUGUAUCCUCAAGCUCUACCUCACCUCCUCUCGAUUCUUUCCCAACUUCAAACAUCAUUUCAAUCUGCUCCAGAGUUUUCCCUUUAGUUUCCGGCACACAGAAGUACACAAACGCAACAGAGACAGUUGAGAUUGCUGCGAAGACGAAGAACAUUCCUGCCACAGAUAUAGCACGGGCCAUGGAGAGGAAUGACAUGGAAACCAAACCACUGCCAACUCUACCACCUACUUGACCAAGUGCUGAUGCCUGAGCUCGUAAUCUUAUAGGAAAUAUCUCUGAAGACAAGACCCAACAUAUCGGUCCCAUCCCGAUUGAGAAGAAUGCCACAUUCCCACAGACUGCAAAUAUUGCUAGGUCAAUCCCAACACUUGGAGAAAUAAGCCCCACUGCAUGCUUUGGCAACGUAAGUGCAAUCCCCAAGACAAAUAAGCAGACAGUCAUGCCAAUGGUGCUCACAUAAAGAAGAGGCUUGCGCCCAACUUUGUCAAUGAGGAAAAUUGCAACCAAUAUGAAAAUCGUCUUAGUAAACCCAACUGCAACUGUUGCAGCAAGAAGCUCCUGGUCAGACUUGAUCCCAGCAUCCCUGAAAAUUGUUGGGCUGUAGUAGACAGUAGCAUCAAUUCCAGUGAUCUGUUGGAACAACUGAAUACCACAGCCAGCAUAUAGCAUCCGACGAACAGCAGGAGAAGGGUUCAAUAGCUCCCUCCACACUGCCUUGUCCUCUGAUUUCACCGACUUCAUAAUAUUUGCCGCUUCCUCAAUCUCAGCCAGCCUUUCCUCAACCUCAGCUUCUGACGCACUUAUCUGAAGCAACACUGCCCUCGCUUCUGGAACUCUCUUCUCCAUCAUCAGCCACCUAGGGGACUCAGGGAUCACAAAAAGAGCGACGCCAAUGAAGACAGAUGGGAGGAUCCCGACACCAAGCAUAACCCUCCAACUGAUGUGCUCAGAAAGGCCCGAGAAAGCAUAAUUGGAAACAUAGCCGAGGAGGAUCCCAAAAUUGAUGCAGAUCUCAGGGAGGGACGUAAGAGUCCCACGUGCAGCCGCGGGGGAGAUCUCAGCAAUGUAGACAGCAGAUAUCAUGGCGCCAAAGCCGAUGCCCACCCCGGCAAGAAGCCUCCCUAUCAUGAGCACAGUGAAUGAAGGGGCAAAUGUCAUGAUGGCUGCACCGGCCUGGAAGAUAAUUGCACCAAGGCCCAUUGUCCAUUUCCUGCCAAUUGCAUCAGAUGUUCUUCCUCCUGACAGACUUCCCAGGAGAGAAAUCACACUCAGGCAACCUACUAGGAUUUCUUGCUGGAACUCGGUAAUGUGGAGAUCUUUCUGGAUGUAGAUGAUUGCACCACUCAUGACACCAACAUCUGCAGGUAGCCACAUGAGUCUUGGGUUAACAAAAGAGUUAGACAACGGUCAAUCUUAUUUUCAUACCUAAGAAAUUCAAUAGCAUAGCAGCCAUACAAACUAAAUUGUCAUGUUUAUGCUGAUUUCCACGUUCAUGGCAAGCAGGGAUCAGAACCUCACUUGUAAAUCAUCUACUACAUAACUGUAAGUUACAUAACAUCGAGAUAAAAUCAUAAGAACUUCAUGCUGCAAUUUCCAGAUUCCACCUUCCGUGUAACGUUCGGAAUAAAAAUCAAGAGAAGAUUGCCUCUCGAAGGCAUGAAAAAAGUACCAAUACACUAGCAGUUCCAAAUUUCUGUUACGAUUCCAGUCACGCCCGGGUGCAGAGACUUAUGGAGAACACACUAUUUCUAUCAGUAAGCUCGGAUCCCCGAGGUCGCCCGCGGCGGCACUGCGAGAACUCACCGUAGCCGAGGAGGAUGGCGUUAAGCGAGGCAAAGAUGGCGCAGGCGUACACGAACCGCUCCUUGCUCCUCCUCUCGGACGCCGAGGCCGAGGCCUUCCGCCCUCGCGCCUCCGGCCCCGCCGUGUCGACCUCCGGCCCGCCGCUCGGAUCGAGAACCGCGUACUUGCUCCUGCCAUUGGAGGCCGCGCCCGCCAUCGCCCCGCCCCCGCGCUGCCGGCGACGCGGUUUUGCUGCUCUCGCGGCGGAAUGGCGCCGGGUUUGGGGGUCAUGAAAGGCGAAUGAGGUGCGACCCCAGCGACCGCGCGAGGAAGGUAGGGGAUGCCGACGUGUUCCGCGGUUCCUUCCGCCUCGCCGCUUGCCUGUUACUUUCCUACUGGAGGAGGAGGUGCGAAAAUGUAUUUUUAAUUUCGUAUAGCUCUUUCUCGUGUUAAUCCGGAGUACUGAAUGUAUUUCCACAGCUAUCUCUAAUCCCCUGCCCUGAGUUGCUUUAGGGCUAGAAUUAAAUUUGGAGACUGUGUUAGGUUCGGUUUGAUAUUUUUGUCGGAUUUGUCUGGGUCAAAAUACUCGGUUUUGACAUGGAAAAGUCCUGGGAGAGUGGGAGCUGGACUUGGACCCCGCCCUUGCCGGCAAAAGGGACCGUGGCAAUUGGGUUAUUCAUUUGCGUGUUUAAGUUAUGCUGCAUUGUGGAGUAAUUUAGACGGAGUACAAUUGGGUUAUUCAUUUGCGUGUUUAACCGUUGUCCUGAAUCUGAUCGUGGGAAUAUGGGAUGAGCUUCCGCAGCCUAAAUUCGCCGGGUGGCAGGGCCAGAUAGCCGGGUGAAAAAAAAAUCUGGUGCGAUCAGCAGGAUUAUCUUGGGAUUUACCAUUUGGCCACACAGCGGCCCUGAAUUUGACGAGUGGCGAGGUCAGACGAGCUCUACUGGUUCUGGUUGAAACCAGAUGUCGCUUUCCUGCAAGUUUAAGCAAAGCCAGGUGGUUCGGACCAAUCGACCCUCCGGCCGGUACGAGUAGGAACCAACAAUCUCAGAAAGUUCCCCGUUACUACAUGACAGCAAUAGCUGUCCCCUCCUCCAUUCCCGUCGUCAGAUGCUUCCACGGUUCCACCUACCUGAAUCUGCCAAACUCGGCCUUCGACGAUACCCAGCAGUUCUUGCUACAGGAACACUCGACAACUCAAGAACUGGCACAAUUCCAGCUUUCAGGAGCCAACAUAAACGUAUUACUUGUCGGGGGACAAACGGCAUGUUUCGGAGUUCCUAGGACUCUGCUACAACCUCUAAACGGCCGGAGCAUAGCAGGCAUAAGCUUUGCGUGCAUGGCACCGUAUCGCGUAUUCGCGUUAUGGCCACGCUUCCGUUGCAUUCAACAUUUCAAACCCCGACAUACGCAAAGAUGAAUUCCAUUCCAUUCUCCUGGAGGAGAAGAAAGAAACGAAUUGCUUGGGAGAAAGAGAGGAGAAUUGACGCUGACCGUAGCCGAGGAGGAUGGCGUUGAGCGAGGCGAAGAGCGCGCAGGUGAAGACGUACCUCCCGGCCCUCCUGCGGCCGAGGCUCCCCGCCGCGGCCCUGCGGCUCCACUCCGCCUCGUCCAUCUCCUCCUCCAGCUCCGGCUCCAUCCUCCGGUAUUUGCUGCCGCUGCUGCUCCUCCUCGGCGACCUCACCUUCACCGACUCCAUUGUCAUCAUCAAUCCUCUCUGCUCUGCUCUGUUUGUUUUGGUUAGAACUUAGGAGGAAGAAAUGGGUAUGGUCCUCCUCUUCAGAUCUAGCGCAGGAGCUCAAAUGAACUCCUGCCUUUUUGCUUGGGUUGGCUAGUUUUGUUAUGCUAUUAGUAAGACCUUUGCGAUUAGUUUUUAGUCUCCCCCACGUUCACGGCAGGGCUUUGGGGGUUUUCUAUGCUGCAAGUGGCCAAGGUUGUAGUUCGAAUCACUAUUAGAUUCCGGUCUUCAUGUUUAGAAGGAUUUAGAAGUUCAGAUCCGUUUUGGUUGCGCGUGACCGAGGACUGGUCCUCCGGCUAGUCGUGCAAAUGUACCGGGAGGGCAACGACUCUUCUUGUUGAUGUAUCAGAUGGCUUCACGGAUUAAAAGGAAAAUAAAUACUGCAUGUUUAUCAGGUUUUAGACGGUGUUACAAGAGUAGACAACCAAGGGAGCACUGCCAGAAUCACAUGUCGAAAGUGAACUCAAGAUAGAGGAUAAUCAAGGUUAAAAUGUAGUACUCCGUACUAUCUUUGCGUUCUGUUUGAAGGGUCAACGGGGUUACUUGCUGUACACUGCAGGCGUAGAAGGGAAAGCAGCUACAUAUUCUGUUUCAAAAUCCCUUGUCCUUAUGCUUAUAUGCUCUAGGGUGCUCAUAAUCAUCGUUGAUGGACCGGAACUUGAGGAUCUUUUGAACGCUCGCGAGAUGUUUCACCUCCUUGGGUGCUGCUUCCUUCAUUCCUUCCUUGCUGCUGCUUGUUUGCCUGUCCUUGUUUUCUUUAGCACGUGCCGCCUCGCCAUGAAUGGGUUUUGGUUGAGCAUCUGACACGGUAAGGAACAGAAUAAAACACCAAAUGAAUCUAAUGUAAAAAUCACAUUAUGUGAGCGUGUGGAAUUCUGGGCUGCUAAUGAAUUGUGCAGAAUGGUGUUAACCUGCCUUUCUGAGAAGUUCAGUGCAUACAUAUUUCUUCUGGUUCGAACUAUACUCAUUAAAGGGAUUCAAGAACGUGGGUAUAUGUGCAAAUAUGGGCAUCUCAUUUAAAACAAACAUCUAAAAUCUUCAGGAAACAACAUCAGCAUAUUCACAUAGUUUCAGAUAAGUAUAAUAAACUAGAGUGCCUGCAUGACAUUUAACAGGCUAUGAAGAAAUGUUUGCUGCAAAGAAAGAGGAGCAGGAAUGUUAUCAGUGCAAGCACUUACCACUUUCUGAAAAUAAAUAACAUAUGCCAACAGUUUCUUCGUAUUCUCCAAUCUGUCAUUAAACAAGGCAUCAGCUACCAGCUAACUCAGCAAUUAGGUUCACAAUUGGAAGCCCUAUAGUACAGAUUCCAAAAACUAAAACUGCUGAGAUUAUCAGAAGGGAAGGAAAACCAAUGAAGUUUAGUGGUACAAGUAACACCAGCAAACGCUGCGAGUUGUUAGUGCUAAAGCUGGCAUAAAUAUUGUAUGGAAUUCAAAUACAACUUAGUUCCAUUUUGUUCUCUUAGAACUUCAACAGAAACAAAGUACAGUUAUUAUAUAAAAAAUCUUGAAUAAAUACUCCAGACAAUCUCCAAUAAUGAAUCUAUCGCUACAACCAACUGACAUUGCACAUCUCAGAGGUAUUGUUAAACAUAGACUGCAACAAUAUGAAAAAACAUAAACAGUGCUCCUUAAGCUGGUAAAUAAACAUCUUCAAAAGCAAAACAUAACAUGAACAAUACUCACCAUCUUCAGGCCAUCACCUACUACCAAGGAAGGAGUCAAUGUAUCCAAACCCUGAAAAACAUUACAAAAACUUAGUGAAGUGCACAUAAAGGCGGUAAACAAAAUUAUGCAGAUAUGUCAUAUAAGAAAAUAAGUCAAUCACUAAACAUCAGGCAAAGAUAGCAUUGACCUUUUCCAUCCAUGAAUCAAGGAACCACACAUAGGCAUCAAAAAGCUAAAUGAGUUGCAGACAUGCUGACAGACUAGCAUCUCCUGACAUAAUUAUACCUAGAUUUUCUCUUUGAAUCUACCAUAGAGGCAUAGACGCACACUACGCAGGAUUUUGUGUCUGAUAAUGGUAUCCAUUGACCAUAGCAACCAAAAAAAUUGGAAGAAAAAUUGUUCCAAACACAAGAAACAAUAUCUUGUCCCUUCAUGUAGCAGGUAGUAGCAUACUAAUGGCAAAAAACAUCUUAGAUAAUCAGCACACAGCCUACAGUUUCAUAUUCACUUUAAACAAAAAAAAUGCCUUAAACUUUGUUUGGAUUUGAACAUUUCUGACAUAACCAAAUCUCAAGCAAACUCUUUCUUGAUAUCAAUGGUAUAGAGAUAGCAAAUUUCAAAAUUUGGAGCCACCGCAUCUUAUUAUUAGAUAGACACCAGAGUCUGAUGUCUAUUUGUACCUGUAACCUGCAGACACAGAGAAAAACCAACUUACAGAGAGUAUAUACGGGGCAUUUGGUUGUAUGUCAGAAUAAAGGCAAUCAUCCAACUCUAGCAAGAUAUAUUCUUCUUCUUCCUCCUCCUCUUCACAGAUGUGUUCGUCUUUCUCGUGUUCCUUUGCCAUCCCCAAGAAGAUUUGGACUUAUACAGUAGUAAAUCCCGCACUUUACCAACCAGAUUAGCUGCAGAGUUCAGAAGCAGAAGAUGAGCGCACAAGAUGCAACUACCACGAAUUUUGUUUACACUAGGUGAAUACACAACACAGCACUCCCUAGAUAAAAAGUGCAUCACUUAAAUCCCCUUGUGCUUACGGCUAGUAAUAAACUAAGAUACCACAGUGAGGGAUUACUGAUGGUACAACUUCUUUAUAAGGGAGAAUGGAUACUUGCCCUAAAGUUCAUGUGUCUCAUAUCAUUUGCCUUGCAGGGGAUCAUAUACCAAUUUCUUCAUGUGCCAACUGUUAACAAAAUAUAUCCCCAUGUCAAAUGAUAUACACGCCUCUCAUCUAUUUUGUCUCUAUCAGCUCCCAACCAGAGACACUGAGCCCUUUAUCUGUUUGUUUGUCUUCUCCAAUUACAUGCAUGAAUAUCUCUAUGCUAAGGUGUGUACUCAAUAAGAAUAUCUCUAUACUUAAUACAAAAAAGGAUAUAUAUCUCUGCUUAACACAAAUGGAUCGAUCCAUACGAGAACAAAAUUAUACAUUGUGUAGCUCAUCGGCUGAUCCAAUUAUAAACCUCGUGCAAUUACAAUAUGCCAAAUAUCCAAACAAUAUUCAACUUGCAGAGGCAAAACGGAUCCGUGAAAAGCAAUUGCUUGCACCAUAAGAGACACAGACGGACAUGGGGAUACAGCAUUUUCUAAAAACAGCGAUAGUGGGAUUCCGCGACUAUAUAAGUGUUUUCAAAAACACAUGAUAAAGAUAAUCGUAAAUUUAGAUGAGAGGGUGACAGAGAGUUUGUACUGAAUCCGCGCCAAUUAACAUAGAAUGGAGAUAGUAGAGUAUUUGCCAUGCCUCACUCCUCAAUUCUUCAUAACGUGGUCUUUGCUGCCUCCCAUAAGGAAGGAACAGCAGCAGCAGAAAGCUUGUGGUAAAAAAAAAAAACAGCAGAAAGCCAGCAACUCAGCAGCAGCAAAAGCGAGAGGGGAGGGAGUAGGGACGGGACUAGGGGGCUCAGAGGAGACGAUUAGGUUACCUCUUGCCGUCACCUGAUAACGGGGAAGGUAGGUGGUGAUGGUCGGCGGCUACCGUAUCGGGGAGGGAGAUGGGGACUGGUCGCGGCAGCCUGAUAUGGUAUAGGUUUUUUUUUUUUUGAGCGAAUGAUAUGGUAUAGGUUGAUAGCGACAGGGAUUUAUGGGCUUUUUUACCGUUUUUUGGGCCCAGACGAUGGAAGUCCAUGCUGCGCUGGGGCCGAGCCUUCCAAUGCAGGUCGCGAUUCCAUUCGCUCGCGCACGUGCCGCAAGCGCUCGCUCGCCAAGCCGCCCUGCGCGCCGCAUCCGCUCGCACUGCGCCCGCGCGCCUUAACGGGUGGGUCGCCCCUUAACGGGCGCCGUACGCAAGUUUUGUGGGGCGUCCCAUAGUUCAGUCCUUGAUGGAUUGAGCCUCAGCCCCCAUGCAUCUGCAUGCACCUGCUGCCAUGUAAGGGCUUGUUCGGUUGCAGAUUUUCCGGUGGUUAUCGGAAGGGAUUCAUGGAAAUUUGGUCUACAAUUUAAAAAAUACCAGUUGAUCCCGGCCGGGCUGGGAGCAAACGAACGGCCCCUAAAUGUUUAAUGGCGGAUGACGUCCUCAGAUCUGAUGUCGCAACUUGCAUCUGCAUUGAUUCUCCUGUGUUGCCAUGCGGUUUAGUACUAGUAGUACAGUACGUUUCUACUGCAAAGCUACACACGGUUUUAACAUCCAUGCGUACAGUAUGUUUUACGGUGCUUGCGUAAGCUGUUUAAGGAUGCAAUAAAGGUAAUCAGAGUGGACGAACUGUGUGUUGUGGUGUGUCGCAGUGAGGUCAUAAGCAAAUGGAACGACUCGCCGGCGACGAUUCUCCCCAUCCUGAAGAAGCUCAUGAGCGCCGGGCUGCACGUUUGGGUUUACAGGUACACUGGAUCGCCUAUCAAAAGCUAUGCCCUAUGCCCCUAUGGCAAACCUCAAAUCAUUCUUACGUGCAAAUCUGUGCACAGCGGCGACACGGACGGGACGGUGCCGGUGACGUCGACGCGGUACAGCAUCAACGCGAUGAAGCUGCGGCCGCGGGAGACAAGGAAGAAGAAGGCGGGGGCAGCAGCAGAGUGGGGCGGGUGGAGGGCGUGGUACCACAGGCGGCAGGUGCCGGGUGGGCGGUGGAGUACGAGGAAGGGAUGAUGCUGGCACUACUACAAAACGGUCUAUAUGUCACGGCACAUCAGUAACGGGUCCGACGCGAUCGUUACUGAUGAACAACAUCAAUGUCGGUCGCGGCCGUGACCGUUACUGAUGAACAGAGCGGGAUCUGUCCGUCCCCGCCCAGCCAUACAUCAGUGGCGAUCGGUUAAGAGACGACCGUUACUGAUGAACCACACAUCAGUAACGGUCGCUCUCGGCCCACACAUCAGUAACGGGCCGUGUUAAAACGACCGUUACUGAUGUACCCCCUAUUAUCAGUAACGGUCACCCAAGUCCCGACCGCCACUGAUGAGGGUCGCGGUUUAAAUACGCAGAACACAACCGCAGCUGGUCGCGCUGCGCGUCGUAACGGACCAGCUGCGGCUCUUCUUCCCCGGCGACGGCGAAGCCAUGCCCAAAUUGGACGCCAUGGCCGACGGCGAGCCCCGUAGGUAGCCCCUCCUCCCUCUCCUCCUCUCUGCCCCCCGCGCGCGCCGGCGGCCCCAUCUCCAUGGACGGCGGGCGGCCGGCCAUGGCCGGCGAGCUCCAUAUUUGGAGCUCCGGUGUUGCACCAGUGGCACAUGGGGUGUCACCGCUGCACGACGCGUGGGUCGCAUCGCUGGGUUCCCGGGAGGAUCUCACCCCGGGCGGCAACGUGCAGGCUGCCCGGCAAGCUACCAGCCCGGCAGGGCUAGCGGGGCUUCGGGGAAUAAUCCUGCCCGGGCACCUCCCGGGAAGGCGCUUGCCGGGAGGAGGCGUUCCCAGGCACAGGUUUCCGCCGCGAGCGCGGGGCCGAGCGAAUAGAGCAGCAGCGCCACGUGGGCGCGCGGCAGGCGCCCGGUGUGCAGGGUCGUCAGGACAAGGAGUGAGGCGCACGGCGCAUUUAAUGAGCCGACAGGAGGGGCGUUAUCCGUCUAGUCGGGCAAACAAUGGCUGCCCAGGGCUAGUUUUAGGUCUUAGACCCCUAGCCGCGGGGUUGACGCUCAUGCAUGCACCGUGGCACCUGUGGUAUCCCCUUGGCUAUGAAAGGAGGACCCCCGCCAAGAGUCAAAGGGUUCAGUUUUUGUUUCGUUCGUUCGUUCGCUCAUUCAACCAACAAGCAGUUCACCACUAGUAGUAGCUAAAAGUAGCAAGGAGCACUUAGCCAAAAAAAGAGAGCACCCGGGGACCCUUCCCCGGCAACUUGUAAACACUCGAUCUUACGAUAAUACGAGCUCAGACAAACAGGACGUAGGGUUUUACACCGCAAGGUGGCCCGAACCUGGGUAAAUAGCGUUUUCGUGCUCGUUGCAUUCUUACGCUUUGCAUUAGCCUCGCCGGAGCGAUCCCCGUAGCCCACUGCCGAACCUAAAAGCGAGUCGAAUCGCGGGUCGAAGGCGCGCAGCGUCAGCUGCGCCACGAGCACACCGCUUCGCGAGCGACGCUGACGGGGUCGCACCCCGCGCACCUAGGUGCGUCCGAGGAUAGAGUGGAGGGCAGCCGCUCGGGAAACAGGCUACCUCCCGCACGGACCCCGGCGGAGGCCAUCAUCGCCGCGCGGGUCAUGGUGCAGUAUGAGCCGCAGCAGGGCACGUCGGUGCACGAGUCAUGGAGCGAGGAGCUGGACGCGCUCCUCGCGCUCGCCGCCCAAUAGCCACAGGGCGAGGGUGCCCCGGCAGGCUCCGGCCGCGGGCAGAACCCGGCGCACGGAGACGCCCCACGCGCCUCGCGACAAGGGGAAAAUGCUCCCCCGCAGGGAGGCCCAGGAGGCGGGGACCCGGAGGGGUCCUCGGACUCGUCACCCACCGUCACGCGAGGUGACGUGCGCGGCAUUUUGAAUGCCCGCCAGCAGGAGGAUCUGCGCCGGCGCCUGGAGCGCCGUCGCCGGCGUGAGGUAGAGCGGCAACGCCCGCAGGAGCAGGAGGAUGCUCCUAUGGGCCCCGAGGAUGGGUGCACGGCGUUCACGCACGAGCUGCGGCGGGUGACAUGGCCCCGCAAGUUCCGAGCGCCCGCGCUCGGUACGUACGAUGGGACCGUGAAUCCCAAUGAUUUCCUCCUGACCUACACGUUGGGGAUGCAUGCCAUCGGCGCCGACGACAAGGUCAGAGCCAACUGGUUCCCGAUGGUCCUGAAAGGAUCAGCAAGAACCUAGCUGCUUAACCUGCUCGCUGGGUCCAUCGCCAUUUGGGCGGACCUGCGUGAGCAGUUUGUGAGCGUGUUCUAGGGCGGCUACAAGCGCCCGGGAACCAUGGUGGAGCUGCACACCUUGGUGCAGAAGCCGGGGGAGACGCUGCGGAGCUUCGUCAACCGCUUCUCUAGUCUCUCCUACUCCAUCCCAGAGGCGGAGGCUGCCGCCAUCGUCAACACCUUCGCCAUCAACGUCCGCGACCCCAAGAUGCGCGAGAAGCUAAGCACGCAUCGGAUCCGGACGACGCAGGAUCUGUACGCCCUGGCGCACAAGUGUGCCAUGGUCGAGGAAGGGCGCUUAGCGCCCGAACUUGCAGCUAAAGCUGCCGCGAGCCCAGGAGAGGGUUUGCUGAAGAAGAUUUCCCGCAACUGCAUGUCCUGUGAGGCAUGUUGCGGCAAGCCUGGCAACUGCAUGUCCCGGGAUGCACGUUGCGGGAAGCCCCGCAACUGCAUGCCCUGUGCCGGAGUGAUCCGGCAGCGGGUUUAUAUUUUCGAGGCUCCGGCAGCCCCCUGCUCACAACCAAGUAUGGAAAGAAACUUCUGUGCACCUAGAGUAGGAGACAGAAGGAGGAGAAACAUGCAAAUAAACAAGGCAAACUUAAAAUUUAGGAAACAUCAGUUAUCUUUAUUCACAAUAACUAGUGGUUUACAUACGGGGGUUGCCUGGCUACACUAGUUCAAGAGGUAUGCAUCGGCGGCAUCACCUGAGGGUCGGGCUCCGUCGCUUCACGGGUAGAACUUGCGCAAGUGCUCAGUAUUCCAGCUAUUUUGCACCGGCAAGCCUUCUUCGAUUUCCAGCCGGACAGCCCCUGGCCUGGUCUCCUGCACUACCCGGAAGGGGCCCUCCCAUUUCGGAGUCAACUUAUUCCCGGCCUUCGUUCCUUGUAUCCGGCGCAGUACAAGGUCUCCGUUCUCGAGCCCCCGGGAACGGACUCGCUUGUCGUGAUAACGACGGAGUCCCUGCUGGUAGCGCGCGGCUCGCAGAGCAACCCGACGUCGAAGCUCUUCGAUGAAGUUCAGAUCGUCAACCCUUUGCUCGUGUUGGCUGGAGUUGCCGUACGCGCGUACUCGGGGAGAUCCGUGCUUGAGCUCGAGGGGCAGCACCGCUUGUCGUAGACAAGGGAGAAAAGGGUUUCGCCCGUUGCCCGACUAGGUGUGGUCCUGAUUAACCACAGCGCUCGUGAAUUGCGUGUCAUUGUCAGUGAUGAUGCCGUUAGGCACACCAAACCGACACACAAUGUUCUUGAAGAACUUGAUGGCUGCCAGGGCGGUCACCUUCCGCACUGGUUCCACUUCCACCCACUUGGAGAACUUGUCGAUGGCCACGAGCAAGUACUCGUAGCCGCCAACCGCUCUCGGCAGCUUGCCGACGAUGUCGAGCCCCCAGACCGCGAAUGGCCACGAGGACGGGAUGACCUGCAGGGCCUGCGCCGGCUGGUUGCUCUUCUUCGCGUGGAACUGGCAUGCCUCACACGUCUUCACCAGCUGCUCCGCGUCGGCCAGGGCCGUGGGCCAGUAGAAACCGUGUCGAAACGCCUUGCCUGCUAGCGCCCGGGAGGCCACAUGGUGGGAGCAUGUGCCUCGAUGUAUCUCCUCCAACAGUGCGCGCCCUUCGUCUUGGGGCACGCAGAUGAGCUUGACUCCAUUUGCAUGCCUCCAGUAGAGGUUCCCGUCCACCGGCGUACAUUUUGGCUUGUCGGGCCACUCGCUCCGCGGCGACGUUGUCUUCCGGGAGGGCCUCUCCCUUCAGGUAGCGGGCGAUUUCCACCGCCCAGGGAGGGGUCUCCCUGCCAACGCAUGCCGCUACGUCAGCAGCAUGGACCCCUGCUGUUGCGGGCUUUCCUUCGGUUGUCGGUGGGGCUUCCCCGGCAACCAGCUUAGGGGCGACUGAAGGAGCCGCCUGCUUGUGGCAGAACACCCCUGCCGGGAGCUUCCGGUGCUCUGUUGCCAUCUUGGACAACUCGUCAGCCGCGAAGUUGUCCUUCCGCUUGAUGUGCUCGAAUCGCAAACCCUUGAACUUGCGUUCUAGCUUGCGGACUUCCUCCACGUACGGUGCCAUCUGCGGGCAGUCGUAGUCCUUGUUAACCUGGUUGACCACGUGCUGGGAGUCCCCGCGAACGACCAGGCGCUUCAUAUCCAGGGCGAUUGCUGCCCGGUGAGCAAACCCUCGUACUCUGUCGUGUUGUUAGUGGAGUUCGGGAAAUCGACUUGGACAGCAAACCUCAACUGAUCCCCCGUCGGUGACUCGAUGACGACCCUAGCGCCAGCUCCCUGGAGGCUGAACGCGCCGUCGAAGUAGAGGACCCAGUGGCCUUCGUCCAGCUUGCCUGGCAGGCUGGUCUCCAGCGCCUCCUCUUCCACACCCGUCGAUGUCCACUCCGCGACGAAGUCCGCCAGGGCCGCACUCUUGAUGCUCUUGGAGUUGGUGAAGUGCAGAUCAAACUCCGACAGCUCCAUCCUCCACUCGGCCACCCUCCCGGUGGCUUCACGGUUGGUGAGGGCUCACUCAAGGCAGAACCUUGACACCACCGUGACGUGGUGCGCCUGGAAGUAGUGGCGCAGCUUGCGGGACGUGAGCAGAAUCCCCAGGAGGAGCUUCUGCACCUGCGGGUACCUCAUACGGGUGUCGCGCAGCACUGUGCUGACGAAGUACACUGGAUGCUGCACGAGCCGCUUGCGCGGUGCCGACGUUGCCGGCUCGGGGGUGGUCCCCUGGUCCGAGGCGGUUGCCGGGGGCCGUUCAGCCCCCUGCCCUGCAGCCUCAGCCCCCGGAACGUCUUCCUCCCUCUCGGCAACCAGCACUGAGCUGACCACCUGGUCAGUCGCUGCUAGGUAGAGUAGCAGCGGCUCGCCCGGCUUGGGGGCAACGAGGACGGGCGGCGACUUCAGGUAUUGUUUAAGAUCCUGGAACAUCGCCUCGGCCUCGGGGGUCCACUCGAUUGGGCCCUUCUUCUUCAUCACUUUGAAGAAAGGCAGGGCGCGUGUGGCGACCCAGACCAUUAAGGUCCUGGAAUCACUGUGUUUAUAGUACUAGUCCCUGGAUCAAUGCUAGUACACACAGUUCACGAUGAAAUAUCAUAAUUCAUGUGUUUAUUACAACGUAUAAAAGAUAACAAUCCAGAGUAUUAUUACACAACGAAAGUCUAAAAUAUCAAAUGAAGAUAAAUGAGCUUCCAUCCACGCCACAGGCAAGUUGAAUGUAGACUCGCGACCGUGCGUACCUCCUUCCUUUAAUUAUCACUCUCUGCACAUGAUAGGUGCAGAUAAGUACAUUGAAUGUACUCGCAAGUAAAUACCUGUGAGGUUAGGAGAAAUGCAAGUAUAUGCUUAUUGGAUAGUUCCUAAAUGGCUUCUAUGGUUCUUUUGCCAAAACAGCAAGUUUCAUUUUGAAAUACUCAUAAUAGCUUUUCUUUGCAAAACUCUAAAUUUAGAAUUUCAUAGAAAAUAGUUUUGAAAAGUAGAUAUGGUCUUUCUAUGGAAUCUCCACGACCUAACUAUGUAUUCUGGGUCAAACUGACGCUCACAUAGCAACCCUUGAUUUCCCUGACCCAUUCUGUGGGAUCCAUCGAGUAGAUACUCAUUCUGUGAAUGCUUCCAUCGAGUCAAAACAGUUUUUGGUUUUUGAAAACAAAACUAGAAGAUCUCCUCUUAACCAGACUUAGUAGCUCAAAGGUCGCCCGUAACCAAGGGCAUGGCUAAUCGAUUAGAUUGACACUCUCGAGAGGUUUGUACACUUUACCCACCAGACACAAUCGGUCCAAAGUGUUGCCUAACGACAAGCGUGCGCAACAGGUAAAGAUUGUGACGAAGUCUUUCACUAGAAGCCCCCUAUACUUAAUCCUGGCACCGCCCGCCCCAUAUGAGCACAUUGGCCCCUCUCCGGAUGACGAUACCCAAGUAAGGGUUUCCCGCUAGUUACUCGACUAAGCCAGAGCCAUAAUAGCAGGUGGUUGUACAUGUAAGCUUUUGGGUUCCAUUGGAAAAGAAUUGAACUUUUAGAUUCUGGACGGCGGUCCCCACCGAAAAUCCUGAGCAUCUGCAGAGCCGAAUUGGGUGCUGCCCUUGUCGACAACCAAUAACGGUCUCAAACUUACCACUCCGCCCAGUUGAAAACAUUUUGAGGAUUUUGUUUCGAAACAUUUUUCCAAACACAUACGACUCAAUUCUGAGCACUUAAUACUUUGAAAAUAGUUUUGGGUCCCUCCCGGUACAAUAAUGUAGCAAGCACUUUGUAAAAUCAUACAAGUAAUAACUUAGGGUAAUUGGUGGCAUGACAAUAACCUAUAGGCAUACUACUUAGGACAUAGCUAAUAAAUUGCAAACGCAUUUUAUAAAUACUUCAUAACAAUAUAAACCUACACAUGCAUGCCUACAACUUAUAAACAAAGUAGCAUAUGCAAAAAUUAUAGGAUUCUAGAUGAUCAAAGGUAUCCACUUGCCUGAGCCUGAGUUGCUGUAACGAUCAAAAUUUCCCUGGCACUCUUCGCACUCACACUCGGGAUAAUCUAUCGCGAAGAACGAAAGCAACAAUGAAUAACUUGUUCAACAACUCCAAAUUAUAACUCCAAUAAGAGCCGGAUAAGAAUUACAAAAACUUAAAUUUAGAAAAGCAGCUAACAAGGCACAAGUAAUGCUAAUCCAACUGCAAGCACAGAUCUAAGGCUAGGGACAAGAUUUGGAACCAAGUGGAGACAAAUGAUAACCUACGAGCUGAUAGCAGAUAGCGAAUCUAACGGGAAGGGGACUGUCGAAACACGUCUGAACUAAUGGUACGGAAGGUACUGAAACUAAUAACAUAACUUAAGGCUUAUAACACAGAAAGUUUCAUCUAAAACGGAGCUACGAAACAAAAGAUACAAGCCUACGAAAGUAGCUAAUCAAAAACAGCAUUCUGUGAAUACAGUUUUCAAUUAUUAUUCUAGUAGUGUAAUCUAAUUACAUGUUACAUGAAAAGUGUUCUGAGGUGUAUAGUUUUAACCAAUGUUUACAUUACGGAAAGAAUAAACGAAAAGGGGUUUAUAGGUUUUAAAAAUUAAGCUCUACAAAGUGUCUAAUCAAUAACAGUGCUGGCUAGACUAAACCGGUGUCUUAAGUUCUUUUUAACAGGUAGCUAGUUUUGACAAACUUUUAGGUCAUACUCUAAACCUACAAAAGGUGAAAAAAAUAACAGGGUGUAACACAAUACCUACUCGUCAUCCUACAGGAGCUCACAACCUAAACGGGUCUACAAUCUACUCAACAAGAACGUCGAAAGGUAUCUAAUCUAAAACAGACUAACUGGGAAUACCGAUUUGGAACGAUGAUGCACCGCUGAAGAUGAUAGAGACGGGGCUUCUAAAGAGGUCUAAUUUAUAGAGCAAGAUGUAAGCUACCAGAUACAAAAAGAAUUUCUUAAAUAGGAUCUACGGAACAAAAGAUACGGAGUAUAGAAGUAGGCUAAUCAAAAUAGACUGCAGCCCGAAAACAGAGCAAGAAAGCUCACCGGAGAAGAUGGAGUUCGCCGGAGUUGACGGGAGUCGGCGAAACAGAGGUUUCCGGAGGCAAGGCUGUGGUGUAUGGUGUUCUAGGCGUCGAUAGGGAUCUAAAGGUGGUGGUGGUUCGGGCUAAUUUGGGGCGAGGUGGUAGGAAUUGCUCGCCGGAGUUUGCGUGGAAACGGCGACAAAACAUGAAAUUGGUGGCAAGGUUGACUGCGGCUUCGAGCUAGAUUUCGAGAGAUUGGUCUGGGCUCUCGAGGACGUCAGCUUGGGAUAUUUAUAGGGCUCGGGGCGCUCGGGAUAAGGCCGGCGGCGGGUGAGAUUUGAACGGGAUUCGGUUUCGCUUAAAAUUCGGACGAGAUAGAGUCCGGGAGGGUUUCAAUCUUGUUGGGAUAGAUUCCUUGCUGUGUGGGUCACGAAUUAGCGAAGAAAUCGCGGAGAAAAACGGUUUGGAGGGUGGUGUUCGAGGUGGACGGCCAUGGACGCCGGUGACUCGAGCUCGAGCUCGGGCUCGGCCAUGGCAGGGGCUGCGGGCGGGCGGCGGGGCUGCGGCGGCGAGGGGCGGAGCCAGGGCGGCGGGGCAGGGGCCGGCGAGCAGCAGCGGCGGCCGAGCUGGGCCUGGCCAUGGACGCAGCCAGCACAGGCUAUGCCUGUGUGCGUGAGGAAGAAGAAGGAGGAAAGGAGAAAAGAAAAAAAAAGAAAAGGAAAAAAGGAAAAAGGAAAAAAAAAAGGAUGGCCGUUGGAUGGGAAAUGGAUGGAUGAGAUUAAAAGAUACCCCUUCGGUACACUUAAGUGAAAACGGAUUUCACGGAAAUACGCCUCCGUGUAGAGAAAACGUACUCCGUGGAAUAGAAGAAAAACAAAUAAAGAAAUAGUUUUUCUGGGUCUCUAAAUUGUCAGAAAAUCAAAUAAGGCAAAUAAAAUACCAAACGGCAUCGGAAAAAUUCCAAAAAAUUCCUGAAAUUCCAAAUACCUGUUUGGAAGCUAGGAAAAAUAGUUUCCUCAUGAAAUAUAAUUUAUAAAACUAUUUUUAAUGCAUAUGGAGCUCAAAUAAAUUGUAACAAAUGCAUAUAAUCACUCUUAUGGUCCAAAUAAACUCCCAAUUAAAUUGUAAGAUCAUCUCCAAAAUCAAAUAUGGUCAAAAUGAUAUGCACGUGACAUGAAAAAAAGGUGAUAACAUCCAAAUUAGAAAAAUUGGGAUGUUACAGCGCGUUCGCCCAGCCUUGAGAUGAAGCGGCCCAGCGCGGCAACGCAACCGUUGAGGCGCUGGACAUCCUUCACCUUGCGGGGAGCCUCCAUCUUCUCGAUAGCUUCUAUCUUUUGUGGGUUGGCUUGUAUCCCCCUGUGCAAAACCAAGAAACCCAGAAGCUGGCCCGAGUCUACACCGAAGGUGCACUUCUCAGGGUUUAGCUUGAGUUUGAUCCUGCGAAGGUUAUCAAACGUCUCUCGCAGGUCAUCAAUCAGCGAGUCCCCGCGCUUUGAGUUGAUGACAAUAUCGUCCAUGUAGGCCUCCAUGUUCCGGCCUAGCUGGGGUCCCAAACACUCGCGCAACGCGCGCUGGAAUGUUGAGCCCGCGUUCUUCAACCCGAAAGGCAUGCACGUGUAACAGUAGCAGCCAACCGGGGUGAUAAACGUUGUUUUCUCCUCCUCUUCGACCGCCAUCUUAAUUUGAUGGUAGCCAGAAAAAGCAUCUAGAAAAGCUCAGCAAGUCACAACCAGCGGUGGAAUCAACUAUUUGAUCGACACGGGGUACAGGGAAAAGAUCCUUGGGACAUGCACGGUUAAGAUCAGUAAAAUCUACACACAUGCGAAGCUUAUUCCCCGCCUUGGGCACUACUACAGGGUUAGGUAACCAAGUGGGGUACAGAACUUCCCUAAUAGCCCCCGCAGCCUUGAGCUUGUCCACCUCUUGCUUGAUGAAAUCUUUGCGCUCCUGUGCUUGCCGGCGAAUCUUCUGCUUGACGGGGCGAGCGUCCGGGCGCACCGCGAGUCGAUGCUCAAUCACCUCCCUAGGGACUCCGGGAAGGUCCGACAGCUUCCAAGCGAACACAUCGGAAUUCUCCCGGAGGAAAGUGAUGUGGGCGCUUUCCUAUUCGGCAGUAAGGUUCGUACCGAGGGUGACGGUGCGCUCCUUGUUGCCAGCUUGGAGGGGCAGCUUCUUCACCUUGGCGGCCUCCUCCCUGAGCUUGUGGCCCUUGCCGAGGCACGAGCUGGAGCCAGCGCUUCCCCCGGCAAGCUCUUGCGGGGCAGCGCGGGCCUUCUUCGUUGCCGGGCCGUCACCCGGCGAGCCUUCGUCUCCGGCAACGUCCUCAGCACCGGCGUCGGCUGGGGCGGUGGCCCUAACGACCUCGCCAAUGCACCUGAUGGAGAGGAUAGCGUACACGGACGGCAUCUUCAUCACGCCGUAGGCGCAAUGCGUCGCCGCCAUGAACUUGAUCAGCGCCGGCCGACCAAGGAUCCCAUUGUAGGGCAACGGGGUGUGCGUCACGUUGAACACUAUGUGCUCGGUCCUAAACGCUUCCGGGGACCCGAAGGUCACCGGCAGCGUGAUGCGCCCCAGGGGGCGCACGAUCCCGGGGUUUCCCCCCCGGAACGGGUCAAUGGGCUUCAGUUGCUCCACCGCCACCGCGCGAGGCCUUCUUUGCAGUCGCCGCGCCUGGGAAAUAAAAGUGCUCACAUCCAAGUUUGGCAUCAACCCUUCUGUGCACGGGGGCUGGGAGGCAGGAGAGUUAUCCAUUCUGCUCUGUGUUUUCGUGAAUUUCGAAAAAAAUUUGCAGCAUCUCGGGCUUGGUAAGAAUCUAAUGUGCAGGGUAAAGGCGGAAUCUUGCGUACUGUAAUGCUCGUGGACCGCCCACGGGCCGGGGCGCAUAGCGGCGCCUUGUGGUGAGGAGCGACCGCAUCACGAGGGACUCGCCGCACUCCGAGGCCCUUGACUCAGGAGGGAGCCGGCACGUGUGCCGCAGCAACUUGGCGUGCGGAGUGGCGAAAACUGUACCGCACUUCAUGGGGCGGGGUGCCACGGGUGCUGCGCUGGCCCGGCGCGCGUGGUGGCAAGCCCCUCCCCCGCGCCUAUAAAAGGGGCGUCCUGGCCAUAAAAGCGGCGGAGCCAGGGAAAAGGCUGCGAAGGUGAGUGGAGCCGCAGAGGCGCGAUGGGAGUGCAUUGCAUCAGUGCCCAACGCCGACGGGUGCACUGCCAUCGUGCCCUUGUCGCAUCCCUCCACCGAGCCCACUCCGAGGGGUGCCGCGGAGACAUGGUGGUGGUGCAUCCCACCAGCGCUCGGCGUCGGCGGGUGCACUGCCGCCGUGUCCUUUCCACACCUCCUCUAGCGAGCGACUCCAGGGCGAGGGCUGCCGCGGAAGCACUGUGGUGGUGCAUUCCAUCAGCGCUCAGCGCUAACGGGUGCACUGCCGCAGUGCUCCUGCCGCAUCCCUCCAGAGGGUAUCUCCGCAAGUAGCAAGGGUUGCCGCGGAGACACUAUGAUGGUGCAUGCCAUCAGCGCUCAGCACCGACGGGUGCACUGCCGUAGUGUCCCUGCCGCACCCCUCCAGAGGGCGCCUCCAGAGGCGAGGGUCGUCGCGAGGACGCUGUGAUGGUGCCGGUGCCGACGCUCGCCGCUCGCUCCGGCCCACCACAGCGUCCCUGCUGCGUCCCUCAGAUGGACUUUCCCCAAGCAGCGAGGGCUGCUGCGGGGACGCCGUGAUGUUUUCGCCACCCGCGUCUGCCGGUGGUGGCGAGGAUGUCACGGCGUCCCUACUGCACCCCUCGGAAUAGGUUCCUCCGAAAGCAAGGGCUCUUCCAAAGGCGAGGGUUGCUGCGGGGAUGCGGCGGUAGCAUCGUCAUCGGCGCUUGUCGCCGGCGGCGAUCCUACCGCGGCGUUCCUGCCGCAUCCUUCAAACAGGCUCUCUCAGGGAUGACGUUCCAGGCGCACACCUUCUGCAAGCGUAUCGAGCACGAGACCAAACGAAAAGCUAAGUGCUUGAACCUAAACGAUAGACUCUCUGAGAACUAAACGUAACUGAACACUGUCUCGCUAAGUGUGGCCCCGAGACCUGCGUGUGGCCGGGGCGUUGGAAGGACACAUGCGGGGGGAGUGCCCUCCCCGUGCGGCUUCCGGGUCCGUCCCGGGAGGGCAUGGCUUGGAGUAGUUACCACGCAAGCGGAGUGGCUCGCCGCUGCUGCUUGACCCCAGGUCGGCACUGCGGGUCCGUCCCGGGUCCCUGGUCCGGUCAAGGGUGAGGCGCGCGAGUCCCCGACAACACAAAGCACAACACAUAAAGGCAAAGGGAUCCACCCCGCGUGGCAGCCCCGGGAACAAGGAACAAGGAUUAAACAGAACUAAAGAGCUGGAUUAACAAAGUAGCAAAUGAUUACAUGAACUAAUGAAACGGUAAUUGUUCAAACGGCGCCAAGCGCCAUGCUUGCAGGAACGAAAACAAAAGAAGGUAAACAAGGAAGCAGCAAGCGCCGGUAGGGGGCUGCGGCAGCUAGUUGCCGGCGUCCUUCGCCGGGGGCUCCGGGGAUGGCUCGGGUUCUGGCUUCUGCUGCAUCCGCUCGACCACCUCGUUGACAAACCCACGCACCGCCUGAGUGUGGGUGGGUUCGUGCUCGCUGUCCGACCAGGCGUCCAGCAGCGUCUCGAAGGGGAACUCCUGGUCCCGGAGGUGCACCCUCGGAAGGAUCAUCUCGGCAACCUCCCGGGCGCAGUUGGCAACCUUGUCAGUCCCAAACUUGGCGAUCCAGACGUGUAGCGAUCAGAUCACUCUUCUCGUCGAUCCGAGCCUGGGCUACAGCGAGCACGUCAGCGUGCUCCUUCUUGGUUUCCGCCUGGGCCACCACCAGCGAGUCCAGAGCUCCUUGGAGCUCGGGGCGCUGAGCCUCCAGUCGCCGGUAGAGCUCCUCUUCGAGGACGACCGGUGUGUCGGCAUCCUCCAAGGCUUCCCGGGCGAGGCGCGUCUCCUCCCGCAGCCGGGAGAGCUCCUGACGCUCCUUCUCCAAGGCCAGCCGCAGCUCGCCAAGAUGGCUCUUGGCGAUCGCGUUGUGCUCCCUCACCUCGUUGGAGGUGACGAAGGCCAGUUGCGGGUCUUUGACAGCGUCAAGUAACCGGUGCCCCCGGUCGAAGACGCUCGGAUCCCAAGUGAUGGGAUUCCAAGCCACCCCGGCAAGGCUGCCAAGGUCGGUGUUGAAGGUGGCAGCCGACGACGACGAAGCCCCCGCUGCCACCGUAUAGCUGGGCGGGGGGUCGUCCGCUUGCGUCGGAGCAUCCUGUUGCUCCUCCUCAGCGACCUCCCCCUCCCUCGCGCUCGGGGACUGCAGUGCUGGUGAGGUUGCUGCAUCCCCGGCAGGGACCGCCCCCUGCUGGGCGGUAGAAGAAUCCGUGCCAGCGACGUCUGCAGUCGCUGACGCGUCGUCGAGUGCCGUCCCGGUGACGGCAGUGGUCGUCGCUGCCGCCACGGCCGGCGCAGCAGGGCUUGGCGUGGGGACUGCCUCCGGCUCCUCCGCCCUCCCCUUAUCCUCAACGUCGGAGUCGAGGUCAACUACCGUAGCGCCCGCUUCCGGUGCGGGCGCGCUUGGGCCUGCAACAGCGAGAAGUAUGAGAAGUGGGAAGCUAGACGUGUUGCCCGAAGGCAGACGCGGGGGCUUAGGAUGGUUACCUUGCGAGGCCACUGGGCUUGCGGGGGGAGCCUCCCCCUCCUCCUCCGUCCCGGCAAGGGUCUCCGGGAGGCUUGCUGCGGGCGGAGCAUUGCCUGCGAAAAUAAGAAGGAACAGUUGCAGGAUUAACUGGCAAAUGGAAGUGCAGGUAAGUAAGCGUGGGGUGCCAUACCUGUUGCCGGCGCCACCUCCAUCGGGGCUGGGUCGCCGGCGGAUGCGGUGGCGGCGCCACUAGCCCCUGUGUCGGCCGGGUUAGCGUCGCUGCCAGCGCCCGUGCGCGCCUUCUUGCUCGGCGCGGCCGACGGGGAAUCAUCCCUCCCCCUCUUGCCGGCGGUUGCCGACGAAUCGGCCUUCGGGGGGUUGCGCCGGAGCGUGAAGCCCUGGAAGAACCCCUGAGCGGGUGGGUUCGUGAGUGCCCGAGGGGUUGCCGCGGCCCGGGGCGCCGCGGGAACCGUCGAAGGGGUCGCCGCGGUGUCGGGGGCUAUUGCUGGUGUGGCUGCCGCCGUGGUUCCAGCAGUUUCUGCUGAGGUAGCCGCUGCCGGGUUGCUGGCAGUCGCUGCCGGGGUGGUCACCGCGGUGGCUCCGGCAACCGCUGCUGGGGAGGUCGCCAUUGAGGUGCCGGCGGAGGCCCCCAAGGCGGCUGCCGUCGCGGAGCUGGGAGCCGCCGCCGGGUCGCUAGCGGGCGCUGCCGAGGUGGUCACCGCCGUGGCUCCGGUAACCGCUGCGGGGGUGGUCGUCACUGAGGUGCCGGGGGACGCCCCCAGGGCGGCCACCGUCGCGGAGCUGGUAGCCUCCGCAGGGGCGGAUGCCAUCGUCGCCGCCGUGGUGGUGGCCGCGGCCACUGCGUGCGCCCUUGAUCCGCGCACAAUCAGGGGCGCGUCGUCGCUGUCCUCCUCCGCGUUGUCCACAAGGAUGACCUCCCGGGCGGCGGCAACCCGACCCGGCUCGUCGUCGGAGGACGAGUCGUGGGGCUGGCUGGCCCCUGACUCGCUCCCGCUCUCCUCCUGCACCUGCUUCCCACGGGGUGCGGGCGGAGGAGAGCGUAGGGACUGAGUAGGGGUAUCGUCCAUCAGCCCCCACUCGUUGCAGGGUGGGAAGGAGCCGAUGAUGCUGCUCAAGCCGGGGACGCCGACGUGGAGGGCAAAAAACCCCGGCGGCAACUUCGUGAUGGGAACAUCCUCGCGGGAGAUCCCCCUCACCCACACCUGGAGCGACUCCUUAUCCAUGCCCUCCUCGCGGAGGCGCGUCCUGUGUCUGGCCCCCGUGUACGCCCACGCGGGGAGGGAACGCCGCUGAAGCAGCGCGGUGCGCCGGGUGAUGUAGACCCGCGCCACGUCAAGAUCAAAGAGCCCGGCUACCCGGAGGGCCUUGAUCUUCUCCACGAUGGGGAAGAGGUCGGCGUCACGGUGGUACCGGUCCCGCCACCCGGGGGCCUCCACCGGCAACUCGGUGGGCGGGAAGAUGAACUCCUCGGGCUUAUCCACUUGGACCCAACACCAGUCCGAGCGCCACUCCUUCUCGAUCUUCUUCUCCAACCGGACGAUGAACUCUGACUUCAUCCGGUCGCGGGCACGGAAAACCACCCCCGACGACAUCGCUUUCUUGUUAUCGAUGCGGGGGUAGAAGUAGUGCCGGAACAAUGCCACCGAUGGCAUCACUCCGACGAAUCCCGCGCAGAGGAAGGAGAAGAUGGCGAGGAGGUAGAGGCACAUGUGGUGAAGUUGCGCCACCCGCAGCUGGUAUGACUCCAUGAGCGCAGGAACAGGGAAAACGGCGUCACCAACCCGGUGAGUAUGAAGCGCGCGAACACCCGGAAGUCGGUGGACCCGACGUUGGCGCCGGCGGGGAAGAUCAGGGUCCUCCCGUGCUCAUUGAAGUCCGAGGCGACGGCGUGCUGGUGUUUGCCCACCGCCUCGCCGUUGAAGCCGGGUCGGAAGAAGGCAAGCGUGGCCCGCAUUUCUUGCUUCUUCAGCUCUUUCUCUUCGGCGGCCUUGGCGGCCGCCGCGCUCUUGCCCUUCGGGGGCUUCGCCUCCUUUCCCUUCCUGGUGGUGGGGGGCGCCAUGGGGACCGAGGGCGGAAGCUAGCAAGGCUCUUGGACGCAAGAUGCGAAAAGCUGGAGGAAGAAGGCUGGGGGGCUAAGUGUUUCCCCCUCAGCGCAGCAGUAAAAGCUUUAUAACACUCCGUCGUUUGGUAACGGCCGGUUCCGCACCCUACGGGUACGCUGGGAUAGUUACCAAUCAGAAGGAUAAUGCGAAGAGUGGCCUUAACUUCCCUGUUUAAGGGGGAGGUCACAGCGGAAAUCUCGCACCCACUACUCCGCCCGUAACGGCGGGGUCACUGGAAGACGAAGAGACGCGGGCCCGAGGCGAAUCGGGACCCACGCGUCGGUUGAGGCGUAGCCUGACAACCGGCCGGGGAAGGGUUUACCCGGGAACAGGUGUUGCCGGCCCACGCCCGGGGGCUACUGUCGCACCAAUGGCACCCGGGGUGCCACCGCAGCACGACGCGUGGGUCGCAUCGCUGGGAUCCCAGAAGGAUCUCACCCCAGGCGGCAACGUGCAGGCUGCCCGGCAAGCUACCAGCCCGGCAGGGCUAGCGGGGUUUCGGGGAAUAAUCCUGCCUGGGCACCUCCCAGGAAGGCGCUUGCCGGGAGGAGGUGUUCCCAGGCACAGGUUUCUGCCGCGAGGGCGGGGCUGAGCGAACAGAGCAGCAGCGCCACGUGGGCGCGCGGCAGGCGCCCGGUGUGCAGGGUCGUCAGGACAAGCGGUGAGGCGCAUGACGCUUUUAAUGAGCCGACAGAAGGGGCGUUGUCCGUCUAGUCGGGCAAAGAGUGGCUGCCCAGGGCUAGUUUUUGGCCUUAGACCCCUAGCCGCGGGGUUGGCGCUCAUGCAUGCGUGCCAGCGCACCGAGGAGGAGCUGCCCAAGCUCCUUGCUCGCCACUUGUAAUCCAUGCACCGUGGCACCUGUGGUAUCCCCUUGGCUAUGAAAGGAGGACCCCCGCCAACGGUCAAAGGGUUCAGUCUUUGGUUCGUUCGUUCGUUCGCUCAUUCAACCAACAAGCAGUUCACCACUAGUAGUAGCCAAAAGUAGCAAGGAGCACUUAGCCAAAAAAAGAGAGCACCCAGGGACCCUUCCCCUGCAACUUGUAAACACUCGAUCUUACGAUAAUACGAGCUCAAACAAACAGGAUGUAGGGUUUUACACCGCAAGGUGGCCCAAACCUGGGUAAGUAGCGUUUUCGUGUUCGUUGCAUUCUUACGCUUUGCAUUGGCCUCGCCGGAGCGAUCCCCGUAGCACACUGCCGAACCUAAAAGGGGGUGCCCGCGCAUCCCCGGUGUCGGAGCCCCGUGCGACGACAUCCGGCGGCCGGCGAGCUCCGAUCUUCGAGCCAGAAGCUUCCCUCAGCUUCUCGAUGGCUUCUAUCUUGCUUGGGUUUGCUUGUAUCCCCCUGUGUGAGACCAAGAAACCCAGAAGCUGACCUGAGUCCACACCGAAGGUGCACUUCUUGGGGUUCAGCUUGAGCUUGAUCCUGCGGAGGUUAUCAAACGUUUCCCGCAGGUCAUCAAUCAGCGAGUCCCCGCGCUUUGAUUUGAUGACGAUGUCGUCCAUGUAGGCCUCCACGUUGUGGCCUAGCUGGGGUCCCAAACAUUCGCGCAGCACGCGCUGAAAUGUUGAGCCCGCGUUCUUCAACCCGAAAGGCAUGCAUGUAUAACAAUAGCAGCCAACUGGGGUGAUGAACGCUGUUUUUUCCUCGUCUUCGACCGCCAUCUUAAUUUGAUAGUAGCCGGAAAAAGCAUCUAGAAAACUCAACAAGUCACAGCCAGCGGUAGAGUCAACUAUUUGAUUGAUACGGGGUACAGGGAAGGGAUCCUUGGGACAUGCACGAUUAAGAUCAGUAAAAUCUACGCACAUGCGAAACUUGUUCCCUGCUUUAGGUACUACUACAGGGUUAGCUAACCAAGUGGGGUACAGAACUUUCCUGAUAGCCCCGGCAGCCUUGAGCUUGUCCACCUCCUGCUUGAUGAAAUCUUUACACUCUUGUGCUUGCCGACGAAUCUUCUGCUUGACGGGGCGGGCGUCCGGGCGCACUGCGAGCCGAUGCUCAAUGACCUCCCUAGGGACUUCGGGAAGGUCCGACGGCUCCCAAGCGAGCACGUCGGCGUUCUCCCGGAGGAAAGUGAUGAGGGUGCCUUCCUAUUCGGCAGUAAGGUUCGCACCGAUGGUGACGGUGCGUUCCUUAUUGCCGGCUUGAAGGGGCAGCUUCUUCACCUUGGCGGCCUCCUCCCGGAGCUUCUGGCCCUUGCCGGGGCAUGAGCUCGAGCCUGCACUUCCCCCGGCAAGCUCUUGCGCGGCAGCGCGGGCUUUCUUCAUCGCCCGGCGAGCUGUCGUCUCCGGCAACAUCUUCGUCGCCGGCGUCAGCUGCGGCGGCGGUCCUGACGACCUCACCCACGCACCAGGCCACGUCCUUGAGGUCGCACCUGAUGGAGAGAACUCCAUAUACGGACGGCAUCUUCAUCACGCUAUAGACGCAAUGCGUAACCGCCAUGAAUUCGAUCAGCGCUGGCCGACCAAGGAUCCCGUUGUAGGGCAACGGGGUGUGUGCCACGUCGAACACUAUGUGUUCGGUGCUGAACGCUUCCCGGGACCCGAAGGUUACCGGCAGCGUGAUGCGCCCCAGAGGGCGCACGAUCCCGGGGUUCACCCCCCGGAAUGGGUCGGUGGGCUUCAGCUGCUCCACCGGCAACUGGAGUUUCUCCACCAGCCUGGCGGACAGGAGGUUAAGCCCCGCUCCGUUGUCCACCAGUACCAUUGUCACCGUCAUAUUGCUGAUGAUCGGUGAGACGACGAAGGGUAUUACCCCUGAACCCAGCUGCCGUGCUGGGUGAUCGUCAGCGCUGAAGGUGAUCGACACAUGCGACCACCUCAGCGGCUGUUGCGGCUCCACAUCCGGCAACAGCGCGCACAUGUCGCGGGUGAGGCGCUUCACCGCGACAUCGGAUGGGAGAGCAUAGGCUCCCCCAUGGAUGCAGGCAACACCGCGAGGCUCCUGGAAGCCCGGCUCGUCGCCGCCAGUGCAAUCGGACUCGCGCUGCUCCUCAGCGCGAGCCCUGUCGCAUCCCCGGGGAGGGCGCUCCCUGCCCGCGCGGGCCUGGCCGCGUCCCCCCUGGGGUUCGUCCCUACCGGCACCGCCGCCGGCAGGCCUCGGCCCCGCUCUGGAGUCAUUCGGGCAAUCUCGGAAGAGAUGCCCGAUGUCGCCACAGUUGAAGCAGGCUCCAGCAGCGUGGUGCUCCUCAUGGCGUUGCUCGCACCGCUGCUUCACUCGCUGCAGGAUGCGGCAGUCCUGCGCGUCAUGGGUGGAGUUGCUGUGGAUGGGGCAGCGGGGCGCGUCACCCUACUUGCCACCAGACCCGCCACCCGGCGAGGCCUUCUUUGCAGGCCUCGCGACAGGAACCCCCGAGUCUGCAACGAGAACCUGCUUCCCGCUGCGCUUGCAGGAACCCUUGUUCGGCGAACCCACGCCAGGGCUCGCGGCAGCUUUGGCUGCUAGCUCGGGCGCCCAUGGCGCACUUGUGCGCCAAGGCAUAUAGAUCCUGCGUCGUCCGGAUCCGAUGCGUGCUCAGCUUCUCGCGCAUCUUGGGGUCGCGGACGUUGAUGCCGAAGGUGUUGACGAUGGCACCUGCCUCCACCUCCGGGAUAGAGUAGGAGAGGUUGGAGAAGCGGUUGACGAAGCUCCGUAACAUCUCCCCCGGCUUCUGCACGAUGGUGUGCAGUUCCUCCAUGGUUCCCGGGCGCUUGUAGUCGCCCUGGAACGCGCUCACAAACUGGUCGCGCAGGUCCGCCCAAGUUGCGAUGGACCCGGCAGGCAGGUUGAGCAGCCAGGUUCUCGCUGAUCCUUUCAGGACCAUUGGGAAUCAGUUGGCCCUGACCUUGUCGUCGGCGCCGAUGGCAUGCAUUCCCAACGUGUAGGUCAGGAGGAAAUCCUUGGGAUUCAUGAUCCCGUCGUACGUGCCGAGCGCUGGCGCUCGAAACUUGCGGGGCCAUGUCACCCGGCGCAGCUCGCGCGUGAACGCGGUGCAGCCGUCCUCGAGGCCCAUGGGAGCGUCUUCCUGCUCCUCUAGGCACUGGCGCUCUACCUCGCGCCGACGCCGGCGCUCCAGGGUGCCAUGCGCGUCACCCCGCGCGACGGUGGGUGACGAGUCCGAGGAUCUUUCUGGGUCCCCGUUUCCCUGGCCUCCCUACGGGGGAGGGUUUUCCCUCUGCAGCGAGGCGCGGGGCGCGUCUCCGCGCGCCGGGUCUGGCCCGCGGCCGGAGCCUGCCGGGACACCCUCGCCUUGCGGCUGCUGGGCGGCCAGAACGAGGAGCGCGUCCAACUCCUCGCCCCACGUCUCGUGCGCCGGCGUGCCUUGCUGCGGUUCAUACCGCACCAUGACCCGCGCGGCGAUGAUGGCUUCCGCCGGGGUUCGUGCGGGGGGCAGCCGAUUUCCCGAGCGGCUGCUAUCCGCUCUAGACCCGGACGCCUCCAGGUGCGCGGGGUGUGAGCCCCCGGGCGUCGCAUGCGACGCGGUAUGCUCGUUGCUCAGCUGACGCUGCGCGCCUUCAGCCCGCGACUCGACUCGCUGGCCGGCGGGGGCGGCGCUGCGCCCGCUCGCCUGGCUGGCCCCGGCACUGGGGGCCGCCGGCCCCCUCGGCCGAUUAUCUGCUGUCGGCCGAGGAGGUGGGGGUGGUAGUUGUGAUGGCUCGGGAUCACCCUGUUCCUGCGACGCGCGUGGCACGUCGUGCGACCGCGUGUGCGCCGCUGGGGCCUCACGCAGAUCAAUCCUCGAGUCACCAGCCCGCUUGGGGGGCAUGGUGGUUUGCUCUGUCGCCGGAAAGAGGGUAGCUAAUGCUGGCGUAGACGUCGCCGCCGACAGUCACCGGCGAGCUCUCCUCUAGCGCCCCCUACCUGGCGCGCCAGAUGUCAUCGCGCGGGGCUCCAACACCGGGGGCGUGCGGGCACACCCCUUUUAGGUUCAGCAGGGGCGUCGGGGAUCGCUCCGGCGAUCGCCGGCGUGGCCGAUGGCGUACAGGAACUGCAAACUAAUGUACCCAAAACACAUGCAAGCUAAGGACAAUUGCAUGCACGCUUUUUACCCAGGUUCGGGCCACCCUGAGGUGUAAAACCCUACGUCCUGCUUCUGAGUUCGUAUUACCACAAAACCAGGUGUUUACAGGUUGCCGGGGGGGGGAGUCCCUGGGUGCUCUCUCUUUUCGGCUAAGUACCGCUUGCUACUUUGGGCUAUUGCUAGUACUGAACUGUGAACUGGUCCAACCAACCCUCCUGACCGUCGGCGGGGGUUCUCCUUUUAUAACCAAGGGGAUGCCACAGGUGCCACGGUGCAUGCAUUACAAGUGUCGAGCAGGGAGACAUGGCAACUCCCCCUCGGUGCGCUGGUGGACGUGCAUGAGCGCCAACUCCGCUGCUAGGGGUCUAAAACCCUAAAAGUAGGAUCGGACAGCCACUGUUCCCCUGACUUAGACGGGUAACGCCCCUCCUGUCGGCUCAUUUAUUGCGCCGUGCGCCUCACUCCUCGCCCUGGCGAGACUGCACACUCGAAGCAUGCCACGCGCCCGCGUGGCGCUGCUGCUCUGCCUGCUGGGCCCCACCCCAGUGGCGGGAGCCCGCGCCCGGGAACCCCUCCUCCCGGCAAGUGGCUUCCGGGGGGCGCCCAGGCCUGACCACAUCCGGGAAACCCCUCCCGGCAAGUGGCUUCCCGGGGGGCGUCCCGGCGGGAAUAUUCCCCGAAGCCCCGCUAGCCCUUCCAGGCUGGUAGCUUGCCGGGCUGCUCGUGGCUGCAGCCCAGGAUGAGACCCUCCCGGGAAAUCGGAGACGAGGCCCACGCGUCGCGCAACGGUGGUACCCCGGGUGCCACUGGUGCGACAAUUGUUGUAUGUGAUUAAUCAUUCUUCGUAGCCAUACACUUUCACGAGAUGCUUCGUAUAGGGCUAUUAUUUCCGAAUGAUUUGUGGAUGUAGCCACUAAAAUCUGUUUAGAAGACUUUCAUGAUAUGGCUGUCCCACCGUGCAGGAACACGAAACCAGUCUGGAAUCUGGCAUUGUGGGUAUCAGAUAAAUAGCCAGCAUCAGUGUAUCCGAUUGAUUCAGAGGCUUGGUUUUCCUUUUGGAAAUAUAGACCUAAAUCUUUAGUGUCUUGUAGGUAGCGAAACAUUUGCUUGACUCCUACCCAAUGGCGUUUUGUUGGAGCUGCGUUGUGUCUAGCUAGUAAAUUUACUACAAAUGCAAUAUCCGGCCGGGUGCAAUUUGCUAAGUACAUUAAUGCUCCAAUGGCACUAAGAUAUGGGAAUUCAGAUCCCAAAAUUUCCUCUCCAUCACCUUUUGGUCUGAAUGGAUCUUUCUCUACGUCUAGCGAUCAAACUACCAUAGGUGUUUUACAUGGAUAGGAUUUGUCCAUGUUAAAUUUCUCCAAGAUUUUUUGGAUAUAUGUAGCUUGGUGAACCCAUAUUCCCGAAGGAAGGUGCUCAAGUUGUAACCCUAAGCAGAAUUUGGUUUUACCCAAAUCUUUCAUUUCAAAUUCCAUCAUUACAUGAUUCCGAGCUUCAUCAAUAUCCUGUUUGUUGCCAAUGAUGUUUAAAUCAUCAACAUAUACAGAGAUAAUGCAAAAUCCUGUUUUGGAUUUCUUGAUGAAUACACAUGGGCAGUCAUUAUUGUUAGAGUAACCUUUUUUAAUGAGAAACUCACUUAGUCGGUUGUACCACAUUCUACCCGACUGUUUUAGACCGUAUAAAGAUUUAUUCAACUUUACACAGUACAUGUUGCGUCUUGCGUUAGCAUUCGGAAUUUGGAUUCCAUCGGGAACCUUCAUGUAAAUAUCCGAAUCUAAUGACCCAUAAAGAUAUGCAGUCAUGACGUCCAUCAACUGCAUAGAUUAAAUAUCGAAAAGUAAUUCCACUCAUAACCGGAGAGUGUGUUUCAUUGAAAUCAAUGACGGGUCUCUGCGUAAACCCUUGUGCUACUAGCCUUGCUAUGUAUCUCACCACCUCAUUGUUUUCGUUCCUUUUCUAGACAAAAACCCAUUUGAAUCCCACUGGAAAAACAUUUGGAGGUGUAGGUAUUACUUCUGUAAAUACCUUUCUUUUAUUGAGCGAGGCUAUUACUGUUUGAAUUGCAUCCUUCCAUUUGGGCCGGUCGGAGCGUUUUUCACACUCAGCUAUGGUCUUUGGAUCAUGAUCAUUUAGAAGGUUGUCUGCGAUCUUAGUUGAGAAAUAUGUGUCGACGAAUGUAGUCUUUCUAUUAUAUGUUUCUCCAGUGUCUAAAUAAUUUGUGGAAAUUUCAUUUACCUUUGGUGACUAUUCGCGAUUUCCCGUUGCGGUAAUGUCUAGGUUUUCCGAUAUCCCAGCAUCAGUAAUUGAGUGCACUAUUGAGCUGGGUUGUGGAUGUUGGUUAUCCACAGGGUGUAUAUUACCCAAUUGAUCUCGGUCAAUCAAAUGUUGACUCAAAUUUGUUGUUGUUGUUGAAGGAGGUCCAGAAGGUUUAUUCUUCCGUUUUCUUUUGCUGCGGUUCCUUCGUUUGUUCCUUUUGUUGCUUGCUGGAAGCUAGAUCCUUUUAAGUUGUCGUACUUCUCCCCCUCUUCCUUUGAACGGUAGGUGCAGGAGGUUGAGUGGUUUUUAUAGGUACCUCCACUCUUUCUGGUACGUUCUGUGCAGGAUUAUAGGAUUUAGUUAUAUCUUUGUAAUCAACAAAUGCGUCUGGUAAAUUGUUUGCAAUAUGUUGCAAAUUUAUAAUUUUUUAAACUUGUUGUUCAGUUUCUUGAGUACGUGGAUCAGAGGCGGAAAUGCCUUGGACAUUCCAAUUGAUUUCCUGGCAUUCUUGUUUUUGGUUGGGUAUAUAUAACAGAAUCAUUGUGCAGAAUCAUUACUAUUUUCUGAGAAAUCAGCCUUGGCUGGGUAUAUAUAACAGAAACGAAACAAUGUUAAUAUAAACAUAAGACAUCAUUUAUCUCUUUGUCAAAAAAAUAAACAUGCUCAUCAGUGAUAACCAAGCUCAUUAGUAUAUAUUUUUUAUAAUUUUUGUCAGCUCAUUGACACUUUAUGCGCUGGAAAUCAAGUAGUUGCCCAUUUAGAAAUUAUCUGCAGCUUUGGUCGACUGCCCAGUGCCCUUUGAGGCUAUGACACAUAUCCCUACUUAACUGGCCAAUGCAUUUCUGGGCUCACCCUGCGCAAUGCCCACUACACCCAAACCACCCACCUGAAACGAGUGAUAUUAGCCUGAUAAAAGAGUGACUAUAAUCUGGUAAUCAAGUGACAUUAAUAUGGUAAACAAGAGAUUAUAACUUGGUAAAUUUUGACAAAAAAAAUUGUCGUCAAAACAUAUCAACGUAACAGGUGAAAAUGGAUCGUUAAUUAGGGUGCCCGUGGAGUCGUUGCUCUUUGUUUUGAGGGGUGUGGAGUUGUUGCUCUGCAGGUUUGUUUCGCGGGGAAGCAGAAGAUUGCACCGAUCUGCAUGUUUCUUUUUCCGUUCUUUCUUUACUGUGGCUGUACUAACACAUGAUGAGAAUUCUAAAAAAAAACACAUGAUGAGAUUUUUAACAUCCCGAAAUUUCAAACUUUUACAUAUGCAUUGCAUCCAUGAGCAUCAUGCCACAAUUGCAUAUCUAAAUUCAAAUUUGAAUCUCAAAAGGUUUUGAAAAGACUCUAUUUCAAUUUAAACCCUAGGGUUUGCACCCUUUUGAACUUUGGAUCUUCAAACCAAUAGGGUUUAAUUAUAAAAGGGGUUUAUUGCAUAUAAAAGCUAUCCCAUAAUUUUUUGGAUAAUUAUUUGGAGUUGAAAACGUAUUUUAUUCAAAUAGUUAUAUAGCCCUAAAGACAUUUAUAGGGCAAAUGUAUUUUUUAUAUAUUUUAUUUUGAGGGGAAAUCACUCCCAAAAGUUGAAUCAUGAUAAGACAUGAUUUUACAAAUUUUCUGGAAUUUGUUUGGACCAAUUUGGAGUUCAAAAUCAAAGGAUAUCAAGGAAAUAAGAAAAAGGGAAAAAGAAAAGGCCAAAAGAAAAAAAAAUAGAGAACCGGACCGACCCAACUGGACCGGCCCAGUCUUGCGCGUGCCCCCUCGCCCGCGGCCGCGGCCCAGCCCCGCGCGCCCCCGGCCCAGCCGCCCGCGAGAGUCGCUGACGAGCGGGGCCCGCUCGUCAGUCGUCUUCCCCAAGCAGGCGCCCGCCUUUCUCGCCGGACACCGCGCCGACUGCCGCCGCCCUCACCGCCGCCAAUUCCGGCCUCGAUCCGACAUUCCCCGCGCGUCAUAUUAAAGCCCUCGUGCCCCUCUCUCAUUUUCCUAUUUCCCCGCUUGCGAUUGCGCCCCGGUUUCACUGCAAUUUCUCGCUGAAGUUCAUCCCGUCCGCCGCCGUUUUUGCUCCGUCGCCGCCGCUCCGGUGAGUCCCGCGCACCGCCGACCCUCUCCCCUUCCUCCUCUCUCCAGCGCGAACCCCCGCGACGCGCUCGCUUUUGUGUUUGGACAACCGCGCCGCCUCCGCCCGCACCGCGCGCCGCCUCUGACUCUGGCCGCGCGCCGCCCGCAAACUGCCUCCGUCCCGCGCGCCCCUCGCCGCGCCGCUGCCCGCCGUCCCCGCGUGCCGCCCCGCACCGCGCCGGCCGCCUGCGCGCUGCCCUGCGCCGCGCCCCCCCGCCACCUCCACCCCGCGCCGGCUGCGCCGCCCGGGUAAAACCCUAGGCGCUCGCCGGUGCCACGCCGCCACGUGGCAGGUUUAUCUUUUUAGUUUUUGUUUUAUUUUCGGCCGAAAUAAAAGUGCACAUUUGCAGAAAAUCCCCCAGUUUAUCAAACCGUCAUAACUUUUAAACCGCUUGUCCAAAAUUCAUGAUCCACACCUUUCUGGAAUCGUCACAACUUGUAGAAUAUUUUGACACUGAUUAAAUUUAAAUUUGAAUUUUUGAAUCACAGUCAAAUUACAGAAUAGGUUUUUAUGCCAUUUAAUUCAUAACUAAUUAUCUAGGAGUCCUUUUUAAUCGAAACCAAUGCCCAAAAUUUUUUUUAAUGUUCUCUGUCCAAUGGGACAGAGAAAUAAAUAUUUUGAAUUAAUUUAUUUGACUGAUGCCAAUAAAACCUCAUUUUAGGGUUUAAACCCCAACCUUUGCUAAUUGUUUAAAACCCUAAUUACAUGUAUUUAAUGAUCAAUGCUUUGGACCAGUAGAUCACCCGAAUAAAAUAAACCAAGUCAUGUGACAUGUUGCAUUGCAUCAUAGCAUAUCUUAUUUUGUCGUGAUGUGAAUUGUGUGUUUAUGUAUGUGUAUGUUUGUUUGUCUCGUAUAGUUUUCUCAGAGAGCGAGUCUUGCGAGUGUGACGAGUGUUUGAACUCGAACUACUGUGACAAAGGCAAGUUUACUUUGACCAUCAUCCCAUUAUUUUAUUACGCACUAGAUUUUAUUAGUUGCAUUGUUAGGAUUAUUAUUGUAUCUAUGUUAUGCUAUGAUUCUCCUAGUAGUAUAGGAUACCUUUGCCGUGACUUCACCACCAAUUGCCAUCGUAGUACCAAAAUGCUAUGCUAUGAUAAUAUAUGAGGGUGGUAUUAUUACAAUGUGAUACUAUUGAAUUACAUUAUGAUUUUUCCUAGUGUAUGGCAAAACAAGUAAUUCAAUGAAUCGUCCUGGGUGGGCUGCUUUGAGUUUUCGGAUGUCGUGACGUUAGGUCCAUUUCUUUGGGGCCCGCUGAGUCGUCUCUCCGUGUGAUUCGGGAGCGUCCAUGGUCGUCUCCCCAUGCGAUUCGGGGAGCGUCUGCGUCACAAUGUGGGAUGUCACCCGGGAUAAUCAGAGACUGGACUAGUUUCUUGUUUAAUAGCUUCCAGUACAACCACAUGGUAAUAUGGGCUCUGCCAGGAUGGAUGUAAGCCAUAUGAUCCUGGAUCCGAGGGAUUGUGCAGAUGUAGCUGUGUAGGUGGGAACGUAGGUCCCUCAGGUGGUCCGGGUGAUUAUGGUCUGAAAAUUCUUGUAAUCGAUGUCGUUGCUACUCUACCCUGAGGACAGCAAGGGAUUAACAUGUCGAUUUCUGUGGGGAAUGUGUACAACCUCUCGAGAGUGUCAAACUAAGUACUUAGCCGUGUCCCCGGUUACGGACAAUCAUGAGCAACUAGAUAUGGAGGCUGUAAGGAAGGUCUCACUCAUUCCAAUUUCUUAAAUAAAAUGAAUGGUUUGAACAGGGUAGGGGCACUUGAUGUAUCUACUCAAUGUGCUUUAGGUUAAUAGGAGCAUGGGUGUUUCUACCCCGUGUCCAAUAGUGAUAAAACUAUUUAAUAAAAUGAUAGGAUGUUACAUUGAUGCUUGUAUGCAAUUUGCCAAACCCCACCUAGCCAAAUACUGCAUAUAAUUGACAGGAUCUGUUAUAACCAUUUUGUGAAUUUGCCAAUACAUUCAAUGUAUUGACCCCCUAUUGACCCCUAGUGGUUACAACGUUUAAAUGUUGCAGGUGAAUCGAGUGAGGAGUGAGGUACGAAUUGUUAGGGUUACAAGUUUACAUUCCGACACGUUUCAACUGUGGAGUUGUUAUGGGACUCCUACAUCUUCUGCAUUCCGCUGCAAGAUUUUAUCUUCUUUGAGCUAACCCACGAGGUUAUGCAAUAUGUAAGGUUCUGGAUCAAUGCGAUGUAAUAUACUUUUGACCUUUCUAUCUUGAUAUUACAUCUUGAAAUUGUGUGUGCUAGCGAGUCGAUUCAGGGACUAGCACAGUAAGCACAGAGAUCAAACCCUAGUAAGGGGAGAUCGCUUCAAGAUUUAAGUAGGAAAAAAAACACAUGAUAAGAUUUAUAAACUUUUUUUCUAAAUUAUAAUUACAAAAUGCGACUUGAUUCUUCCUAAAAACAACUUAGAGUUGAUAGACAAGAGAAAUCACCUCAAAAAACAAAAAAAUAGACAAGAGAAAUGUUCACGUGAACUAUUGUUUUUGAGACAUUCCAACGUUUAUAAUCAUGGGUCAAACAAAAAUGUCCAACUAGGUUGUAUAAAAUGUUCAACAUAGUUCUAAAAAACUAGAGCUGAUAUUUUUCAAAAAAUUGUUCACAUGAAUAUUUGUAUUGCACAAAAAUGUUCAAGUAGCUUGUCAAAAGUGUUAUAGUGUCGUGUGAAAAAUGUUUAACAACUAAACUCUGUUACUAAAUGAGAAUGUCUGAUGUGCGUACACAUAUCGGACACACACUGUCGUACACAAAGCAAGGAAGCCUAGUCUGCCGUGGUCCGUUGCACAUCACUGGAGUUUUUAGGUACAUAGCCACCCGUAGAAAUUUCGCACUUUAGCAACUAUCAGUAUUUUAUACAGAUUCACUGGAGUUUUUAGAUACAUAGCCACCCGUAGAAAUUUCGCACUUUAGCAACUAUCAGUAUUUUAUACAAAUUCAUGUCAACGGAGGGAGUAAUAUAAAAUAAUUUUUCUGCUGGGUAGCUGGUCCUAGUGUGCUCUCCCUGCUAGUGCAAAACGGCAACGGUCAAGCCUCAAGCGAAUCCCCCAACGGCCUCCGUGAUUUCACCUCACCACCCCCACCACCAAAACUGGAGCCGCACAUGGCGCGAUGGCAUCAUGGCAAGGCCACCAUCGGCAAAACUGUCUGCUUAACGAGAGAAAACAAAGACGAUUCUUCUUACCAGCACAAACACACAAGUUAAAGUGUACUACUGCACGGUGAUAAUGGCUCUCGCAGUCUCGCUGCAGUAAUGCGAGUUUACGGGCCUCUCUCAUUGCAGAAGUCAUGGCCACCCAUGACAAGCAAUGAAGGCUCCUCCUCCACUUCCCAUCAACGCACUGGUCACCGGGCGCCCGCACUGGUCUCAGCAGUGGCGGAACUCACGGCUCCGGUUGUGUGCUCGGCAGUUCCCACACACUCCUCUUUGUUCCGCUUGCUGCUUUCCACUAUAAAUCAGGCCACCACCUUUCCGGUACGCUACUCCAUCGCUCAUCAGUCCCCAUUCCCCUGCUUUCCCCCCCUUUGUACUGUGUUGCCAUUUGUACAGAGUUAGCCAACCCGGCAACGAAGCCCUGAGCAUUGGGGCUUGGGAUUUCUCGAAGCCAUAAAAGAGACGGAGAGCCCCCAAAAAGAAGUCUACCAGCACGCCUGUCCAAGCAGCCGCAGCAUAGCUGCUAGCUAGUACUACAAGGAAAAGGAGGGGAAGGGCGAAGAAGGGGAAAGGAACCAGUAGUGUGAGCCCGUCCCCAAUGGCUUCCUCUGCCCCCUUCCUGCUCUGCAUUCUGCUGCUCGCGUCCACGGCCUCUGCCGCAUUGCUGUUCGACGGCGGGAAAUCGGCGGCGAAGGGCAAGGCGGCGGUCGACACGGAGUGGCGGCCAGCCACCGCGACGUGGUACGGCGACGCCGAAGGCGACGGCAGCACCGGUAAAAAAGCUCUGAACUCGCCUCCAUUCUCUGGAUAAAUUAGCUCUGCUGCCUCUGUGUCCAUGAGUCCAUAGGAGGAGUAGUUAACCUCUUAUUACUCGAAGCUACUAAACCGUUUGAGCAAAUGUGCAUGAAUCAGUAUUUAGCCAUAUAUACUGCCCUGUUGCAGGAUUUCCACUAACCCAGAGACAGCAGCCAAUGUGCAUUUCUUUUUACUGUUUUUGAGAUUGACAAAUAGGAUUGUUAACUGAAAAUGAUACUAUUAACUAGGACUGCUAGAUGCUAUCAGAGCCGUCCCAUUGGCACGAGACGGUCUUUCAUCUUCUCUAAAAAUAGAAGUAUUCCUCUGGUAAAAAGAGCGAUAAAAAUAUGAACGAUUAGUUCUGCCCGUUGCGGCAUUUCUGGCGCGACGUCUGCGGAUCCCAUGAGAUCCGAAGAGAAUUUCCGGUGGGCCCCUGCUGUAUGCGAGCCCAUUAGGCAUCAGCGAGGCGCUCGGUCGCUUUACGAUUCGUGCCCCCAGUUUCUCAGUGCAACGACCGGCGAAGACGACCGUGUCAGGCCUUCCAAUAACUCCAUUGCUCUGCUCGGUACCAACAAAUGCGGAAAUCGCUAAAAUCUUCGUGGUAAAUGCCAUCUCUGGCUCCCUUCACACGCUCCACCGACACUCCUGGUAACUUUGAUUUUUGCAUCCGUAAAUUCCAACAAUCUACUCCAGUACGCUAGCUGUUCGCUGCAUUUACACUCAUCAGAAGCCAGAGCACCGCAGCUAGUCGUACCACCUGCAGUAGAUCGGAGUACUACCUCGGUUCUGCCAACGAGCUGCAUGCCAACUUACUUGACUGUGCGUUAAUUUCUGCGAUUUUUCUCAGGGGGCGCGUGCGGGUACGGGACGCUGGUGGACGUGGUGCCGAUGAAGGCGCGGGUGGGGUCGGUGAGCCCGGUGCUGUUCAAGGGCGGCGAGGGCUGCGGAGCCUGCUACAAGGUGAAGUGCCUCGACCACGGCAUCUGCUCGCGCCGCGCCGUCACGGUCAUCGUCACCGACGAGUGCCCCGGCGGGCUCUGCGGCGGCGGCCACACCCACUUCGACCUCAGCGGCGCCGCCUUCAGCAGGAUGGCCGUCGCCGGCGCCGGCGCCCACCUCCGCGACCGCGGCCAGCUCUCCGUGGUCUACAGACGGUGAGCCCUCGUUACGCGUUCUUUCAGGUCUUUCCUGCGAACUUGAUCUGAUCAGUUAGUUAGCUGGUUAGUAAACUACUUUUAAUCAGCUUUGAGGCAUGCCAGAGUGGACACGGAGACGCGGACAAAAGCUCCUUCACUCCCGGACUCGUGAAGUACUAAAAUAGUAUGAUCGAUCCGUGGACCGUUGUGGAAACAUCGCUAGCUAGCUGAGGCUGUAGUAGUUUGUUGCCCUGUCGUGUCUUCAAGCACACGGGAGGAAUUAAAUUGUCCAGGGGUUAAAUGGGCUUGCAGCACCAGCUCAUAGCUGUCUUGGGUCUGUGUGCUGUAUCACAGUUACUCAUGCCCUCUGCGUGAUGUAACUCAGUCAGAGACUCAGAGGUGCGAUAUCCAUUGUCAAGAUUCCUGGUCAAUUCCUCUAGAUCCGUUCACCAGUCUCUCUGACAGUAGAAAACCUGUCGUCUAUUCCUCAAGAAAAGAUAAAGAACUGUACCAGUCUCAUCAGUAGAUUUCUGCAACUAGGAAUAACGAUUGGUUUAGUGAAGCCUAAGAUUUCGUGUUUCUUUUGUCUGAUAGAUUGAUCAGUGCAGUGUACUUGUGUUUUGUAUCAGGACUGCCUGCAAGUACGGAGGGAAGAACAUAGCCUUCCAUGUGAACGAGGGCUCGACGAACUUCUGGCUCUCACUGCUCGUCGAGUUCGAGGACGGUGAGGGCGACAUUGGAUCCAUGCAGCUAAAGCAGGUACGUAACGAGAGGUCGUCUUCUUUUUCCAGAACUUGACAUGACAUGCUUCUUUACUUUCGUUCACUGCCUUUAAUUUCCCCGUUGUCUAGCUAGUAGUAUCACAUCAACAAAGGAAAUGGGGAAAUCUAGUUAUCUUUAUUUUGCCUUUCACUGCCUUCGAGUGGUGGGAACAAGCCGAGUGGGUACAUGGGACGGAUGUUCCGUGGGCCGUGGGGUGCAAUAGGACCGCAGAUCGUUUCCUUUGCGAAAGCAUGUGAGCUCUCUUUCAUCGUCCCUCCCUGCUCCAUGUGGUUGAGGACAUGUUCCACUGUUGGUUGCUUUUACUUACCGUCAUGCGCCAUGCCUAUGCUGGUGGCUAGCAUAGCAAAGCAAUGCCAUCGUUGUUAGGUAUCCGUGCUGUGAUGUCCUCUGUAGAACAAGCUGAACUUAGUAGAAUCAUCCAUAUGAAACUGACUGGUACAGUCGAAUUUACAACAAGACAGAGGUGACGGAGCGAAACAAAAAAAAGAUAUACUCCCGUAAGUAAGAUCUACUGUUUGCUCAAUCUAAGCUCAUACUCCAUUCUAAAAGGAACAGCCAUCAGACACAGAAAUCCGCCACACGUGACCAAGAAAGCAUGCUAGUAAUACUUUCUUGCCCUGUCCUGUCUACCACACAGGUCACAGAGUCUAGUCAAGAUAUCAUUCGCUUUGCCUUAUGAUGCCCAUCCGGAACAUAGUAGUAUAAAGAAUCCGAUGUAAGUGCACAUUGAGCAGCAGCACCCAGUUGACAGCCCCCAAAGGCAAGCACAUCAAAGCCUCCCCUUUCUCCCGAAAAUCCACUGCCCAAUGAUGCUUCCGCUUUAGCCCGGUCAAUCGGUCCUUCAGGACUAGACACUACACUCAUGCUUUCAGGUUUGAUUUAAUCUGACACCCAUCCCGCACGCUCUUGACUGGGUUGCGCGGCCUCGUAGUAGUAUCCAGGGAAUCGGGAGCACGAUGCUGCUCUGUACAUGUUGCCCUUGCGCUGUCUGCUGUCUGCUGUCUGCUUAUUACUGUAGAGCCUAUAGUUCGAGCUGCUGUAAAUAUCAGUAUAACACGGGCGCUUACAUGUACUUUCUUGAUUCUUGACAUCACAAAUGGUGCGUGCAGGCGAGCUCGGCGCAGUGGCUGGACAUGAAGCACGUGUGGGGCGCCACGUGGUGCAUGUACGGUGGCCCGCUCGCGGGGCCCUUCUCCGUGAGGCUGACCACGCUGUCCGCCCCGAAGACGCUCACGGCCCGGGACGUCAUCCCCAGGAACUGGGCCCCCAGAGGAACCUACACGUCCCGCCUCAACUUCGAAGCCUCUCUGUGAUGGACCGGACCGGACUGGGCCACGUUUUAUCGGCCCGGAUGGAGCCCGCCAAGUGGAGCAACAAAUGCAGGCCCACAUGGCAGGCAAGCAGGAGUUCUGUUGGAUGGACGAAGUAGAUUUUGUUUACCGCGGAUGUGGUCUGUGAUCAUUAGAUGAUGCGUAGCGUAAUGUGUGUUUAGCAGGAGUAGUUUGGAUCAGGAGCUGGGUGAUCUGGCCCGAGCAAGCAGCCGUCCUCUCCAAAAGGAGAGAGAGCGUUUGCUGCUUUUGCUUUGGAGGUUUUUCCUGCUGGGAAUCAGAUGCGGAAGCCGAUUGGACCGGAGGGUUUUGGACCCCUCUUGGUCGCCGCUCGCUCUUUUCAUCUACCACUGCCUUUUUCUAUUUGCGUGUUUGUUUUGUCUGUUAAUUUGUUUACCAUGGUUGAAGUGAAGGGAUCGUGAGAAAAUGUGUUCCAUGCUUGUUCGCGUCAGUUUGCUAGUCUGAUUCGUAAGUGGAAAACGCUAACAUGAGACAAAUUGUCUAGCACCAAUGUUGGAAUAUACUUAAGGGUAGAUGUUGAGAUAAACAAAAAGAGUGAGUGCCAAAUUAACUUAGCACCCAAUGCUAAGCCAAAUAAGUUACUCUAACUUAGUUUAUGUGUACACCAAUUUAAAGUUCUUAGCAUCUACAAGUGGGGUUAAGGAAUGCGGCAAAACAACUUAGAGUGCUAAAUAGAGAGAACAUUGUUAUGAACACCCUUGGAGCCUAAAUACUACUACUAGGUGAUAGGAUGCAGACGCUCUAAUUUUUCCUUUUCUGCCAUCAACAUUGGCAUCCCCACCUAGAGUUAAGGACGUCCUAUCCACAAGUUGUCUCUGAAUGGGCUGGAUGGUCUCCUGCCCAAUCGUGCACUUCAUCAUCUCUAUGUGGAGGUCCAAAACUAUAUCUUUUGCGCAUGAAUUUACCCGAGCCCAUCAAGGCUAUUUCGAAGGUAUGAAAUUGUAUAGUUUUGUGUGUCGCUUUGUUUUGAAGUUUAAACAUCCCACAUACUAUAGAUCACAGGCUUACACCAAUUGAGGUUCUCUUUCACUCAAGGUAGUCGAAUAUUUUUCAUAUUGAAUGGGAAAUGGGACAUUUAUGCGGAUAGAUUGUUUUGUUCGAUUUGGUCAUGAUUCAUUUACACUACAUUUUUAGAGAACUUUCACUCAAUUUUCUAAAAAGAUGUGUUCUUACUUUCCUAUCGUGCAAUCGGACGAAUUGAGGUGCUUCUCAGGAAAAAAAAUAACAAGAAACAAAGGUUGCAAACAUAUUGUAAUCCGCACGAGGCAAAAGUUUAUUAAAUAUAAUAGUAAUACUUAUGAAUUCUUGUAUUGGAUCCACUUCUCAACAUUCAUUUUCCUUCUCAGAAAACAUAUCAAUCGUUAAGUCUAGUUAAAUUGAAUAUUUUUAUUUUCAUGAAAAAUAGGUAGUUUAUUGAACCCCUUAAAUUCAGAAUUUGUGAAAGUAGCUCUAGGUUCCUAUUGUUGGGGUCACGAUGGCUUCGUUCGCGUUUUAUGGAGCUUCUCAUAGUUUGACUUAUUUCUUCCGUUUUCACAUGAGGAGGUAGAAGGCACCAAUAUUGAAGACAAAAACAGAUUUAAUCCACCCUUUAGAUUUUUCUAAAAAUAUUAACUGAUCUAAAGAAAAACAAAAAGGAAACCCAUUGACUUUAUUUCUUCUUUUCUACACGUGGAGGGAAGAUGGCAUGGGUUUCGAAGAAAAUAAAAACAAGUAUAUUCCACCCAUCCCUUUUUUACUUUUCAAAUAAUAUGAACUAAUAUAAAGAGAAAGAAAAAGGGAAUUUCAAUGAUACGUAUUGUUAUUGAUCAAUUAGAUUUUGUUUAUGCAAAUUCAAUCACAUUGGAUAUAAAUGGAAUAACAUUUUGUUUUUCCAAUCCAACAAAUCAAAGAACUUAUUAUGGAUCGGAGGGAGUACAUAACUGCAUAAGUCUGCACGCGUAUUGUGUGUGAUGUGAAUUGUGUUGCGUACACAAAAGAAGAAAUGAAAUACAUCCAUAAUUUGUAUACACAUCUCUUUGAUUAUACCAUAAAUGUAUUGACUUUGUGCACACAACCUCUUGCAAUAUCAUGUCUGAAUAUCUUCCCUUUGAUCACUACCCAUUACAAUUUCAUUUUCUCAGCACCAGCAAUAUAAGAUGGCACCAAAAAAUGUGUGUAUACAACGCAACUUCGGGGGGAGGGAAUUCAUAGAAACGCAAGCCCAUCAUUUUGAAACACGGUAAACUUUGUACCAUUGAAUAUUAGUGUAAUUGACAAUCAAAGUUAAAUUUUAAAAACACGGUGCACGCCCAUCGUUAAGGAGGAGGCAAGUAGAAAUUUCCAAUAGGAAAUCAAAGUGCGAACUUCGUUAUCCCGGUUCACUUCGGAGUUAUCGAACUGUCAUACUGCCAUCAGUCCAAAUCACCCGUCACAUUCUAUGACAGGCCGGGCCCAACCAAGAUACCGUACUGUUCCAUCCCCAUCACGUCAGGCCCCUGCAGAUAUUUCUGGUUUCCAGGACGCGUCUAUCUCCCAUGCCCGCUUGGACUCGGGACUCUCCCUGAAAUUGCAAGCGCACCAAGCAACUCCAUAGCCGGGUUCCAUCAACCCAGCCAGCCACCACGAAGCCCACGAGCAGGGGUGCCCCAGUUCCCGUUUCUCUCGCGUAGAAGCAAUCGCCAUUGCCGGAAUCUUCAGACGAGGAAGUAAUGGGGGCGACAGGCCCGGACGCCGAUGAGAAGGAGGAAGGGGUGAUGGCGACGGACUUCUUCUGGUCGUACACGGACGAGCCGCACGCGUCGCGCCGCCGGGAGAUCCUCGCCAAGUACCCCCAGAUCAAGGAGCUCUUCGGCCCGGAUCCUUUGGCCUUCCUCAAGGUGCCGUGAUCUAUUUCUCUUCUUAUGUCCUUUUGGAUCCCUCAAACUUGAGAUCCCGCGUAAAUUGAGUUCUCGAUCGUUUCAGCGUGGAUUGAUUUGGUACUGUGGCGGUCGUCUUGUUUUAAUUCUACUCUAGCCGAACAGCUAUAGAUUCAUAACGUUAAGCUUUAAUUGCAGCGGCAUGAAUUUGAAGUGCGAUUUUCUUUUACUAAUCACCACUGUUAUUAGUUCUGUGCUUAGCAAAAAGAGUAUGUACCAUGCAAAGCUGAUGCAUCUCAUCAAUUUUUACGGUUUAGUCACGCAGUGUAACUUAAAGUUCCUGUAUCUGGUUGACUGGUGUACUCUGGUGUUCAGUUCAGUAAUCAGUACUUUAGUUUCACAGUCCCUCCUUUAAUUCAGUGCCUUUUCUACAUGGGGAAGCAUUUUGGUUGGAUACAAUUUAAUGCAAAUGUUCCUUGAGCUGACAAAAGCUUGUCCGUUACAUGUCCACAUCUAGAUCAUAUGGUCCACAUGUGAUUCUCUAGCGAUGUCGCUCUUGAUAAUAGUUUUGGAGUUGGUGUAGACUGAAGGUCAUGUUCCAGUCCACUCAUGUUCGGUGUGAUAAUUUGAAUUUCAUGUAGAUUGAAACCACCAGCAAUUUUCUAUACUGGCUUUAAAUUAAGAUGUCCACAAACUCGGAUAUUAUGGUUGAAAAAGAUAUAAUCGGCAGUAGAAAAAAUUGCGCUCAAGUACGCUAACAAUCAGUAAUACCGCCAAUCUAAUUGUUUUGACCAUCCAUAAUAAGCACAAUAGUCUGUAAAUAAUCCUAUCUUUUGAAGUUUACAAUGGUCGGGUAGUUGCUAGUAUGAUCUAGAAAUCUGCGGGCCUCAGAGUUCUGCAGAAACUGUCUUGUUGGUUCUGAAUCUGUUCUGCCCAUGCUUUCCAUGCCUGAAGUGGUUACUGUGUUCUCCAUUUUUGCUGUGCAUCUGUGAGAACCAACCAGAUUAUUCUCCACCUGUCGUUGCCAAUAUGAGACAUGGGGUUCAUUGGCAAAAUUGGUAUCUUUCAGUUCCUCUGAACCACACUUGCUGCAGUGGUCUUUGAACUUCUCAGUUGCAGUGCUCUACCUUAGCAUGGCAGGCUGGCAACUUUAAAUAUCCAUGUAAAUCUCAUGGCCUAUGUAGGAAAUAUAAAUACUAUCCCAUCUGACCUUACUUGUGCUGGUUUUUUUGUUUUGUUGGAAGUCGUUCGUAACUGCAUGACUAGUGAAUUGACUACACUGGAAUUCAUAGGAGAAUAUGAAUGUGGAAACUUCUCAAACCAUCUUUUUGUGUGAAAAAUGGAAAUAACAUCCUAAAAAAGCAUAUUUUCUAUUUAACUGUUGCUAUAUUUUCACAUCCAUCUCAACUUUGAUUGCAGAUUGCUGCAGUUGUCACACUUCAGCUAUGGACUGCUAUGCUCCUGCAAGACGCUGGCUGGUUGAAGAUAUUGAUGGUUGCCUACUUCUUUGGUUCCUUUCUGAAUCACAAUCUCUUCCUUGCGAUCCAUGAACUCAGUCACAAUCUUGCCUUCACCACGCCAUCUUUAAAUCGCUGGCUAGGUAUCUUUGCAAACCUCCCCAUUGGUGUCCCAAUGUCCAUAACAUUCCAGAAAUACCACCUGGAGCACCACCGCUUCCAAGGUGUGGAUGGAAUCGACAUGGAUAUCCCCAGCCAAGCAGAGGCGCACGUGGUCAAGAAUGCCAUCAGCAAAUCUGUGUGGGUUGUGCUCCAGCUCUUCUUCUAUGCACUUAGGCCACUCUUUCUGAAGCCAAAGCCUCCAGGCAUGUGGGAAUUCACCAACCUUACAAUCCAGAUCGCGCUCGACGCCAUGGUGGUGUACCUCUACGGUUGGAAAUCGCUCGCCUAUCUGAUACUCUCGACGUUCGUCGGUGGUGGCAUGCACCCUAUGGCCGGCCACUUCAUCUCGGAGCACUACGUCUUCAACCCAGACCAGGAGACCUACUCGUACUACGGGCCGCUGAACCUGAUGACAUGGCAUGUAGGGUAUCACAACGAGCACCAUGAUUUCCCCAGAAUCCCAGGCACCAAGCUGCACAAGGUGAAGGAGAUCGCACCGGAGUACUACAAUAGCCUGAAGUCAUACAGGUCCUGGAGCCAGGUGAUAUAUAUGUACGUCAUGGACCAGACGGUUGGCCCUUUCAGCCGGAUGAAGAGAAAGGCGCCCAAAAAAGACUCUUAGAAAAACUCUGCAUGUAGUGUUAUUUUUGCCAGAGAUUAGUUAUUUCAGAUGAUGCUUCCCCGGACAUUCGGCUUGUAAUUGUAACUUUUGGGAACCGGCACUUGUACCAACUCACUGGUUAUUUUCUACUGGAGCGCCCUUUUUGAAUUUCGCAUAUGGAGUUCUUAGAAACAGUCCAGACGACUAAUCGAGUGAUUUUCUGACUUUCAGUUUUGUUUCAAAUGACGUGAACUCGUCCCCAAGUUCGGUACGCGUGCUCGUGACUCAUGAGUUGCUAAUCCAGGUUCAUUAGUUGCAGGAUAACUUUGUGUGCGUCACAACCGGAGACUGGAGAAGCUAGAGAAAUCGCAAAAGAUGCCGCUGACCACACAAGAAAUGUGUGGGCGCUGAGCGUAGCGUGCACGGGGAGCACUCAUCCUGACGGCCGCGUUAGCAAGUAUCGGCAUCCUGGGGCCUGGGCUCUCCCCAACAUUGCCGCAGCUGCGGUCGCCACUCGCCACCCGUUUGUUGUGUUGACCGCACGCUUGUACCCAAGGCCAAGGGCCUCGGCUGCUCUGCGCUUCGUACCAAGUCCAAAUUGGAAGGAACAAGGAAGCGUAAGAAUUCUGCAUGAUCUAAAAAAAAGAUUGUACGAAUUCUGAACUUGUAGCUUCUAUGGAGUUCUUAUAAAUCUGGUGGCGCCCGCCCCUGCUAGUCUGCUAUUAAGUGUACCUUUUGUCCUCUAGCCGUGGGCACGUUCACCACGCCGAGGAAUCCAUCCAUGAUCCACCGUCUCUGGUCAGGCUUCGUCCAGCUAGUUGCCGCCGCGCCGUAGCCCUGCUAUUACGGCGCCGUUAUUGGACUCCGGCAUGCGGCAGAGGCUGCUCCUCGAUUGAGACCCUGAUAGUGCUAUAGAACUAGUAAUACAUUAGUACUACAUAGAACUGUAUUAUACUACUUGCAGGUAACUGUGGAUUCUCAUGGCUACCAUCGUGGUGGUGCGUAUAUUUGAUGGAUAAUUUGCUACGGAGUACUCCGUAGUAGUACGUACUAAGACAAGGGGGGGAAUUUAUGGGAAGAGUUGUGCGCGCGACUACUCUCGUGGAGGAAACAGAAUACCUGCAGCGAUCCAAGUCAAAUGUCAAAAUCCACGCUCCUCUAGAAACCGAUGAUUCUUCCCUAAACAUUAGAUCACGACUAAGCCGGAAACACAUGGACCAGAUCUACCCAUUUAUUUGUUUCCCAGUACCAUUUACGCGUUUCCUUCUUUUAAGGCCUUCUAUUCUAUACCACUCCCUGAGGAAACUUGCCAGCGAGGCAACACAAACAAGGAAACACAGAGCAGUUGGACCCAACACUCCGUGACAACUGGACCCGACGAACUCUGCCCGUGCAUCAGGCCCACAUGUCACACUCCUCUCCGAGACGUUAUUGUCCUCUUCUUAAUCCUGUGGGCUGUGGGUGGCGUGAGUGCGUGAUUCAAGCUUCAAUCGCCUACGCUGGUACACGCUCAUCGUCAAACUUUACAGAUCGGCUUCCCCGUCCAGGUCCACACGCGGCACUGGCUAUAUAUCCCAGCGGCGUCAUCCCCUCCAGACGCACGACAAGUCGCCAACCCGGCCCAACCGCCAAUCAGCAUCAUCUUUCUCCUCUCCUCAACCCGCGACCGGAAAGGAAAGCAGAUUCCUCCGACGAAGAAGAGCCUAGCGGGAUCGGAGAUGGGAGGCUUCGACGUGAAGCAGCGGACCAUGGAGCUCAAGAUCGCGGUGAUGAAGGGCGUCAGGGUGGUCGGCGACUUCAGCAAGAAGACGUGGAAGAAGGUGAAGAGUGUCAAGCGCUGAGUGAUUGAUCGGUUGGUCCAGCGCUGGCUUGUGUUGAUUCGUAUGAUUGAUAGCAGGUGUGAUUUUGGUUGUGGUUGUAAUUGGCUUUGUUGGAUCUGUUUGAGGCACCUUUUAAUGUGAGAUUUUGCCUGUUUGUAUGGAUUAUAUUAUAUUUUUGUCUUCUGGUUUUACUUGAUUGAUCGUGUCUGCUGUUUUUUUGCUUGGUUCGUCUUCCAUGGGUGAAGUUUAUGGUGAAUUGCUGAUAGUUCUGUUGUUGUUGAGAUGUUUGGUCUGUUCUUGCCCACCUAACAGGCGAUCCAUCCAUAUCCUGAAAACUAUACACGCUAUUUUCAUCAGGAGGUGAAAAUCUGGCAGACUUCUCACCGUUACACAUUCGAUGAAACAAGGCUCAAACUUAUGAUCACAUAUUCUUACCGAUGAUUUUAUCUCAGCUAUAAAAGAAAACUUGGUUGCUAUUGAUCUACGCAUCACAAAAUUUUCAGUAUGAAAGGUUGCUGCGCAUCACAAAAUUCUCAGUUAGACAGUAAUACGAGCUAAGACUGGAGUAGUUUGCCUCUGCACUACAAAGGGCUGGACAUACACGGCAGAUGCGUCCUUGGUGUUUAAAGUUCGACAGCUAGCCUCUUCAGACUAAAAAUUUAAGAGCUGAGCUGGCUGUGGUAGCGGAGCUGUACGAAAAAAAAGAAAGUCCUCAGGCAACAACUCACGGCACGAUGGCACACCGCCGUAUGCGGAAACAUAUGCUGAACAGCAGCAGAAAAUGUUUCUUACGCCUCGCUGUACUAGCUGAUGCAUAUAGCAGCACGUGAAACCGCUUUCAAAAAUAAAUAAAUUAUACAGCUACAAUACCAGCAUUUUCCAAGCCAAAACGGCAAAAUUCUUGUGCUAUUAAACAGCGGUACAUGCAUCACGGUAAGUUGCUCACUCUACAGUGCUCAUGAAGAUCUAACGGGAAUAACCGCAGGGAAUUGGAAUGUCCACAAGCCGCCUACUGCGGAGGAGCGUCAGGAUCCAACCUUUUCUGGAUUGCAGCUGCGGCCUGAUAAAGAAUAUGUUUGGCAUUAAUUAAAUAUACAUUUCGCCUCUAAUUACACUGGCAAGGUUAGAAUAAAGGGCAUACCUCAAAAUUCCCCAACUUGUACUGGUACAUCAUUUCCUCACGCAGGAGGGCCUGCUCCUUCAUUGCUUGAGCCUAAAAUGGGGAUCAAAGCAAGCAUCUAUGUCAGAUGACAGAACAAAAAGGUGAAAUUUUUGUAAACCCAUUCUAAGCAAGUGAAAUUUUAUGCCAACCCAUUUUAAUGUAUACAACCAUACAGGUAUUCAAUAUCAUGUACUCCAUCCCAAAAUAUAAGGCACAUUUCAAUUGCUUUGACCAAACCUUUGAGCAAACCUUGCCCCAUUAACAUGUGACUUACGUGACCAAAUCAUAAUCAUAAGCAAGUACUUUUGAUUAAGAAUUAAAUGAUGUAAUUUUUUGUCACAUAAAUUGUAUAUUGAUGAAGUAAUUCUUAGUCAAAAGCUUGUUCAAGGAAACAAAAAAUGCCUUAUAUUUUGGGAUGGGUAGGAUCAAAAUCAAAAAAUUGGAUUAAAUAAACCUUGAAGCUCAACACCCCUGGAAAUCCGAGACUCAAAAUUAAAGUAUAACAGAAGUUCGAAAAGAACGAGAAGGGGCAUCUGUAACCAAUUGAUAGAGCACAUGGCUGUGGUGGUUGAGGUCUCCUUGUAGAUUCAAGCCACAUACUCCCUAUUUUAAAAGAUCAUAGAUGCAUUCUCAAAUGAAUGGAAAAAUGAAUAUAUGCAUUCUUAAAUGAAUUGGUGGUACUUGGCAAGUUGGCAUCAAGUGACCAAGGAGAGCUUUCAGCUACGUUGUGAAAGAUUGAUCACACCUACGAUACAUGAAAGGCAAAAAUAAAGAGAACAAGCACUAUUUAGUGACCAAGACACUUCCAACAAGCAUUCUCGUAUUCGAUGCAAGUUCAGAGGACAGAUCAACAAAGAAAAGAACAAGAAUACAAGAAAAAAAACUGCAAUAUUCUAACCAUUCCAGUUUGCAUGGAGCGUUUUAGAGCUGUCACUUCUUCCUCCUUUCGGCGUUCACGUUCCCUCAACAGUUCUAUCCUGCAUGACACAUUUUUUGAGAGAAGUAAAAAAAUUAAUAGCCCAGACACAAUUAACUGUUAAUCUAUCUGUAAAACAUGAAGAUUGCAUGGCAUAAUGGGCUCAUAAUUUGAAAUUGCCGUAAAAUAGUAAUCAAAUGAAUGGAACCUAGGCCAUCUACUUUUUUACCAAAUGCUAUAAGUAGACUUCAGUAAUCUAUAAGUAGACUUAUGUAAUUACACUAAGACAUUCCAUGAUGUCCAAUGCUUUGCUAUUGCAGGUAUACACAAACUAAAGAAAUGUAUAUGUCCACAUACCGUCGCUGUUCCUCGUCAUUAAAUAUUGUGCGCACUGCUACCACACCAGCAUUCUUUAAACCAUCCUUUCUCUCUUUCUCCAUCAUUCGGUGAUGGUAAGCAUCUAAGUCAUAAUAUCUAAUAAGACAACAAAAGAAGGGGAAAGAUAAAUUCCCAUACUGAAUUACUAGCAUAUAUAUAUACACACAACAAGAAUCUAUGAAAAGAAGCAUGCAUUACUUUUUUGAUGGAAAAGUGGCUGUAUUGUGGUCUUCCAUAAAUCUGAGAUGCACAGAAAGAUGUAUGUUAAACAUCCUAUGAAGAUAAGGAAUUCCAGGGAAGGGCAAUACUUUAUUUCUAAGUUCACCAGAAGCUCAUUGAAUUAUUAAUUUCAUGGCAGUAUAGUAACAUACUCCUUAAACAUUUGUUUCUCUUCCCAAUUAGACAAUGCCUCCAAAUUGACCUGUGGCCACAUUCCAAAAUAAAUAAAUUAAGAUUAACACACGAUAUCGUAAAUAAGUAAAUACUCAACAAGAUUGAGUAGUAACAAGAUUGACAAUUUGGUACCAAUGUAAAAUGCACAGCAAUUUUCUUUUUUAUAACAAACGUUAGUCUACUCUAUGUGACCUGAUAAGUGAUAACAAAACUAGAAUAAGAGAGAUUGGCUUAACAAGAAUGCAAGCAAACAUGGUUCAAUAAGUUGGGAGAAAAAUGCUAAACUAAAAAUAUCAAAAGACCAAGAGAGAGAACAAUACUGCUCUGUUCCUCUAACAUUUAGGUCAGCCUAACUUUAUAAAAUUAAAACUUUUUGCUAAAAGAGAAAUAAACAAGCUCUAAUGCAUUGUGCUCAAAUAGCAGCAAUUUUCCUUUAACAAAAUUUUUUACUGAAAGAAUAGUAGUCUACCUAGAAUAACGAUUUCUUUGGAGCUAACUGGUUUGCCUAAUACUAACUGAAAAAUAUAUAUAUAUUAGAAUGGCGUUUCAUUAGUGGGGGACGGUUAGAUACACAUUGUUGAUCUGACAUUUUUCUUGUGUGCGUACUGCGUUCAAGUUCUCAAUAUUUCAUAAAAAUGGCAAUAUCGGUAGAAUGAUAGAAACAAACAUACCUGCUUGACUUCUAACAACCAUGCAGUGAACUCUGGUCGCUUGUUCCUGCAGAAAACAUCACAUGGUUGACCUCAUGAGAGAGUGGUAGAAGUAUAAAAUAAUUGCACUUUAUAAGAUUAUCUAGAGUCUAAACUCAUAAUAACCUACAGGAUCCAUCACUUAAAUCAUUUAAUCCUAUCAAAUAGUAAAAUAUUUCAGAAUGAUCUAAUCUCCAUUUCUGAUUCAUAUUGGCCAUAAGAGGAAUUUUACGCAUUGAAAUUUACAUAUUACACAUUUACCACUAGUAACACAACUGACAAGAUAAAUGAUCUUAGGCUCUUAGCUAUUACCAGUUUACCACAUUCUAACAAUCACUUGCACCAGGGUAACCAACAAGGAAUUGUGAGGCCUCAACACAAUGAAGGGCCAGUCCGGAAACGCCAGCGGUAGCCCACAUUUCCAUCACUCCUCGUUGUCUCCUUGCAUCCCACCUCAUCUAUGGAGCUGCUGUGGAAGCUUCUCUUCCACUGCCACGAUAUCCUCAAGUGAACUCACAGCUAGUCACCAAGGCAUGCAGGAGCAUGGCAAGUGGUACAGGCUCAUUACUACGUACGUGGCAAUCACAUUAGAAUUUGGUAGGGCUCUUCGCUGUCAAAGAGGCAGAAAAGCAACUUUCCAAUGAGAGCAUGUCACCUCCCCUCCUCUGUCCUCAUCUUUGUUAGAUGAUUUUUUUUUCUAAUUUGUGGCUGCUACAUGCUUCCUGAUUGCAGAUCGAGGAAUGAAGAGAGAAGGUGGAGGAGGAGCAGCCAACUAAGGCUUAGAUAGCAAAUUAAGAAGAAGCAGGUGAUGUCUCUUUUUGUUUUUGCUAGAAUUUAAAUCACAGCAAGAAUCGUUACUAUAAUGCAAGCUUGUGAUUCAUGCACAAGAUGCUUCUUUCUGAUCUGAUGCAGUCUGUUGAUUCAUGCAGCGCAGUAGUAGCAAACUAUGUGGAUGUGUUCAUCUGUUACACUUGGUGAUUGAUAACACAACAGUCACCAGUCACUGGUAAUCACCAUGUCAGCUAGCUCUGGAGGCAAUCAAUCCACAGCCAGCAGUUUGCUUCUGGGUGUUUCUAGUUCGCCGGCUCAACAACCAAGCGCAACAGUCAAAGGUGCCAAAGAAGGUGUGUGCUGCAGGCAGUGUCAUAGCCUGCAGAAAUGUUUUGUGGCAGCACGGCUAAGCAUGGUUGGCCGUAGCCUGACCCAUCUUCAUCACUAACUACAGUACUCAUCUUGUUAGCUAAUCAUGAAGAGUAUUCCUCCCAUAUGCAUCCAUAGGCUAUUCCAGCACACAAACAUGAAUUCAUAAUUUUCUACAUGCUGGUUUACCAUAAAACUAAGACAUUGCGAUCUAAAAACAAAGUAAUAGACAGGAUUCUCACCACAUAUCAACCUCACGGAUGAUGCCAUACUUGCCCCACGAGUUGGUAACUGCAGCCUUCUUCCCCAAAUCCUUCUUCUCAUCCUUCCUCCGCUUCUUCUUAUCCUUUUCCUUCUUAUGCCUCUCCUUCUCCUUCCUCUUCCUCUUCUCCUUCUCCUUCCUCCUCCGCCUCCUCUCCUCCUCUUCCUUCUCCUUCCUCCUCCGCCGCCGCCUCCUUCGCCUGUCCUCCUCCGACUCCGACUCGCUCUCCGACUCGGCGCUGGAACCAGAGUACGAAGAUUCGGACUCCGACUCAGACGACGAUCCCGAGCUCUCACUGCGGCUCCUCCUCCUGUGCCGCCGCCGCCGCUCCUUCUCCUUCCUCCGCCUCUUCCGCCGCUCGCCCGAGUCCUCGCCGGAGCUCUCGCUAUCCUCCUGACGCCUCUUUGAUUUGCCACGGUGGCCCCGGUCUCGGCUCCCCUUCGAACUUUCCUCCUCCUCGGCUUCUAGGGAUUUGCUGUCGCUGCGCGCCGCCUCCUUGCCCGCACCAUCAUCUGGGGCAGGUGCCGAGCCGUUCUGAUCCUUGGCCAUGCCUACCCGCCUAGGGUUUCGCCGUUUUGGCGUCGCGGAGGAGACGAGAAGAUCGAGAACAGGGGUGGCAACUGGGAACGCGAGGCGGAUCGGCUGGCGAAUGGCGAAUUGGUGAUGGCCUGCUGGGCUUCGGACUGCGGGGUGUGCGAAGAGGAGAGAUAGCAGCAAAACGUUUCCACGGCCCCUAUGAGGCUAUGACAUGUGGGCCGUUGCUCGUCUGUACUGCUGCCUCUGUACGCGUCUCCCUUCUCCCUCACGCGGCUGCCUCCCUUCUCUGAGGCAAACAAAACUCCAACCUCGCCGCCCGAUCCGACGCUCCGCCGGCCGGCCGCUGCUCGCAAGUUCUGUCGGUCCAACGCGCCUUGACCGCAGAUUCCUGCGUUUGGCCGGCUCUUGCAGCUGACGAACCCGAGAUCGGCACAUCUCGCCGGCUGCCGGAUCUAGUAGGAGGAGCCCGCGGGUGCUAUUAUUGCCUUCUGCGAUGACGAGGGCUCGGGACAGGACGGAGGAUUUCAAGGAGUCCGUUCGCGUCGCCGCGCUCGCCCAUGGCUACACUGAGGUGAGCUCAUGGGGCCCCUGAGCUCAUAUGCCCAACGUGACACCUCGGGAACCCGCGCCUUCUCUUCUCUGCAUCAGAAACAGUCUUCUCUCUAUUUACGGUCCGCUGUGUUGAUUUCUUCUCUUUGCAGGCGCAAUUGGCCGCGCUCAUGUCGGCUUUCAUCAUCCGGAAGCCGAACCCCAAAUCUCCGUUUACAAAAGCAGCAAUCAAGACGGUAGAAAUUUAUUCUUUGGCUGAUCUGUUUUUGAAUGUCAUAAUAACCGGAAACAAUCGCUAAAGCUUAUGGUACUGUUAGAAUGUGGGAGGUUUGCUAGUCUAAUUGCUGGGUUCUGUUGGUGUAGCUUGAGAGUAUCAGGGAACUGGAGAAGUUUAUAGUCAAGCAUAGGAAGGACUAUGUGGACACGCAUCGCACCACAGAGCAAGAGAGGGACACCAUUGAGCAUGAAGUAAGUUCCAACACAUCUAUGUGUUGUUUGUUCUUUACAUUUUCUUCUUGUAUUCUUGCAUGAGGAUUGAGGUAUUUACUCUAACCUUGGCUAGUUGCUAGGAAAUCUUUGUUAAGACAAUCUGAUUCCACAUGCCACAUAUUUUUUAUUGUUAAUGCAAAGCUGAGUUUCAGGUUUAUUUCAUUGCAAUAGCUAUGGUAGCAUUUAGAAUAAUUCUUGGUGAUCUCUCAUCGUGUCCUCCUUUUGCAUUGUGAGAGUUCUUUCUCAGUUCUUCCUUCAUAUCACAACUGUGUUAGUUAGGAUUAAAAUUUGUUAAGGAAGCAUAAUCAUUAUCCCCUUUGUUGCACAGCAGUAAAUAAAUGUGGUUCGUAUAUGUAGCACAUCUUUUUCUUGCUAUUAAUAUAUAUACAGGUAAGGAAUGUGUAUUCUUGUAAAUUUGGGCUUCCGCUCACGUUAUUUUCUCCAUUUCGUAUCUAUGUGAUUACUGAAAGUAUAUUAGGUUGGUGUUUUUGUAAAAGCAUGCAAGGAACAGAUCGAUAUUCUAAAGAACAGGAUCCAUGAAGAUGAGAAGAACAGAAGCGCGAAGACAUGGCUUAGCACAAGAGACGAGGGCUCUCGGUUGGACUUGAUAGCUCAUCAGCACGGUGUGGUAUGUCUAUUAUGCUUCCCACUGAUCAGCUACUGUCAGUUAUUGACAUCGAAACACAUCAUUGCUCUGAUAUUACUGUUCCUUAGUGUGUGUGCACACGUAGGUUGAAUAUGGUAGUGAAGUCUCAUUGCCAUGGUUAUGUCUGUGCAGAUCGUUCUCAAAAUGAUCUUUCAAGGUCUGUUGGGUUAAUUUAAUGUUUAAGAGAGAUCAUGAUAUUGCAAAAUUUAGAAGAAUCAAGUAGGAUUGCAAUUUUUGCCCGCUGCCAAAAACAUUCAGAUUUCAGAAUAGUGCUAGUGUUCCCCUUUUCUCUCUGUGUUGGUAAAGUUGUGCAUAAUUUGCUUAAUUUUCUCUGAAAUUUUAGAAGUUACAGGCAUUCAUCGUACAUGUGUUACUGUGCUGAUAAUAUGUACUGUGGGCAAAUCCUAAAGGGUACUUACUGCUUAGUAUAUUUACGGUGGGCAAUGUUUCGUACACGAGCCGGGUGUUCAAUAGACAUGUCAAAGUGAAUAAUUAUGGUCCUUUCAAGAAUUGAUAAACAUCUAUUUUCCAGAUAUUUGGUUUCAAUGUAUACUAUGCCCGCGGUAGCAGGAUAUGCAUAACUUCAUUGGUUGAUAUCAUUGGGUGGGCUAAAAACAAACACCACAUAACUGAUCAGUCAAAACAAAUGACUUCAAACAAUGUCAAAUUUCACUUUGUAGUUCAGAUAUGCGUCCAGGAAGCAUCAUGUAGGCAAGUACACGGCUGUGCUCUUUCUUACUGGCAUGUUCUCUAAUCUCUAUAUCCAAUUUGUAGCACAAUUAAGUAAUAUUUUCUGGACUAUCCUCCUUGCAAAUAAUUUUAUAGAUUUCAUAUGGUCAGUUCCAAACUUAUAAGCUCUGUGUUCUUUGUACAAUUUUACCAGGUUUUGAUUUUGAGCGAGCGUCUCCACUCAGUAACUGCACAAUUUGAUCGCCUUCGAUCCAUGCGUUUUCAAGAGGCUAUUAAUAGGGCAAUGCCAAGAAAGAAGAUUAAGAAGAAGCCAGAAAUAAAACCAGCUGAAUCAUCCAAGUCAAACCUUGUAUUACAAUCUGAUGUAUCGAGGGUUGGAGAUCAGGAGGUAUCUACUGCACCCUUAAGAGUUCAAGAACAACUCUUGGAUGAUGAAACUAGAGCUCUCCAGGUAAUAUUUUUAUGUGAUCUUACUACGGGUUAGUGUAAGUCGGGUUAUUUACUUGCCUAACUCUUGACUCAGGUGGAGUUAGGCAACCUUCUUGAUACUGUCCAAGAAACGGAGACAAAGAUGAUAGAGAUGUCGGCACUUAAUCAUCUUAUGUCGACACAUGUCCUACAGCAAGCGCAACAGAUUCAAUAUUUGUACGACCAGGUAGGGGAUCUCUUGUUAGCUUAAGCCAACAUUUGGUUGUUUCAUAGGAGUAUGUAGUAGAGGCUGGGAGCAUAUGCAGUGAAAUGGCGAUUUAUAAAUUUUCAAAAAUUCCAUGAAAAGUGUUGGUUAUGAAAACAUUCUCGAAAGAUUCUCAGGUAUACGUAAGACUGGUAUAUAUCCAUGCAAAAUUAAAGAACUAACUAGGGCUGAUUUGCGGUACGCAAAAUUUUCAAGACUCCACAUAUUUUGGCAGGAUGCCUCUAUUAGGGGCUAUAGAUUUUUGUUUAAUUUUGUGAACAGAAACAUACAUAUCCUGCAAAGAGGUACUCCCUCCGUCCCAUAAUAUGAGGCACGCACGCAUCCCUAGAUACUCAAUUUGAUUAAUUAAAUAUGUAUCUUUUUUAACAAAAAGUACAUCAUUAGAUUCGUUAUCAAAAGAACUUUCUAAUGAUAUAAUUUUUUAAUUAUUUAAUUUAUAUUUGAUUAGCUAAAUUGACAAUCUUGGGAUGCGUGCGUGCUUCAUAUUAUGGGACGGAGGGAGUAACAGUUAAUAGCAUAUAUAUAAACAUACAAGGUUCUACAAAGAGAUAACAGAUAAUGACAUUGGACACGCAUCUUCAUUAUCAUGCGCAUAUCAUUUGUUAUCAACUGAACCUUCAUCAGGAUACAUUCAGCAUCUAGGAAUUUAUAAUGACGAUCUUUACUUGCUAACCUGGUCCAGCAUAGCACAAGAUCAUGGUUGGUUUAUUUGCAAGAUCAUCAGUUUUGCCUGCAGAAACCGUAUCCGAAUUAGUGAGAAGCUUACAGUCAGUUGCUUUUUGUCACUGCAUUUCCAUUCUGACAGCGUAUCUUAUCCAUUUGAUUCAGGCAGUGGAAGCUACAAACAAUGUUGAGCGUGGUAACAAGGAGUUAUCCCAGGCGAUCCAGCGCAACAGCAGCAGUAGAACCUUUAUCCUGCUUUUCUUCUUUGUUCUUACUUUCUCUGUUCUGUUUCUUGACUGGUACAAGAACUGAAAUAGCACAUGUAAACGUGGUUCUUUAAAAUUGCGCAAAUGGAUUGAAUUACCACCGGCGUCUCCUAGUCUCUUUAGGGCUUUAGGCGGACCAUAUUUAUGGGCUAUUAUCUUGUUUCAUGCAUAUCGUUCACUGUAAACCUGAGAUUUUGCCAUUAUUGCAAACAUAGUCAUUAGCUCAAAGUGGAUUUGCUCCGUGCCCUGCCAAUAGGGAUGCAAGCAGGAUUCCGCGUUCCCACUUCUAGGCCAAUCUACAAAUUUUAAUCAAUUUUUUUGAACUAAAAUAGAAGUGGAAGAUAAGCGGGAUGCACAUGAAACUGUUUCACUGGACAAGCAACACUGCCGUUUAGGCUGCACGGUGUUCAUCGCUUCGAAGGCCCCUCCAUUCCCUUUACACGGACAAAAAUGCAGCUGGGCAACACUUUUGGUGCAAUAAAUAAUAUACAGGUACUCCGUACUGACUACUAAAUAUCUCAACAGAACUGUUUUGAUCGCGUGAACAUGUCGGCAAACUUCAUCACGCUUGAUGUAGUUCAACUUGACAUGUAACCAAGUAGACAGAUUACGGUGAUGUGCAAUUUUAUAUUGUUCUACAACUACAUGCAAAGUUCACAAUAAAGACAAGAUUUGAAAAGUUGCUCCAGUAACGCUCCAAGCCACCAACCAGUGCAGAUUGAGAUUGAAACAAAAUUGCAGUACAUGGUAGUGACAGAUGCAGGCAAACCAAACAGGAAUUCCUGAUACUGGCAAGACAAGAAUGGUAUCUGCAUUUCAGCUCCAAAUCUCGUCACAUUACAUCUCUAUAUCAGCAUGAUUUAGGCACAUGCUUAUCCAUAAAGGCCGUUGAAAGCGUUAACCAUUACCCUCUUCGCUAUAAGCAGCAGUCAUUAGUAUCUUGCCUUCUUUUUUCCACCGAGAAGCAGUAUAUUGCCUUUGAAUAUAUACAUAAGGUGUAUACUGCCCCUCUUGCUUCAGAACAAGAGCAGGCAUAGCACCACAAACACGAAGAGGAAGAACCAGAUGUGGUGCAGGGACCUCUCCACCUCCAUCUGCUGCCUUCUCAGUCGGGGGCCCAUGUUAUGAGCCGCGAUAUAGUAAGGGCUUGUGUAGUACAUGCUCGGAGGGAGCUGGCCACGGAAUGCCGAUGGAAGCACUGCUUCGGCCAUGCCUCCAAGCACCCCUCCAGCUGUCGAGUGGAUCAAACCACGUCCCAAUGGUGAAGGAGGAUGGAUGAAGUCGAAUUCAGUGGCACCGGAAUGGUGGUGGGCAUGCCGCAAUGGCCGCAGCAGAGGUCUGGGCUCCAUGUUCUGAUGGUGGCGGUCAUCAAUGUUGCUUUGUGUGUGGUGGUGCUCAGCAUUUUCCCGGUGCACCAUUGGCCGGCGUGGAAUGGCCAUACCAUCCAGUGAUUUCUUAGAGCUACCACCGCGGCCAUAUAGUGGCACAAGGCUGUCAGCAGAUAGUGUGGCCUUGCACACAGGGCACUGCUGCCUUGCGGAACUUCGGUUGUUACUGGAAGCUGAUUCCGCAGCUGGUUGCAGCCACUCGUAGAUGCAAGGCCAGCAGUAGAGAUGGCCACAGAGGGUAACAACUGGAUCUGCGGCGAAGUCAAGGCAGAUGUUGCAGUCAAAGGAGCCACUUCCAGCGGCUGCAGGCAUCUCCCCACUAAUGUUCUUCAUUGGCUUAUCGUCAGACACUGAAGGUUGGCUAUUGAUGGCAGCCAUGCAAACCUGAUCCAUUCUCCCAGCUUCCAUGGCAAUCAGGAUGCUAUCUGUUCCGGUUGAACAACUCACAGUACUGCAAUCCAAGAAGGAGAAGUCAGUAGCCAGUAGGAAUACGCAUAACUGGAAACGAUAAAGUUGAAAAGUUAAGCUAAUCAUGAAGCGGCCAAGGCUUUUAAAAUGUUCGUAAGGUGUGAACACCUAUCUGUGUGCAUUUAAGGACUAAAAAGCGAUACGAAACAAGAACUGGAAGGAACAUGGCAAGCAACACGGCUCCAUACAUCUUCAUCUAAACAAGAGCGGGUCCAGGUAACUGGCAGCAUUGAGGCCCACACCACAUCAUCCUGUCCUGAGAAGUCUAUUCACUUGCAUUAACAGGUGUGAUAAGUAGAGCAAAUGUUAUGUAAAGCAUCAAUUCCAUGUCAAUGUGCCAGACAAAAUCUUAGCACUGCACAUGGUUCUUUUUGCCAGCAAGAGACACAUUGUGGAAGAAUCCUAUCUUUUCUUAACUCACUGAGUCAGCAGCCAUGGGUUCUCUAAUUUUUAACUACAAUGGACUGCAGCUGCUGCACUCUUGUAUUAACCCUUAUUCUUAGCACCAAGCUACUAUGGUAAUUGGGUGUACUGACAGGUUAUCCAAUCAUACAUAUCUAUCGGGAUACUCGUAAAAGUUGAAUCACCAAACAAAUCAAACCACUAGAAUAUGUCCACAGCAUAACACCGCAAUACUUGACUGACCCAUGUUGAAGGCAAGCGCCAUGAUUGGGCCACUUGCCUUGGGAAGAAAAGGCAUGUGAGACAGUUUGCAUUCUAUAAUAGGCAGCUGUGAUUUGCGUAGUGGACUUACAACUUUGGCACGCCCUUACUAGAUUAACACUGAUCCUUGCUAAUUCAAUAUUCAGGUAAGUAGCCAUGGAAGGCCAACAAGGCAGAUUUGACUAAACCAAGAAGUAGUUGCAGAGGCUAAGACGCCCUGACCUAAUCUCCAACAUAAGCUUCCAUGACAAGUCUUAUCUUUUUCUGUGGUUGUGGAGUUCCUUUCACCAUCAAAUUAUUGAAAAACAACAAUGGGUGGGGAUAGUGAUGUGGAACGCAACAAUGAUGGAUUAGCUGAAGGACUUGGCAUAUUCGAUGGGGCCAAAUACACGAAAAGGAUCAUCAUUUAACAUAUCUAGGUGAUCGCAAAAAGAAUAAUAACCUAAAGAUAAUAGCACCUACUGUAUUAAGAUCGGGGAACAAUGAAUUAAUUGCCCAACUGCUUCGUGGAAAUAUCUUGAGUAGUAACUAAUACGUCCCCAUGUGUACAAGAAUUAAUAAAUUUUACAAGUGGACUUCAGUAAAUAAUUUCUAAAUUGAGAAAAUCAUCCUUAAUUACACCACGUCCCGCACGUGAAACCAAAAGGAGAUCAAUUUUCAGGCUAAUAGGAGCUGUCCCAGGGAUGCGACUAACCAACAACUGAUUUGAUCCUUCAGAAAGAAGACAAGUAAUCCAGGCACACAGAUCUGCUAUUUAUGAUUGCACUAUCUAGUAUCUAUCACUGCAAUUAUGCACGGCGUGAAUUUUCACGGCUGUAUAACGUAAACAUACUCCGAUAAAGAACGAUUCCCCUUGGGAGUAAGAACAUAUAAUACAAUUUGACAGCUCAAUGAGCAAUGGGCAUUUUACUGGACAUACCCACAGGUCACAAGAAUCACCCCCCACCCCAACCCCCUCCCUUCUAGCAAUUUAAAAGAUUCUACUCCGUACAACCGACUAUAACCCCAAUUGGAGAAUAAAAUAAAGUUUAUAACCACAAAUAUCUUCCGUAGACCAAGGAGCACAACAUGGAGCCGCAAAUAUAAUGUCCCUCAGAAUCGAAGAUGGGAAUAACGAGUUUAGCACUGCAGAUUUCCUAAGCAGGGGAAUGGGGUCGGACUGCGCCCCUAAACUCAUAAAGGAAUUGAACAAAAUGCCUCCUUUCCUACAGAAAACGGCAUUAGCGCGCGAUAGAAAAGCGAGGAGCACCAACAGAGCUACCGGCGAUCAUCUCCUGUUCACGGAAAAGCCCCUUUAGCAGCUGGUGCCAAGGGCAGCAGCAGUAGCAGCAGCAAGGCAAAACACAAAAGCUGCGGAGCUAAACCAACCUAAUGGCGACACCCAAGAGCCCUUCAAGGGGGAAAAAAAAAGAGGUGCUAGAAUCGAACAGAGAAACGCAAUCUACACACGAACAAAAACAGGACGGAAAAAAAGAGGAGGUUUAUUCGGCCGACCUUGGAAGAAAUCCAAUCCGUGCGCGCGGCGACUGUUGCCGGCUCCUGGUGUCCAAGAAUCGGGAGAGGGGAUCAAGAAAGGAGGCGAGAAUCGGGAGAUUGCGGGUGCUGUGUCGCUGCGAGGAGGAAGGAGAAGGAGGGGGAUGAGAUUAGGCGUCGACGUCACCUGCGGAAGAGGGCGAGAGAGAGAUAUAUAGAAACAGACCCCGAGGUUGGCCGUCCGAUCCAGGUCGGACGGCUGUGAUCGGGAACGGUAGGCGCCGUCGGUUGCCUCCAUCGGACGGUGGCGACGAUUUCCCACGUUACUCUCGGUGCGGAAGCUUCCUGUUGAUUUUUUUAACGCGGGAUAAGAGGCGAGGACGGCGGUUUCGGUGCGAGCAACUGGAAAAAGGAUACUGUUUCGGGAUUCCCUGUGCAAUUUCAUUAAGCUGGAGACCCUCGUGGUCUUCUGGAUAAACUGAAGCGAGCCAUAAACUGGUUGAAUCGGUCUCUGACUUCUCUGAUGCCCCAGAUUCAACGAGGUUAACGUUACUGCCUGUGAUUGAGCCAGGUUGGACUCAAUGCUAGCGAGGUCCGUCUAGAAAGAUGCUAUCUGCAUCUGACGAUUUAUUUGAUGGCGAAUUUAGAAUUUUGCUGGUGGGUCGCUGCUCACCUUGGCGCUCCCUAUCCUGCGCCCCUGAAUUCCACCACGGAUCUGGCUGUCUUUACUUUAGCACACAGGAAUUAAUCAUGUAGGGGAUGCGACGAAGAACCAAACGCAUGCGCGAACCGAUUAGCUCGGCAUUGUCUGGUAAAUUCCAGGUGGAAGAUACUCCAACGCUUGUGCAUGGUUAACUGCCAACUGUAAUAAACGCAUUGCGACCUAUUAAUAAAAGUGAAAGCUCCACCAUAAGAAUUCACUAGGUAACAAAAACAGCAUGUCCCAACAACAGAAAGCAUCGGACAGAUCGAGACGAGAGGAAAUCCCGAGGUCUGGCCUGAUGAACAGAGAAAGAGUAACGAGGUGGAGUUAACUCAAAGAUAAAGCGUUCUGAUUGGUGUUGCUCCUACGACUAGGACACUGCAUUGACACCAUUUGGCAAAAACAAUUUUAUUUUCUUUGCUUAUGUGGCUCAUUUUUUUUUCCCAGAAAAAGGUUCUAUGAGCUCAUUUUCACUAGAAUUUGGCCAAACCUCAGACAACCAAUUCAGCUGCCGGAUUCCGGUAACAUCAAAGUUUUGCCCUGGAUUUUAUGUGCUUCAUCUAGACACUGGGUAAACAGGACCGAGCUCUUGGUCCGUUCUGUUCGGAUCAAGAUAAGGCCUAGCCGUAAACCCGUACGUCCGCCUUUGUUUAGAGAUCUGACGAGUGACAUAGCCAGGACCCACCCAUCGCGUGGCUGGCCGUUCGCAAUCACCACUGCUCUGCACACGCAAGCAUCCAUUAUCUUGAGCCGAGAUUUUAUAUGCGGACAAGAAUAUAUUUUCGAAAGGUUAUGUUCGGGCGCUGUCAACGCAUAGACACCACCGUGAUGAUUACCCACCCGGCAAUCACGAAUCAUGUUCGUUUAUUUGUUAAACUCUCGCGCAAGAGCGUAAUUUUCUAGCCUUAUCGUGUACGCCCUUUGUGGGGAUGGAUGGCUACCAUGGGCCAUGGCAUUGUUGGUUUUGGCAUAGGCAGGCAGACUAGUCAUAUCUGUUUGCCCCACUGAGAAGAUAAGCUCGGAGUCGCAAGUGAUGUCACGGGAGUUCAAGCGCGCGAUGGAACAAGCCAUGUGCCGUUUUCUAACUUUAUCGUGUCAGUACAGUCACAGAAAUAUCCACAAGGUUUAAGCCCUGUAGUCUGUAGAGAGUUGAAAGAUGCGAUCGCACGUACACGGGCAGGUGAGUAUGAUUGAUAGGGUCAGCCAGUCCAGUAGUGAAUUUUCCUGUGUGCAUGACCGGCCAACGACCUCCGGCUUUGCGAAAGAUGCCGGCCGCUGAACGGACGGAAAGGGAAAGCCCAGCCGCCGAGAUGCCGUCCGGGAUCCCGGGUCGGGGUGGCCGGCCACCUCCUCCCCACCGUUCAGCUCUCUGCACGAGCACGACGGCUGCAACACUCACUUACUCAAGUCAUUGGCGCGACAAAGGUUAGUAGUACUGCUCCAGGUCCAAUGACGUUGAAGGGGAGAGGGAGUACAACGUUGCCAAUUGCCAGGUCCAAUGACGUGCCGCGUGCCGCGAUUACGGCAUCCGGCAACAGCAACGGUGCGGAGAUGCGCACGUUUCCCGAGAGGCCGCACGUUCGCCGGCUCCAGCCUUGCGGCAUUCUCUUCGGCCGGCCGGGGCCGGGGAACCAAGUGGUCGUUGGGUUGGCUUCCCCGGGUCACUUGUUUAAUCCCGGAGUGGACGUGGCCGCUGGCCAGUUUAUUCGGCGCAAUCCCGUCCCGCGUCGAGACAGGUGAGAGACGAUAAGGCACGGGCCGGAGCGGUUGUUGGUGCGUGUAUAUGUUUGGCUCCCCGUCCGUCCACGGCGUAGGUCGUAGGAUAUUGCAGGGCGCGUCCCGUGUGCUCAUUCGCACGCGUAAUCAUUGGGCCUAAUCUGUUGUUAGCCGGUGGGUGGGUGCGGGGAGCGCCGAGGGCGAUCAAGGGACACCGGACCGGGUGGUGGAGUCAAGGCAUGUGAUUUGGUCUACUACUCGAAAGACUGAAUCAAGAGAUCGUUUAAGAAUAAGAAAAUCGAUAUCGGCCAAUGGCGCGGCGUGACGCGUCGAGCCGGUGCACGUUUAACACCCGCGGUAGCAGCAGCCGGAGCCUGGAGCCCGAAGCGGGGUUUGUUUUAGCGGAUCGGAUCCAUGUACUGUAAUCACUGUAUUAAUGCUGUGUGUGCCAGUACAACAACCAGGAGGAUUACGGGACCGACCGGCCGGAGCGGGGUUAUUGUCCGCUGCAUGGAAUCCGACGGAUGCGUGCGCCCACCAACAAAAGGGGUGGUCGAUCGAAUCGGGCAAGGUACAGGCCGCCCGCUGUUUAACAUCAAGAGACCGUGGAUUGCCCGUUUUGUUUUCGCCGCUGUUUACUGCAGCCUGACGGGCGCCCACGAUUGAUCUGAUCUACCGGUUCUCGUGGUCCUCUCGCUCAUUCGGAUCUCAGCAAGACGUUUAGCGAACCAGAGGCAAAGUUUUGUUCACUCGUGAAUGGGACGUAAUUACGAGGUAGGGGGUCAUAUACCUUGGUUUGGAAAACCACGGAGGCGGCGAAGUCAUCGAGUCUAGGUCAAGCACUCCAAUCCGAGAAAAUAGCCGGUAGAAGUGACGGUGAAAACUUCUUAAAAAUUACGUAUAACAGCCCUUUGGGUCAUAAUACAAAUGAAAUUGCUAUGGAAUACGUUACUUUGGCUCCUAUUCUACAGAAUCUCUAAUGUGCGUUCAAUCUUAUUAUUUUUCUCGUAAUCCCGGCACAGACACUGCAACAAUUCACAUGACAUGACCGGUACUCGAACCUUUUAAAGUUUGACCAGGUUUAUACAAAAAUCACCCACCAUCUAUGACUCUAAAUUAGCAAUGCCAAAUGUAUACUAUGAAGACAUAUAACAUGAUGGAUUUUAAUAAAACUAAUUUAGAGGCUUAGAUUUCGGUUCAUUUUCUUAUAAACUCAGACAAAUCUAGAACAUUUUAUAAAAACGAACAGGAGGAAUGGUAUAUUUCAUCUGAAUCCGAUUAGUGCAUCUGCAUCUCACCCACAGCCAUCUAAAAGAUGAGAGGAUCAAAUGAGUGGGGAAUUAUGCUCACAAAACAGUUCAAGAUACUCAAGCACGAACUGAGGUUAUGUGGUAAAGGAUCACAUAUGAGUGUAUAGAAUAUGACUAUUAACAGUCCUGUCAUAUAUAUCUACAGCCCAAAAGAAUGAAAAGAUGGAAUCAGGCUUCCUUGGUAAUUUCAUCACAAGACUUCCUCAUUCAUUUAUUGAUGAUACACAGAAGGUUAAUUUCCAAUAUUAUCUACACGUGGGUAUAGAAAGAUUGUGCAGAUGACGUCAAGUUUUCGAUGAUCUGACCAUAGGACGUGGAAUGCUAAGUAAACCGUGUCCAGGAGGUCUCUUCUGCAUUUUACCUCUCAGCAAAUUUCUCGAUGCAUGAGAUCAGCGUACUUUCAGGCACUGCUCCGAUCACCGAAUCUUUUUUCUCACCAUUCUUGAAUAUCAUCAUGGUUGGUAUGCUCCGGACGCCAUACUGACUUGCUAUGUCUGGAUUCUCAUCGGUGUUGAGCUUGUAGCAUUUCAACUUCCCUUCAUAUUCCUUUGAGAGCUUGCCAACAACUGGAUCAAUAAUUUUGCAUGGUCCACACCAUGAAGCCCAGAACUCAACAAGGACAGGAAGCUCACUCUCCAUAACAAGCGAUUGCCAUGUCCCUUUCGUGACAUCAGGAACUACAAAACAAGUGGACAGUAUCAUAAUGAACAAUUGUGAACACACCAGUUGAUAAAAAUACAGAAAUAAAGCCGAAAAAAUAACUAGCAUAGACUAGCAAAAGUAAAUCAUUAUUUUGCCAUGCCUAUGACACAUAUAAUGAUGAUGGAGAAAUAAACAUGAGGCAAACUCUAGUUAUCGAAAAGAAACAUUACUGGUACUGUUUGUAUGCCAUUGCGCCCUGUACAAACAUCCUACAAUCCUAUAGAAGCCUAAGUUAGUUGAUCUGAAAGAGAUAUGGAGGUGUGGAGCAGGAGGAUGGUCAAGUCUGAUAAGUUGGCAGAUUCAAACACUAACCCAAGUCCAAAAUCGGCAUGAGGUCUCCACAUUAUUUUCAAAAAUGGUUUCUGCAAA
This 105001-nucleotide long non-coding RNA is filed under the name Brachypodium distachyon (stiff brome). Its description in RNAcentral is "long non-coding RNA (BDIS_LNC005914)". Lineage: Eukaryota; Viridiplantae; Streptophyta; Magnoliopsida; Poales; Poaceae. The record is from RNAcentral.